Molecule: long non-coding RNA, 107710 nt
Filed under: Medicago truncatula (barrel medic)
Lineage: Eukaryota; Viridiplantae; Streptophyta; Magnoliopsida; Fabales; Fabaceae
Description: long non-coding RNA (MTRU_LNC007681)
Rfam family: tRNA (bases 26392-26464)
Source: RNAcentral
UAACAAACCCUAAAUACCUUAAGCUAAAAUCUAGUAAAUUUGUAACAAACUAUUAACAAACUAAACUAACUAGAUUUCUAAUGUGAUUAACCAAACAAGCUUGAUUAGAUCACUAACAAACUUGAAUUAUCAACUAACACAAAGUUGCGAUAAUAUAAAAAUAAUAUCAGAACUAGUCUCUCUUCAAAUGAAUGAUGCAUCACAACUUAUCUUUCUCCUUUGAUGGAAAAAUUUGUUCUAAUACCAAUUAUUGAAGGAAAAAAAUCAAUAAAAAAUCUUUAAACAAGCGGGAACACAACCACAAAAUAAGUAAAAGAGAUAAAAACAAAUCACAAGCCUAUUUUUCGAUACUUCACAGUUCACACCUUCAUUCAUAAUAUCUUAACAAAAUAUUUGUUACAAAAAUAUGCAUAGUUUUACUAGGAAUUGCAAACCCUCUUGUACAAUUAUAAUUUUUGCACAGAAAUAUUGCAAACUAAUCUUUCUCAAUUACAAUUUUUGUAAGAAAAACUACAAACUCUUUCAUGACACACAACUACCCAACCUCUUUUUUUUUUUUUUUUUUUUUCAUUACUCGAUGUGCGAUGUGAAAGAAUAUCAAUUUUAGAGAACAAAUGGCUAUAAUUUAUAGGUGGCCUUUAUGAUUUUUGGCACAAAUUUUCAUACUGUGAAAUGUGAAUAGAUGCAUGUGCAGAGAUGGAGUUCAUAAUUUAAAUCUUACGUUAAAAAUAAAACAAGUUUUUAAUGUUAUAGUUUAAAAAUAAAAAAUUGUUUCUUAUAUACAAUAUUUUUAUGAAUAUUUACAUAGUUCUUAAAAAAAUUAAUAAUGAAUGGUAUAUUCGUGUCCUGUAUGACACAAUGAAACAUAUGCACAUGAUUAAAUUAUACAUUAAGCCUAAUCAUAUGAUCUGAAAAGAUUUUCUCUACAUUUCGUCGAGCUAGCAAGGUAGAUAGAUGUCAACUAAUAAGUUGAUGAAAUCGGCUAAAAAAGAUUCCCAGUUGAAGUUUAUUAUUUUUUUGGUGCAACCCAGUUGAAGAUUUUAUUAACUUUGAUGAUGGCUCUGAACUACCAAGUUUUCUAGAACUUGAACAAGUCCUUAAUUUUAGUUGAAUUGCAAUACUAUGUCUAUAUGUAUAGUAUACCGUUUCUGGUUUCAUAGUCUGUUAAUUUUAAGGAAUUUUUUCAAGUGGCUCAAAAAAAACAUAUACAGUACAUUCUUUAGUUUUAUUUACAUCGUUUUCAAUCUCUUUCGCUUUUUUAAAUAUUUACGCAGAAAACAUUUUUUUUUUUUUUUCAAUCAGAAAGAGGCAAAAUUAAGAUUUGCAUUGGUUUUAGUCAUCACCUACUACAUUAAAUUACUAUUUGUGGAAAAUAUUGUUUAUAGCGUGAAACUGUGCUCUGACUGGCUCACAUGCAAACGGACAGUGGCAAUAUUGUUUAAGGAAGUAUUAAUCUUUUUUUUUUUUUUUUUUUUGACAGAAACCAUAUAGUAUUAAUCUAUUAUUACUACUAUAUAUGCAUAAAAAAGGACCAAUUAACCGACAUGCUUUGAGUUAUUUUGUGUUUUUUUUUUUUAUUGUUUCUGAAAAAAUCAACCAACAUGCUUCUUUUUUUGCGCUAACUAAAACUAAUUUAUUUAUGCUACUAAUCAAUUUAUUAAGACUAAAACUUGAGUACAAGUUAGUCUUUUUUUUUGUAGUUGGUGACCUACAAGUGGUACUCUUGUACUCAUUAUACUCAAAGUCAAGGGUACAUGCGUAUGUGUUAUGCUGAAUUCGAAAAUUCAUAGUCAAGACCCAGCAAUAUCAAGAUAUAUACACACAUGUCCUAAAGUGCAUUCUGGAGAAUAAGAACUACAAGUCUAAAGUUUUUCUUUUUGUUAGUAAAGUUAUUUUAGUCCAAGUUUAGACUAUACAACGCUGACUAUGAAAUAUGAAAGGAAAAAAAAACCUUCAAUUUUUGUCAAAAAAAUAAAUUCCAUUGUCUCUAACUAAUUAUUGAAAUUUUAAACAUGUGUUUGGUCUAACGGUAUGGUAGAAAAAAUCACGGCAAAAAUUCACGGUAACUACAAAAUCUAAAAAUUUGUAAUUUCUUUGAAAUUUGAGUUUGUAACUUCGAACGUCAAAUAAUCGUUCAUUAAGUCUCUAAAGCUCACAUGAUCAGACCAGCUUUGAUUGCAAAAUAUGACCAACUAAUUACUAAUAAACAUUUAAUUUUGUUAGCAGAUCAAUUUAUCUGUUUAAUGUUAAAAUAAAUCUGAUCCAAUUCAAUACUUUUGGACAUAGAUUGAAAUGGUUUCCCCCCCCCCCCCCCCCCCUUUUUUUUUUUUUUUUUUGUAAACUAGGUAUCCUCCGCGCGCAACUGCGGAGACUAAUCCCUCGAGCAUUGUGAGACCCAAAUGGACGGCAGACUCUCCCUAAGAGUUUUAACGCUGCUGGAGGUAUUGUAAAUAAUAUUUUGUGUUAUAUUAUUUUUAAGAGUGUAUAUUUCUAUAUAAAAAGAGUGAGUUUUGCCUUCAACCUCGAGGUAAUCGGUUUGAGACCUAGGCACUGAGAACAUGAGUUUUUUCGAUUAGCUCUUUAAAAAAUUAUUUAUAGGAGGAAUAAUUGUUUUUAUGGAAUUUGUCGUGUAAUAAAAAUCUAAAUCGUCUAGUCUACAAUUUUGUAUAGUCUUCAAUUAUGUUGUGAAUUCGGGCUUUGAAACUUCACACCAAUCCAAACUAUGAUGUGUGGAGAAAGUAUCAAUGGCAACCAACAACCAAAUUAACCAUAAGCAAUAACAAUAAUAUAUACCAAGUCUAUAAACCAAGUGCAUAGCAAAAUCACAAUCCAACCAAAUAAUAAACAAGAUAAAAGAGUAAAGAAAAAUAGACAACAACACCAAGAGAUUGUUCACCCAGUUCGGUCCAACCAUGACCUACUCUGGAGGAGAGAUUGAUCUCUUCAAUCCACUAUCAAUGAGUUCUUACAAAGAGAUACAAAUGAGUUACAAGAAAUUAGCUUCAACAAGCUCACAAAAAACAACCCUAAUUUCUACCAAUUUUCCCAAUCUCACCAAUGAACAAGACACUCAUGAUUUUUACUCUCCCAAGGUGUUUACAAUUGUUUCACAACUCUAGAAUCUAACCCCCAAAAGAGAACCAACUCUUAGCCUUUGAUUUCACUUAGGAUCUUCUCUUUUGGUUUCACAAGACUCACCCAAGUUGCUCGCAAAUGACUCUCCACUCAUGUGUUUCCCAACCCCAUGAAUCUUCUCCAAAAGGCACCAACCCUUUUCACAAGAGCCCCCUCUUUUGGUUCUCCAAGAUUCACAUCUUGAAGCUUUGAACCUCACCCAAAGACCCUCAACCUUUAGUAUCUAAAACCCUAAAAGUUUCAUCCUUUGGUUGUUAUGGGAUUCACCAAGCUUACCCAACAAAUGGAUCAGGGAGUGUUUAAAACAUGUUUCAGAUCUGUCAAAAUCGUGUCACAUUUUGCCUUCAGAACCAAACAUGCAUUCGGCAUCAGAAAUCGUGACACGGUUGCCAAAUCGUGUCAUGAUUCUUCACUUUCAUAAAGACUUAAUUUUGAGUCAUAUAUAUACCAACAAAUUCAAAUUAUAUAAAUGGACGGUAUAUUCUUUAGUAAAAGUAUUAUUUCACAAUUUAAUACGUAUUAUUAAAAGAAAUUAGAAACAAUUAUCAAAAAAUUAUGAUAGAUAAUAUAUUAAACUCGUCUAGUGUGUGUGUAUUUUUGAAGGAUAGUGUGUGUGUGUAUUAACAUCAUUCUCUAAUUAUUUUUGUAGGGAAACAAUGUUGGUUAAAUUGAUGUGUACUUUUUUUUGUAAAAAAUAAUCGACGUAUUUUUAAAUGAGAUUUACAUGUAGAGAGAGACAGCGGUAGACAUAGUAGUAGAACAAUUAAAAUUUAAAAGACCACUUUACAAAUUGCACCAAGUGGUCCUCUAAAAAAGAUCACCGACAGUUGCUUCACUUUACCUUCAUAUAUUUUAGAGCAAUGAUAUUUGAACAAUUAUUUAGUACAACAUUUUUUGACAAUCUUCUUUUUCUCUCUUUUUAUUGGUCAAAAAUAAUGAAGAGAAAAAAGAAGAGAUAGAGUAAAAAUAUAAUAUGAAUAUGAGAAAAAAAAUUGUCUAAAAAUUAUCACAAAAUGGUUGUACAAAUAUUAUUUCUCCAUAUUUUAGACACAGGCUAAUCAUUAAUUAAUUUGUGUAAAAAAAAACAAUAAUAUUAUUUUGACAACAUUAUUCAACACCUUAUCUUUCUUUCAAAAAACAUUAUUCAACACCUUAUGUUCAUAUUAUCAUUUGAUUUUCUUAAUUAUGUUUUACAUCAGUCACAUCAAGUGACAUUUUACACGCUUAUCAAUUUUUUUUGUCAAGUAGCCUAGUGUUUAGAACUCAUAUAAUUUAAUUGUGAAGAAAUGAAGUGUCAGAGAUUCGAACUCCAACCCCUGCAUAUAAUAUGCAAUAUCCCUACCAACUGAACUAAGCUCACGAAGAUCGCGGUUAUCAAUUUUUGUAGUUCAAAUAACAUCACUAAAAAAAGCUACGAGGCAGACGCACAAAUUUUCAUUGAGCAGUUGUGUUAAUUAAUUUUAUAACGCAAGGAAAAUGGUGAAGUUUUUGUGAAUAGAGAAAUGAUAUAUAUACAAUCAUUUUCAAACAACUUUUGUAAUAACUUUAUCUCUCAUUUUUAUAUUUUAUUUUUAUUUUUUUCUCUAUUAUUUUGGUUUUCGUUUAUGAUUUUUUGUAAGAAAAUGAUUGUCUAUGUAGUUAUCAAUCACAUUGAUGUUCAAAUAACAUUGCUUUUGUGAAUAAUGCAAAAUAGUUUCUCGGAACAAUCAAUUAUUCAAUUGAUAUUUACGAAAUUAGUUUUUGUAGGGUGUCCCUAUAAAUCACAUAUACUUUAAAACAGUCAUAUGUAUUCACGAUUCGAGAUCUUAUAAAAAAACCAUUCCAGAUCAUGUAUGAAAAUGAAAUAUAUAUUUUUUUUGACUGGUGUAUGAAAAUGAAAUAUUUUCAAAAAUAAAAUAUACUCUCUGCCCAUAUAAUGUCAGCGUAGGUGUCGGUGUUUUUCUACCGACUAUAAGAAAAACUGUAAAAUAAAUAAAACAAUAUAGUAAUUUAAAUUAGUGAUUGUAAAUUAUUGUCUUAAAUGUAUAGUUCAAUAUAAUAGAUUAAAAAUGAUGAAAAAAAUAUUAAUUUAAGAGUAGAAUUGAAAUAACAUAUAUGUUUUCGAUAGUUUAACUAAAUUGAUAAAGACAUUGCAUAAUAAUAUACAAGUGUUUUGAAAUUCCAUUUAUUCAUUACAUGUGAAUUUUUAGAUAUUAAACUAUUUGGAAAAUAAAAUAAAAUAUCAAAUAAUUAAGGUUUAAAUAUGUAAGUAGUCCCUGUAAUUUCGCGUAUUUUUGUUUUCGUUCCUGUAAGUUAUUUUGUUCUAAAACAAACUCUGUAUUUUGCUAACCUUUUGGAAAAGGUCCUUGCCGUCAGCUUCCGUCAACAAAAACGCCAUGGUGGCUAACGGAGCACACGUGGCAGUUCAUGAGUUGGCAAAGUUGAUGAGAUGGAAUGAGAGAUGAUAAGUUGUUAAAAUACAGGGACUAAAAUCAAAAACGUAAAUUGACACAGGGAUGAAAUUAAAAAAACGUUUAAUCUUCUUUUUCCUCUCAAAUUUCAGUCUUCUUCUUCCUCUCAAACUUUCCCCAAUCUAUCCCAUACCUUGCGCCCUUGAACCAAAACUCAUAUCCUUCAACAAUUUAUUCUAAUUCCAUUACUCAAUCAUAUUGUGUGUUUUGAUUGUAAUGUUAAGUUGAAACAUUGUAUGCUACUUAAGUUUGAUUAAUUUAGUGAUGGUUGUUGCGAUUGAUUGCAAAUUCAUUCAUAAAGUUUGUAGAUAAUAAAGGCAAGAAUACAUCUUUUUCAUCCCUCUUUUUUUUCCACAAUUCCCUCUUAUUCUUCCAGAUUGCUACAAUUACCAUACAUAAAUAGUCAGAUCCCCUUUCAUCUUUUCUCACUCACAUUCAAAUUCAAACUCUAAUUUCUCAAAUUUUUGCUUUUGAAUUGUGUAAUUUUGUGUUUUUAUGUAAUUGGUGUAGAGAGUUUAUGUUGUUUUAAUGUGUUGAUUAAGAGUGGGUCUUGUUGUUGUUGAUUGAUGAUUAUUAGUUUUGUUUAAAAAAAUAUAUAUGUUUGUUGUUUUCUUUCUUUUCCUGGGUUUGGUGUUGAUGAUUUAUGAAUAUGGUGAUGAAGAUGAAGAAGACAAUGAAGGAAGAAGAAGAAUAAGAUCUUGAUUUUAAAUUUGAAAUUUUGAUUUUACGUUUUUUAUUUUAGUCCCUGUGGUAAUUUACGCUUUUGAUUUUAGUCCCUGACUUUACACAACUAAUCAUCUCUCAUGCCAUCUCAUCAAAUGUGCCAAGUCAUGACCUGCCACCUGUGCUCCGUUAGCCACAAUGGCGUUUUUGUUGACAGAAGCUGAUGGUAAGGACCAUUUUCAAAAGGUCAAAAAGAUACAAGGUUUAUUUUAUAUAAAAAAAAAAACUUACAAGGACGAAAACAAAAAAUACGCGAACUUAGAGGAACCUUUUACAUAUUUAAGCCAAUAACUAAUAGCACUUAUUUUGGUACAUUUCUCUUUUGCAAAUGUGAAACUUAAUAUUGGAUGGGGUCAAUAAUUUUGAGAAUGAAUAAACCCAUUAUUUAGUCUUUUAAUUUUUUUUUUCCAUCCAUCAGGUUUCUAAACUAUUUACAAACACUAAAUGUCCUUAAGACAUAGCUCAAGUAACAAUAUUGAUAUUGAGAAGUUGGAUAUUUUCAUCCGAGUUUGAACUCGAAUUCUUGCAAUUACGAGUGUGAAUUUCAGGUAAUUUAUAUCAAUUUAUCUGUAAACAAAAGGAGAUAUAUACGCGUAACAAAUAGGUCUAAUGCAAAUUAACAACUUAUUUUUAGUUUAUAAAAUAUAUGAAAUUUAAUCCUUUAGUCCCUAGUAUAUUUUAACAAUGGGCACUAAAGCAACAUAUAUUUCAUAUAUUUUAAAUACUACUACAUCUUUCCUUAUGUAUAAGCUCAUUUGACAUUUUCACAUAUAUUAAAAAAGUUAGUAGUGUCUUGACAAAAAAGAAGCUCCUUAGAGUUUCCUUAUGUAUAUUUUUUUAAACCGAAAAAAUUGUGUACAAAAAAUGACUAUUAUUACUAAAAAAAAUCUUUUGCAUAUAGAUGUGUUCAACAUUUAUUUUGCAAUUCUCAAGACAAAUCAGUGGUACAUCUUAAUAAGUGAUAUAUUUGUUAGGAAAAAAAAUUACUAUAUGUAUCUAGUUAUUUGCAAGACUAAUGAUUCUUAGCAAAUAUGCUUAUAUUGAGAGAACUUUUUUCUAAAGAGAGCUUAUAAUUAGAGACUAAGAUUUUGCCAAAAAAUAAAGAAAAAUUAGAGAAUAAGGUUUAUACUAUACUUUAGAAACUAAUUUGAUGAGAUACGACUAAAUCGAAGAUAUAUUUUUUUAGAAUAGUGUUAGAACCUUAGAAAUUAUAAUCAAUAGAAAUAGAAAUGUUCCUUACAGAUCCAUAAUAGUGACAAUCUUGUCUUUUCUUUUGAGGAAAUAAUAAUAAAGGUGGUGCCAACAUUUCAACAAACCUAGCUAUUUUAAUUAUUCUGUUCUCACAGCCUGCACCUUAGAUCAAAUCCAAAUUGGGUCAUCACCGUUCCAAAAUGCUUAGGGACGUUACUCUAAAUGUCAAUAUGAAUGAGUAAUUCAAAUAGUUAACAUAGCCCGCCAGCCUUAUAUAAUAAUAUCAAUAUAUGUCGACUAAUUAUCGAGAUGCUAAAUUGGAGUACACUUCACAAACAAAAAUCUUUCAUAAGGCGUUUUUUCUCUUAAUACAUUUUUUCUUUUCUUAUGCUAGUAACAUUUACUCUGUAUUGGCCUUCCUAAGAAGAAGUUGGAUAGUAGCAAUGUGUUCGUGAGACUGCUGAUAUCUUAAAAGAAUGUUCUCAUAGAUUCCACUUUUUUAGUAAGCUUUUAUGUGUAUGAGUUUGCAAAUUUAACCCUUUUUAAUUCGGAUAGAUUUAUAAGUCACACCUUCAAGUACAAUCGACAAAAUUUCAGUAAUAAUUACGGUUUAGGGUUUAUGGGUCUAGAUCUACUAAAAAUGAGUGGGUGUAUAAAUUAGUAUAUCCUAGAGUUUAUUAUCUUACGUUCGAUCUUCUUUGCAGAAACUCGUGCAUGUUCGUGAUAUAUAUUUUCGCGAGAAGUACAUUUCCCUAAAACAAAAUCAACCACUGACAUAAACACGUCAAAUGUAAGCCGGUAAAUCCAAGCUUUACUAACACGAGUUAUAUUAUAUCAUUGGCAUCAGCUACUUAAGAACUACUGUAGAAAAUUUACAGCAAGUCAUCGAGGCUUAAUAAAAUGUGUUGAUAUAGUUACAAAGAUAAAUUAAAUAGCAGAGCAUACAUGAAGAGAACAAAUGUAGAGCAACCCCUUAAACAAACCCUCUCAGUAAGGUAUCUUCACAUUACUCUAAGUUCAUAAAAGAUGACUUUAAAAACGAUUAUUUCAAAAUGCAAGUAUUCUCCGACCCCUUUUUCCCGGAUCUAGAUCUAAUAGUGUAAGGAUAUAUAUAAAUCAUUGUCACAUUUUACAACUCAAGAGUUUACCUCAACUCGUUUUGUUUAGGUAAAUUCGACUCGAGAACUCGUAUGACUUUACCUAAAAUUAAAAUUAUAUAAAAUUUAUUAUAUAUGCAUGACAUAUGUAAGUUAAUAUAAUAUUGUAAAUAGGUCAAUAGUGCAAAAUAUGACUUAAUUACAAAGACAAAUUAUACCAUAAUAAAAUGUUAUGCUCAACUUAGCUUCAAAAUACAAAAAUUAACGCACAAAAUCAUAAGUCUCUAAGUUUAAGCCAUCCAUAAAACCAUCCAAAAAAAGAAAGUUUCACAAGUUCCUAAAGUUAUUAAUAAAACUAUCUAAAAAAUAAAGUAGUUAAUUUCUUCAAAACGUCAACAAACACCACCACAACAACCCUAACCAGUGUCACAAUCACCGGCGUUGAAAUAUGAAUUUCCACCGUCUGAAUCACAACCCUAAAUGGUAUGUGCUCCCCUGUUCAUGGUUUGAGAACUUAGAAAAGAAAAAGGGCAAUCCGGUGCACUAAAGCUCCCACAUACGCAGGGUCCGGGAAGGGGUCCCACCAUUUUUUGUGUAUUGUACGCAACCUUACCCUGUUUUUGAUCACAAAAGAAAAAGAAACGUUUCAUUUUAGGAACAACUUGUCACUGUAAAGGUAACUAUUAAUUAAACGUUUCAGUCUUUGGGGUUGUAGAAAAGGAAUUGGAUUUUGAAAAAAAUGGGCACAUAAAAAGGGCCAAUUUUUAGAUGUAAACUCGUAAAACUCAGUAAACUCGGUCGAGUUUACACGAGUUUACCUAGUGUUAACUCGGUCAAACUCGUUAAACCUUCCAAUUUUACCAGAAACCGAGUUUACCUCCGAAUUAACAUGAUUUUGGCACCUACGUAAACUCGAAGAGUUAACACUCAAUUUGCGGAACAUUGCAUAUAUAUUUAAAGAUAUAUGUAUAAUUAUAGAGAAAGUAGAGAAGGGAUAUACCAUUUUAUGUAGGGUUAUUAUGUAUCAAAUCAUAAAGAGUCGAGAGUUGUAUUAUACCAUAAUAUUCUUCCGUAAACUGGUAGUCAUGAUCAUGACGUAUAUUAUUCAAGUAUAUGCAAAAACAUGUCUGUAUCUAGUCUAAAUUUUUGACCAAAUGCAUGUAUUUGCUUAUAUUUUGUUACUACUUACUACUCGCCAAGUAAUGCUCAAUAUCUAAUAUAUAUAUUUCAAGACCAUCAAAGAUAACUCAGUUGAACAAUACAUAAUAUAUGCAAGGUUCGGGGUAUAUUACAUUUUCAAUUAUUCUAAUAAUAAAUUUAAAUGACACUUAAAUUAUACAACUAUUAAAUAGAUCUUAGUACCGUAAAAUUUAUAUUCGAGACUUGCUAGGGAGAACCAUCAACCUCAACAAAAAUUUCUACUUGAAUCUAACGCAAACAAAAGGUCCAACCAUCUAUGAAUCUCCGUUGAUAUCACAAAUGAUGUUUGAUACAAGAGAGACAUAUUAGAACAUAAUCUAUGUACAAUCUACAUUAAAAUAAAAAACAAGUCUACAGUCAUAUAAAUAACACAAUUUCAAAAUCUCAAAAUUAGGUAUGAAAACAAAAUGAUUAGAAAAAUAAAUGAUUCAAUCAUUCCGAGAUUUGUGCAAAAAAAAAAAAAAAAACAUUUUGAAAAUACAAUGUUAGAAACUUAUGAUCAAUAUAUAUUUUUCCUUACACAUCAAAAAUAAUUAAGCUAUAUUCUUGUCUUUUCAUUUUGGGCAAACUAAAAUUAAAAUCAAGGUAGUGUCAAUGUUUCUAUAGUCCUAGCUAUUUGAUUUUCUUCUAAGCUAACAAGAGUCUUCCAAAAUCAAAUUCGCGCUCAAAAUUAAAGCAACUUGGGUGGUAACCAUUCCAAAAUACUUAGGGCCACAUUGCUCUAAAAGUCAAUAAGAAUAAGUAAUAAUUCAAAGAUAGCCAACCUUAUAGUAUAUUUUAAUAUGAAUGUAUGCAUGUUUCCUAGAAGGUGAGUAAGCUAACUAAUCAAGAUACUUUGUUGGAGUUAAAUAUGGUAAAGAAUCCAACUAUAAAAUGGGGACUUGCCCCAGCAUUCUUUCACAAACCAAAACCAACUUCUAAGAAAAAAAUGAGGUCCCUAAUGGCCUCUGCUUCUCUCACUCUUGCAUUAGCCAUCCUCUUUUUGAGUUUCCCAUCUGAAAUUUCAGCAAACAAAUACGCAUAUUCCUCUCCACCACCACCACAUUACUCAUCUCCUCCACCUCCACCGGUUCACACUUACCCUAAACCAGUCUACCACUCUCCACCACCACCAGUUCACACCUACCCUAAACCAGUUUACCACUCUCCACCACCACCAGUUCACAAGUACCCUCACCCUAAACCAGUAUACCACUCUCCACCACCCCCAGUUCACAAGUACCCUCAUCCACACCCAGUCUACCAUUCUCCACCACCCCCAGUUCACAAGUACCCCCAUCCUCACCCAGUGUACCACUCUCCCCCACCACCACCACCAAAGAAGUCCUACAAAUACCCAUCUCCCCCACCACCACCAGUUCACACCUACCCUAAACCAGUCUACCACUCUCCUCCACCCCCAGUUCAUCACACCUACCCUAAACCAGUCUACCACUCUCCUCCACCCCCAGUUCACACCUACCCUCACCCUAAACCAGUCUACCACUCUCCACCACCCCCAGUUCACACUUACCCUAAACCAGUCUACCACUCCCCACCACCACCAGUUCACACCUACGUCCCUCACCCUAAGCCAGUCUACCACUCUCCACCACCACCAGUUCACACCUAUCCCCCACAUGUUCCCCACCCAGUUUACCAUUCUCCUCCUCCUCCAGUUCAUUCCCCACCUCCACCACACUAUUACUACAAAUCACCUCCUCCACCUUACCACAACUAGAUAGCCCAUAAUUGGCAUCACACCAUAUGGUAACUUUUCAUGCAACAUAUAUAUUAUAACUUUUCAUAUUCUCUCUUUAUUAACUAGUUAUCGGUAUGAUUGUCGAGUAUAUACUAACAAGGCUAAUUUGAAAUGAAACUUCAUGUGCAAUGAAACAUUCUUUUACUGGUUAAUAUUUUAUUCUAUGUUUCAUUGAAAUUAAUAUUUUUCUAAUAGUAUUUGGUUAUUAAGGGAUUAGAGUAUAUCAGACAUAAACUGACAGAUCAAUAUAUUUGCAUUUGUGUAGGAUCUAAACAGAAAGUGUGAAAGCAAAGAAAGCCAUGCACAAAGAAGAUCAAGGGGAUUCUUCACAUAUAUUUCGUCAGCAUUUGAUUAAGAUUGUUUAGAGGGCUCCGUUUAUUUGUAUUUAAUUUGUGUUUUUGUUGUAUUAUCCACAGCUGUAAGGCACUGCCCCAAUAUGCAUGUGUCUGCAGUUGUUUUCAUGCAUUGUAAUUUUCAAAGUUCGGCUUUGUAUCAAGCUGACUCACAAACUAAAUAAAUAUAUAUCCCCUAUUAUAGUAAUCUGUCCCUUUCAUCUAUGACUCCUUUUAUAUUACUAUUCUUGUGAUAAAAAUAAUCUGUGUUUAUUUGUUUCUACUAAUUAUUUUUGGUUUACCUUUCUCCGUACAAAUAAAAUUUAGUUUAAAAGUGAAUUUGACAGCACUUUUAAGAGAAACCUAAAAGAAAUAGAAGAAUAAUGCUUCUCAAAAGAUUAAAAAAAGACCACUAUAUUAUAUAUAUGUGAACCAAGGAUCAUGUCUCAAUGUGUGUGUUUUUUCUUUUAACGAGAAAGAUCUAUAAUUAUAAUGUAAACAAGAGUACAAUGAGUACUACAACUCACUACAAAAAGAGGUGCAACACUUCAAACGAAAAAAAUAGCACACACCAUAAGCAAUACAAAAGCAUUAGUCUACAAAGCCAAUAGGGUGGCAUUUAACAUGGGGCAGUAAAAUUUUAUCCCACCAUGGAAAAGUGGAUCCAUUAUGGGCAGGUGGCAGUUUUAACUUGCUGCAGUUAAAAAAAGAAGAAAAAAAAAAUUACUUAUUAUUUUAUUCGGUUUCAACUUGCUAUUUCACCUCCUUGUUGCUGCAAUAAAAAAGGAUCUCCAGUAAAUUUGCUCCAAACCAACCCCAUCGGCCAUCUCUACACCUCAUCUGCGCCAAUCCACCAUUGUGUUUUUCUCUUACCAUCUUCAUGAGGAGCUGUUGAGAGUGAUGCCCAAUUGGCCAUGAAAUAUAUCCAACCAAUUUGCGCUCAAAUUUUCCAUGAAUGCAAAACAGACUCCUUUUGUUUGACACAUGCAUUUAUAUUUGUUUGGAUGGUAUCAUUGUGGAGAUGGUUGGAGAAAAUUUCAUGAAGUGAUUCUUCUAUUAGCUGAGGAAGAAAUUGGAAAAGAAUCAUUAUUUUUUUCUACCCAUUAUUUUAUAUGUAUAUAACUGUGUCGGUUUCUUUUCAAUUUUUUGGUUUGAAUGGAAUUUUAUUAAAUUUGAAAAACCAGUUUAUUUUUCCUCGAAAAAAGAAAUAGUUUAUUUUCUAAUAUAAAAGUGUUAUUCUACCACCUGACCAAAAAAAGUGUUAUUCUACCAAAAAAUAUUUAAUUAAAAGCGUUAAUUAUACCCAAAAAUACAAAAAAAAAAUUGCUUUUAAUUAGUAAAUAUGUUGUGGCUCAUACUCGAAGGUUACUUUAUAAGCCCCCCUCAUAUCUCUCUAGGCCCCCUAAAGUUACAAAAAUAUCCUCAAAUAACACAUUCUGUACAUACCUACGGAAGGUGAAUGUUUUUAAUUUUAUUUUUGCAGCUUCUGUACAUACCUACCGGACAGAGAAUUGAGGCAAAUAUUUAGGAAACUAAUAUGAAAAAAAGCCUGAAACUGAGUCCAUAAAUUCUCCAUUGAUGAAAAGCUUUUAAAACUUUAUAGUUGGAAUCUUUACAAAGGAGUCUAAGAUGAUGUGAUUUGCCAUCUCUAUUUCUCUGUCUACCUUUCAACAGGGACUACAAAGAGAAAAUUUUCAAUUGAGAAAAACUAUGAACUUCCUGAUGAACAAAUGGACAAGUUAUCACAAUUGGGGCUGAGAGGUUUCGUUGCCCAGAAGUCCUUUUCCAUCCAUCUAUGAUUUCAAAAUAUCUAUUUGGAAUGUAACUACAGAAAGUGUAAAUCUGAAAAUGUGAAAAUAUGCCUCCGGUAUGUACAUACCGAAGGUGCAAAAUGUGGAGAGAAAAAAUAUGCACUACCGGUUUGUAUCUACUGAAUGUGUUGUGAAGGUUAUUUUUGUAUUUUUAGGAGGCCUAAAAAGAUAUUGGAGGGGCCUAAAAAGUAACCUUCCAUUCUUAGAAGAAAAAAAAAUGGAAGCCAACAUCCAAACACAUAAAAGCCCACAAUCAAUUAUAAACAUAAACAAUUUGUUGUGGGGUAAAAAUUUUUGUAGUAGGUUUAAUUGGCAAAAAGUUAGAAGAAGGUUGCCAUCAACAAAUCUGAACCAUUCACUUAAAAUAUUAAUAUAUCAAUGGUUAAAACAUCAACUUUUUUAUGAUGGGAAAAAACUUCACUUUCCCAUUUUAAACCCCACCAGCCAAUAGAGAGAAACUACAUCAAAAGCUACACCACCUCAACAAGAACAAAAAGAUAAAUGGAGAAAAUUGAACCCGAAAUUUAUCAAGGACAGUCUCAAUUUGUGUGUUUUGAUACUUUUGUGUCUCAAAAUAAUUGAAUCAUUUGUAAAAUAAAAAAAAUUGUCUCACAAUAAUUUACUCGUUUCGCUUUUCAAUACAAUAUUAAUUACUUUUUUUUUAUUUAUAACUCUAAUUAAUACUACUUUCAUCAUUCCAAAUUUAAUAUCAAUAUAUUGAAUUUGGAGUAACGUAGAAUGUACAAAUAUUUGACAACACACUUAAAACCAUUUUUCACUCUUUCACUUAUAUAUUUUUUCUUAAUAUAUGUGAAAUGAACAAACGACUCACUUAUAUUAUAAAUCAGAGAAGUAUUUAGUUCAAGACUUUGUAUUGCUAAACUUUGACAUGUCUUGUGUUUAGUUUAGCCCCUUUAUUGAACAGGAAAAAAUACCGCAACUUCAGUAUCCCGGGCUAAAUGCCACCCCCCAUUCCCCAUAAGUUGCCAAAAGAAUAAAUAAACUCUGCUUUUGAUACAUAGACAUCCCUCGUUCCAACCAUCUAUGCAUAAAGACUCAAUAUAACGGCAAUUCAUCGAAGUACAUAAACCAAUUGUUUAAGGUGUACUAUUAGAGAAUCAAACCGAGGAACUAGUGGCGGAGCCAGGAAAUUUAUGGAGCUUGGGCAAAAAAUUAAUCGUAAAUUCACAUGUGACAUAAUAUAUAAACAGUCAUAAAUUGAAAGAAAAAUUUUUUUUUUCCUAAAAAAAAUUGAAAUAAAAGAUGUUUAUCAUUUUGUAAACAAAAGUACAAUUUAAAAUAUGAUUAUUAAUUGAAAUUGACCACGUAAUAUACAUGAAGUCUGAAAAUUGACCCUGCUGUAAUUAAAUAACAUGUAUUCUGACCAUGUAAUUCGAGAUUUUUAUUAUUUAUAACAUGUAAUAUACGCGAAGUCCAAAAAAGCAACCGAGAGAUUUAAUUUUUUCAUGAUUUCCUAGAGGCGAGUUAAGAACGUUAAAAUAUGGCUUUAACAAAAAAAAUAUAAAUUUUCGACAAACGACAAAUUAAUUAUGAUUUUUUAAAGUGUCAAAAGCUCAAAAAACAAAACAACGGAAAUCUCAAUCAAUAAAUCGAAUUUUGAGCUCAUUAUUUGCAGAGAGAUCUAUAAAAAUACAUAAAAAGGAUCUGUAAAGUUUCAUAGCAUUUCGAAGUCGUUUAAAUUUAUUUUGAUUUUUCAACUGAAACAUGUAAAAUUGAAAUUUUGUUUCGCGUAAGCGUAUACUCACAAGUCAAAUUUAGUUCCCUAAUUUUGUAGGCAUGACUAGAACAUGAUAAGAACCUUCACAAUGAAAUUUUGUAAUUUUUAAACUAGAUACAAAUUAAUUAUAAAUUGUUUAAGAAAUUCAUAAUUAUGAUGGAAUAAAAAUUCAUAAUUAAUUUAUCCCUGGUCGAAGAAAUUUAAUUUUGAGUAAAGCUAUAUUUUAACGUGCUAAAUAUGUAUGAAAAAAAUAGUGAAAAAAUUCAACAUGUAGGGCACAUUUUUAGACUACACGUAUAUUAUAGAGUGGUCAAAAUUAAAUAAGAAGAAAUUCAAGUUGCAAUGCUAGAAUAUAUAUUUUUUAUUUUAUUGGGUCAUUUUUCAAACAUAAAGUAUAUUACAAGGUCAAUUUGAACAAUUAACCCGUUAAAAUAAGAGAGAUGAACCCGUCAAUAGCGUACUAAAUAAAAUUUCAAGACUUAUUUGCGUGUGACAAUUUUCAGAUUGCCCAAAUUUUUCUUUUUGUAAAUGUGUUAACGGGCUUUUGGGUUGAGUCUAAUGUGCAAAAAUUAUCGAUCGAGCCCGGGCGAUCGUCUGGGGUCGCCAUACGGUAGAACCGCCCCUGCUAGGAACGAGGGGCGGAUCCACUUAGGUGUUAUGUGGAGCUAAAGCUCCACAUGUUUUUUCCUUUUUUUUUUGUUAUAAUUGAUAAAACGAAAAAGAAGUGACUUAGUAAAUAAUUCUCUCAUUUUCCCUUCUCUCUUAGUCUCGUAAAGUCAUUUCUAGUUUUUACGUGACAAAUUAUUGAGGAUGUCUGAGUUUUAUCCAAAUGAUUUUAUAGAUAUGUCGGAAGUGACGUUACGCACUCAACUUGUGAAUUAUGUUACAAAUGUUUAAAAUUUGCUAAGUUCAAAGGGCUUUUAGAUCUUUAUGCAAAACUUGUGGAAACAAAUAAGUGCAAACAAGAUGUAUGUUAGCACACUACUGUAUAUUAGACUAUUUGAUCUGCGAGUUUUUGUGUUUCUUACACAAUCUCGACGAGAAUAAUAUUUAUCGAUUAACAAAAAAUACAUUUAACUAAUUUGCAUUAUUAUACAAGGGUGAUUAAAUGGAGUAAGCCGAAUAGAGGUCGAAUGAAAUGUAAUAUUGAUGCAUCGUUUCCUAAUAAUGAGAACCGAAUUUGAAUAGGCAUUUGCAUUUGGGAUGAUGAAGGUGCAUUUGUGAUUGCAAUAACAUAAUGUUUAACUUCAAAGUGUGAUGUGCACAUUGAUGAAGCAUUGGGUUUGUUGACAACUCUUCAAUGGGUGCAUGAGUUACAUACAGUUAGGGCCUAUAGAGUUCGAACUUGAUUCCAAAAAAAGUGGUUGAUAGCUUUGGAGCUAAUAGGCAUGAUUCGACGGAAUUUGGAGCUAUUAUUAAUUAUUGUAAAAUAUUGUUUAAUCAUUUAUAUGAAAACUCGAGUGUAGAGUUUGUUCGGAGACAAGCAAAUGGGGUUGUCCAUGAAUUAGCAAAGGCGGCCACAUUAUCGAUUAGUUUCCAUAUUUUGGUUAUGCCACCACAUUGUAUUGAACACAUUUUAAUUAAUGAUAUUCUAUAAGUUUUCCCCUCUAAAAAAAAAACUAAUUUGCAUUAUUAUUUAUAUGAAAUUUUAACUACAUAUAUACCGAAAGUAUAGAUUUGCCCAUGGUAGAAACCCGUCAAAAUUUGUUAUUUCCACCAAUUAGUGAAUACUAUCCAUUUUACAAAGCCAUCAUUCGGUUAAGAAACUGUCAAAUUGUUAUCCUGCAUUCACUUAUAAUAGCAUGUGUCUUUCACUGUUAGACAAACAAACAAAUAUUAACAGCUUAAACUUUUUGAGAAUUUGUACAUAUUUUAAAAAAAUAUCAUAUGAAUAUGUAUUUAAUCUCACUUUUUGUACUUUACUACUAAAGAAGGUUUCAGAUUUCGCCACCAGAAUACUUUCCAUGUACUUCUCUUAUUUUAUCAUCACAUCUCUCACUUUCUUCUUUCAAGGUAGUUUUAUGAUCUAUUAAAAAGUUCACGGGGAAAUAAACAUCUAAGUAGGUUUUAGGCUAUGCCAAACUCUUUAAAAAGUUACGUUAGAUCCUUAAAAAAAGUUAUGUUAGAUCCUUAAAAGAUCAGAUUGAGAGACAAGGAAAGGGGCAUGUAAUUUCUUGGAUUGCUACAUGAAUAUCUACAAGUACAGACAAUUCAAUUUAGGAUUAAUGGUGUUUUUGGAUUAUUAUUGAAGAAGAAGAAGGUGAGGGGGGUACAUUACAACAAGCAGGGCAGUAUCUGAGGCAGGGUCGAAGAGGGCGACCGUCCUAGGUCCCAAAAAAUAUAUACGAAAUUUGGGCCCCAAAAUUUAUUUUUAAGGGUCUAUUAAGCCCUAAAAAAAUUGUUUAGUUUUUUGAAUCAGAUUUGAUGUUUAUAUAUAUUUAUUAGUCAGGAUCCAAAUUGCAGGUUCGCCCUAAGCCACCAUCAGAAACGGCCUUGACAACAAACCCAAUUAUGCUCUCAAAUUUUGGUCUAUGGUAUGGCCAAGGCAAACAUGAAAAUGAUAUAGUUUGGCAUAGAAACUACAUCUUUGCAAUGGUUUUUGGCUAAAUAGAAGGAAGUGCCUUGUUUGUUUCCUGAAUGGUGUUAUAAUUCCUAGAUAUAGAUGAAUAAAUAGACUCUAAGUUGGUGUUAGUAUGUGGUUUGUUUUGUCUCUAUCUUUUCUUUUGAAAUGGUUAGGUUAGCCUUGUACUCUUUAUCAAUAAAAUUUCCAUGCACUUAAAUAAAAACAUGACAAAACUGAUAAAAGAAAAGAAGAAGAAGAAGAAAAAGAUGAUUACUGCUCCAAUCUCGGAUACAAGGUGACAACUAGGGUACUCAUGGAAGAAUGGUGGGUAAUUUACCCCAACCAAUACACAUUAGCCACAUAAACACAUUUUUAAGUGGUAUUAAUGAACUAUCUUGACUCCACCAAUAAAUUUCUCAUUUUCAUUGGUUGGUGGGUAAAUUAUAUAUCCACCAUUCUUCAAAGAUAAUCUAGAAAAAACCCAGAUACAAACAAAACUGGUCAAAUAAAGUCAAUGUAUUUGGACAAAAGUUUGGACCAAAUACAUCAAUAAUAAACUUAGAUCAAAUAUACUUAUAAAUGUUUGUGCUUUUGUUUUAUAAUGUAAUAAACUUUGUGGAUUGCAUUCGUUUCCUUCUGUGAUGGACCAACAUCGAUUAGUCUUAGAACAGGACAACAUAAGUUCUGCCGACAAAUGUAUAUUAUUAUACAGCCAGCAUCCUGCGGAAAUUAAUUAUCUUGAAUGGAUUUUAUUCAUUGAUUUCAAAAAAUGAAUGGGAAAAAAUUGAAAAUCCAAUUGUCAUCUAAUUUGAUGUGCAACUCACAUUAUGUUUCGAUAUUCACUCAUUAAUGAUUUUUUUUAGGGAAACAUAAUAUUCAUGAGUGAAAAUUGAAACAAUUGUCGAAAAAUGUUCCAGUGACCAAAUCCAGAGUAAUAAUCAAACCUAAUUUUACGUAGCAUAAUAAAAAUCAUUGAAAAUGCAGAAAAUACAAAUUCAAGGUAUACAAUAUGUUUACGAUUUUUCUUCACUAAAACUCUUUUACAACUUUGCUUGUGCAGACAAAAUGGUGUUGUUCCAAAGUAUAAAAGUAAACAUAAGUGUAGGAAAGGAGAGAAAAGACGAUGAUUUAAAUACUUGAAGUUGAAGGGAAAGGAGACACUAUGGUCACAAAUAUGUGUAAUGAACAAAAGUAACCCAAAAAAAAACUAACUAUGGUCACAAACUUAAACAAAAUAACCCUUAAAAAAAAAGAACUUCUACGGUACAUGUAACGCCCUCUUUGAAUUAUUUGUUUUAUUUGAUUAUUUUAUUUAGUUUAUAGUUUUUUUGAAUAAUUUAUUUGAUUUAUGAUGAUGUGUGUUAUUUUUGUGUUAUAGGUUGGUGUUUUAGUAGUAUAUUAUCUAGUGUAGAAAUAUAUUUGUUAUAGAAAUAUAUUUGUUAUUUGGUGUAGAAGAAUUAUAUAUAUAUAUAUUAAUAGAAUAUUGAGACUUUGGGGGCUGAUUUGGGAAUUUAGAAGAGUUUAAGAGAAUAAGUGGAGUUAAGAGAAAAUAGAUAGGUUAAGGUUAUAAAAAGAGAAAAGUGAGAAGUCAGAAUAGUUUUUCACGUACAACCAGUUUUUGGAGAAAAAGGAAGAAAACCUAGAGAAGAGGAGGAACGAGAAGAGAACCUUGCAAUCCAUUUCUUAAGGUAAGGGUGGGACUAACAUUCAAUAAUCUUGAGUCUAUGAUUCUNNNNNNNNNNNNNNNNNNNNNNNNNNNNNNNNNNNNNNNNNNNNNNNNNNNNNNNNNNNNNNNNNNNNNNNNNNNNNNNNNNNNNNNNNNNNNNNNNNNNNNNNNNNNNNNNNNNNNNNNNNNNNNNNNNNNNNNNNNNNNNNNNNNNNNNNNNNNNNNNNNNNNNNNNNNNNNNNNNNNNNNNNNNNNNNNNNNNNNNNNNNNNNNNNNNNNNNNNNNNNNNNNNNNNNNNNNNNNNNNNNNNNNNNNNNNNNNNNNNNNNNNNNNNNNNNNNNNNNNNNNNNNNNNNNNNNNNNNNNNNNNNNNNNNNNNNNNNNNNNNNNNNNNNNNNNNNNNNNNNNNNNNNNNNNNNNNNNNNNNNNNNNNNNNNNNNNNNNNNNNNNNNNNNNNNNNNNNNNNNNNNNNNNNNNNNNNNNNNNNNNNNNNNNNNNNNNNNNNNNNNNNNNNNNNNNNNNNNNNNNNNNNNNNNNNNNNNNNNNNNNNNNNNNNNNNNNNNNNNNNNNNNNNNNNNNNNNNNNNNNNNNNNNNNNNNNNNNNNNNNNNNNNNNNNNNNNNNNNNNNNNNNNNNNNNNNNNNNNNNNNNNNNNNNNNNNNNNNNNNNNNNNNNNNNNNNNNNNNNNNNNNNNNNNNNNNNNNNNNNNNNNNNNNNNNNNNNNNNNNNNNNNNNNNNNNNNNNNNNNNNNNNNNNNNNNNNNNNNNNNNNNNNNNNNNNNNNNNNNNNNNNNNNNNNNNNNNNNNNNNNNNNNNNNNNNNNNNNNNNNNNNNNNNNNNNNNNNNNNNNNNNNNNNNNNNNNNNNNNNNNNNNNNNNNNNNNNNNNNNNNNNNNNNNNNNNNNNNNNNNNNNNNNNNNNNNNNNNNNNNNNNNNNNNNNNNNNNNNNNNNNNNNNNNNNNNNNNNNNNNNNNNNNNNNNNNNNNNNNNNNNNNNNNNNNNNNNNNNNNNNNNNNNNNNNNNNNNNNNNNNNNNNNNNNNNNNNNNNNNNNNNNNNNNNNNNNNNNNNNNNNNNNNNNNNNNNNNNNNNNNNNNNNNNNNNNNNNNNNNNNNNNNNNNNNNNNNNNNNNNNNNNNNNNNNNNNNNNNNNNNNNNNNNNNNNNNNNNNNNNNNNNNNNNNNNNNNNNNNNNNNNNNNNNNNNNNNNNNNNNNNNNNNNNNNNNNNNNNNNNNNNNNNNNNNNNNNNNNNNNNNNNNNNNNNNNNNNNNNNNNNNNNNNNNNNNNNNNNNNNNNNNNNNNNNNNNNNNNNNNNNNNNNNNNNNNNNNNNNNNNNNNNNNNNNNNNNNNNNNNNNNNNNNNNNNNNNNNNNNNNNNNNNNNNNNNNNNNNNNNNNNNNNNNNNNNNNNNNNNNNNNNNNNNNNNNNNNNNNNNNNNNNNNNNNNNNNNNNNNNNNNNNNNNNNNNNNNNNNNNNNNNNNNNNNNNNNNNNNNNNNNNNNNNNNNNNNNNNNNNNNNNNNNNNNNNNNNNNNNNNNNNNNNNNNNNNNNNNNNNNNNNNNNNNNNNNNNNNNNNNNNNNNNNNNNNNNNAGAAUCAUUACAUAAAGGAUUGUUAUUACUAAUAGAUGAAGUUAUUUAUGUUGUUAAAUAUAAUUAAUGAAUUAUAUGCUUGAUAUUAUUGUUUUGUGAAAUCUCACCCCUUCUGCUUGGAAAUGUUGCUCUUCGUAUGAGUAACUUGCAGGUGAUCGAGUUUAAGUUGUUGUUAGAUUGUUGUUGUGAGUGAAUUAUCUCUCAUGUGUGUCUUUAGGUGCUCUGAUACAUAACGGGAUGGGAACUUUGUUGCAUGCUUUUCGAUUCCUUACGUAUUGCUUAUGAAUUUACAUAAUUAAGUUGUUAAUUGGAUUUUUAUGAGAUACUUUGAUGAGGCCUUCGUGCCAAAAUUAUUUUUAGAUGUUCGAAUAAAUUCCGCUGCGAAGUAUUAAAUAUUAUGUUAUUGAAUUUUGAAGGAUAAUUAAUUAAUUAUUCCGUUUGUGAUUUUAAGAAAAGAAAUGUGACAUUCCGUUUAUGUGAAUUACUCUGAUUAAAUAAAUGAAAUUUUUACGUUGGGAAAACGGGGUGUUACAGUACACCCGCAAAUUAAGGUGUACCGGUACUCCUACUUCAAAAAUCUUUAAAAUAACUAUUAUUUUUAUGGAAUAAAGUGCUAUUUGUUGAUAUUUUUAUUUUUAAAAAUGUCAUUUCAUAAGAAAAAACAUCAUUUCAUUGUUUAUAAAAAUCAUACUAAUUUUUUUUACAUUUUAUUGUAAAAAAUAAUCAAAAUUCUCUAUUAUGAGUACUAAAAAUUCAGAAAAAUUUUAUUUUAUUUCGUCGACGUUUUUGGUGAAUAAGAUUUAAUUAUAGAUGAUAGAAAAUAACAUUUUUUUUCAAAAAAUAACACAUUUAACUAUUAAUUUAUUGAUUUGAUGUACCAAUACACUCAAAAUUUUGAGUGUACCAUAUAAUUUGCCCAAAAAAAACUUAAACAAAAUUCAGCACCAUCUAUUUUAUAUGUCACUAUCAAAUAGAUCAUUGAUUUUAUGAAUAAUCUAAAAAGAUCUAAGACUCUAUUAAAUUUUUAAAUUGGUCUUUAUUAUUAAACAACUUACAAUCAAUUCAGUACUCAUAUUUUAACAACAUACCGUCAAUUUGGUCCUUAAGUUCAUGCAUUUAUUGUUAAUUAAAUCUCUACCAUAUUCUUUAAAGGACUUCCAUGACUAAAAUUUAAAAGAAUUAAUAACUCUAUUGAAAUUUUCGUAUUGAAACAUAAAGUGGAGAUCUUUUUCAAUGUGAUCUAUGUAACGUCCUUGGCUGACGAAGGUGAGGAGUGGUCGGUCUCGCUCCUGACAACUUUUAGGCAACCGGAUCAUAUUGAAAUGAGAGGGGUUAUGAGACUGUGUAUGUAUGAGAUUGCACGGUUAAAGGAAUGCUUAUAAGAAUUGUUUGGUAUUUUCCUCAACAAAAAAAAUUUGUUUGAUAUUAUCUAUAUCAACAAGAUGCAUCUUAUUUUCACAGGCAAUUCCUUAUUAACUUCAUAAUUAAGCGUGCUUGACUUGGAUGAAUAACCUUCUAUAAAAUUUCUCAAAAACAUGUGAGUGAGGACAAAACACGUCAAAAAAACUCAUGUUGGACUAUAGGAGGAAGGAGGAAGGGUUGGAAUUAGAGGAAAAUUGUGUUGAUGGUUUCACUACAUGAACAUUUUACCAUGACGUGUUGCAGGACUAGGUAUAUCUUUUAUAUGAUAUUCUUUUGUAUUUAUAAUUUGAUAUAAAUCCCUCAUGCAAGACUUAGAAUGCUAUUCAAGGGUUUUGACGUUAUUGCCUUCUCAAACAUCAGAUUGGAUUGGAUUUGAACUUUGAGAUCUCUUGUUAAACUUUUUUUUAAACAAUAAUGUUAUCGUAUUUUAAGUAACAAUAAUGUUAUCUUAACACUCUUUUUUCCCUACUUUAUUUAUUAUACACCUAUGUAAAAGGACAUUUUAGUCGUUUCAUCUUAUGUGAAAGAGAAUAUUAGAUGGGAUGGUAAAGACUAUGGAGAAAGUCUACUUUAGUCACAAAUAUAAAUGAAUAGUGCUUGAACAUACUCACAUCAAAAUAUAUAUUUUUUUUUUUAAAAAAAAUGGAAAAUGCUAGAUAUCAAAAUGAUUUAGUCUUCAAAGAAAAAAGUUUUUGACGUGUGUAUGAUUAAAUACUAUUCAUUUAUAUUUGUGCUCAUACAAAAAUGCUUCUCUCACAUUUGUGUAUAAUGAUUGAUAGAAGAAGUGUGUGCCACCCAUGUACUAAUCUAUUUUUAAAGGAGAUUAUUAAUUAAACUUGAAAAUAUCCCAAAAUCGUAUCUUUUGAGAUUAUUAAAAGUAAAAAAUAAUUAUUUUUUUAUAAAAAUCCAGUAUCCUAAAGUAGUUUGACUCCACGUGUUAAGCUGCAUGUUGAGGUUCACCAUUGCAUGCUGCCACCUUUCCCCUCCAAUCACAUCCCUCAUCUCACCAACCGCCACAACCACCUACAUAAACGCUCUAUAUAUCUCAAACAAACAAGGUCAAAAUCGCCAUUACCCCACCAUCCAAGUUCCGUGGAAGCAAACACCGCAGAAGCAAACAGAGCAAAACAGAGGAAGGUAGCAGCACAGCGAUGGUAACAAAACCAAGCAUGUCUCUCACGUGUUUUGCACGUGUUACCAUCUUCCUCUACGCUCUAACCCUAUCAACUGCGUUUCACCGCCAUGAAAACUUGAUUCAGGACGUGGCUAGAAAGCUUGAGCUCAAAGACAACGAACUUCUCAAAACUGAGAAGAAGUUCAAAGUUUUCAUGCAAGAUUACUCCAAAAGUUACUCUACAAGGGAAGAGUAUUUACUACGCCUUGGGAUUUUUGCCAAAAACUUGGUCAAAGCUGUGGAACACCAAGCACUUGAUCCAACCGCCAUUCAUGGUGUUACUCAGUUCUCUGAUCUCUCUGACGAGGAGUUUGAACGGUUCUAUACUGGUGUUAGAGGUGGAUUCCCCUCGAGUAACGGCGUUGGCGAGGUUGCACCACCCUUGGAUGUGGAAGGAUUGCCGGAGAAUUUCGAUUGGAGGGAGAAAGGGGCUGUUACUGGAGUCAAGAUGCAGGUACAUGAGUUUAACAUUUUAACAUGCAUGUUUGAAAUUUCUAGUUUUUCUUUGUGGUUAUAAAAUUUUGGUUAUUGUUAGUGUCUAGUUGAGAAAGUAUAUAUGUUGAAUAUGAUUUUUUAAAGUUUUGUAUAUGAAGUAUUUGAAAACUAUAGAAUUAGAUAAUAAAAUGAAAACAAUGUGAUAUUUAUAUAGGAAUGAUAAAACUUAGUUUUUGUUUUUUUUUUUAAUAUUGAGGAUAAUACUUGGUUCAAGUUGUUUACAUUUUUACAAUACUAAAAAAAAAGUGAAGUAAUUUCUAUUAUGUUUCUAUAAAAAUUGUUUUUGGUUUUUGUUGUGCUUAAUUUUGAAACAGGGUACAUGUGGAUCUUGCUGGGCUUUCAGCACUACAGGAUCUAUAGAAGGAGCCAAUUUUCUUGCCACAGGAAAACUCCUCAGUCUUAGUGAACAACAGCUUGUGGACUGUGACAGCAAGGUAUAUAAGCAUCUCUAUGUUUAUGACUUUUUCAUUGAAGAUUAACUAUGUUCUAUACUUCAAAAUAUGAAAGAAUGAAUAAAAAAAUUCAAUGUUAUUAAACAAGUUUUAAAUGAAUUUCGCAAUGAUUCAAGCCAAUUAUGCUCUUGCUAAUCUUGUGUUUUAUUGUUCUACUAUUUUGCCUUUGUCAAGUGUGACAUAACAGACAAGACAUCAUGUGACAAUGGUUGUAAUGGAGGUCUUAUGACAAAUGCCUAUAAUUAUUUGCUUGAGGCUGGUGGAUUAGAGGAGGAAAAUGCAUACCCUUACACUGGUGGUAAGGGUGAAUGCAAGUUUGAUCCAAAGAAAAUUGCAGUUAAAAUCACAAAUUUCACCAAUAUACCUGUGGAUGAGAACCAAAUUGCUGCAUAUUUAGUUAAUCACGGUCCACUUGCAAGUAAGUCCCUUUAAUUAAUUAAAUUACAAGUUCUAACAUAUAUGCAUGUGUGAUGAAUUGUGAAACUUAGACGGACACUCACAUUGAUUGAAUGUAAUCACAUGCAACACAUCAGACUCCGACAAACUUGAAGUAUGUGCGACAUUGAUUUGUCGAUCUUUGUUUAAUUAAAUUGAUGUUGAUGAUCAUGAACUCUAAUUUGUGCAGUGGGGGUAAAUGCGGUUUUCAUGCAAACAUACAUUGGUGGUGUGUCAUGCCCUCUCAUAUGUAGCAAGAGAAUGCUGAACCAUGGUGUAUUGCUUGUGGGAUAUAACUCACAAGGUUUCUCCAUUCUUAGGCUUCGCAAGAAACCAUAUUGGAUCAUUAAGAAUUCGUGGGGAGAACGAUGGGGAGAAAAAGGGUAUUACAAGCUUUGCAGAGGGCAUGGUAUGUGUGGAAUGAACACAAUGGUUUCUGCUGCAAUGGUCGCUCAAACACAACCAGCUGAAAACAAAUCAUAUGCUUCCUAUUAGCUAGCUACCUAGUUCUGUUCUUGCUUUGCUAUGGAGACAGAAAAAGUGUGGAGUAUUGGCGAUAAGUUCUUAUUAUUAUAGCAAAAUAGUUCCUUUCCUAUUAGGUUUGAUAUAUGUAAGAGACUUCACCAAAUUGUAAUAAGUUUGCUUCUCCAAUUUAGUUUAAGUUCCCUCUUAAGAAAUGUAUUGUAGUGUGUGGAUGUAAUGUAUACUAUAUGAUAUAUGAUUAGGAAUGUGUGUGUUAUAAGGUGUUAAGACCUAACAAAAUCUUUCUACAUUUGAAAGUGGCACAUUGGGAAUAACCCAAUUCCAAAAUCUAAGAAUAUAGUGUUAAGAUAGAUGGUAGAAAAACCUCAAAUGCAGACAAUUAUAUAUGCUUAAGCUAAAAUGAAACAGUCUCUUUUUUCUCUCAUAUAAGUAACUUUAAGCAAUGUUUUAAAAAGUUGUAUUUUUCAAUGAAAACGUUUAUACUUUUGAGUAUUAAAUUCAAAUUAGAAACAAGAACAGUCAAUUAACUGUUUUACGUGUGUAACAGCUGUGGAAAUAUAUUUUGUGAAAAUAUAUUUUCACAGUUGAUAUGAUAUAAGCAGAUUCUAAAAAAAUGAUGAACAAAAAACAGGGGAAAUAGACAAGUUAGAUCGCGCCUUUAGAAUAUUUCUUAUAUAUAAUUCAAGAACAAUCAUCACAAAUCCGUUGUAGUCUAGUUGGUCAGGAUAUUCGGCUCUCACCCGAAAGACCCGGGUUCAAGUCCCGGCAACGGAAAUUUUUUUUGUUAUCUCGAACAUGAAUUCACACAAAUCAGUUAAUGAUAUUUAUGCUCUUAAUAUUUCCCUUUUUUUCUUUGAGGUGUGCUCUUGAUAUUCAAUGUUCUUGCAAUUUUUUUUUAAGUCUGACAUGCCAGAUAAAUAGAAAAUGGUUGUAAUUUACAUGAAUCGAAAUAUUGUAUUUAGCAUGAAUGAAUUUGGUUCUAAAAUAGGGAUUUGUUAUUUGAAAUGAUUUCACUUAGUAAUCGAACUUUUUUUUUUUUAAGCAAGAUACUUAGUAAUCGAACUUAUUAACCACUUAAAUUGAAUUGUUUGAUUUUUUUUUAAUAAAGUUCAAUUGCUUGAUUAAAAAAUUAAUUAUACUGACUUAAAAUAAUUAUUAUUUAGAUUAAACAGUGGUGUAAAAUAGUAAAUUAUUAUCUUUUUGAAUUACUCACAUAAAAGGAAGAUGCGUUUUAUUACAUGUGAUUAAUUUGAAAUUAGAAAUAAAUCAUCUCGAUUUUAUUUUUUAAAAAGCCAAAAUAAAUGUAGAUAAAAACCCCCUAUCAAGCAUAAGAUAUUCUUAACAAGGGAACAAAAGAGUACAAGUGAUCAAGGAAAACAAAACAAAAGGGUUAGUCCAAUGCAAACUGAAGGGUAAGGCCACGACAUAUGAAAGUCGAAAAAUAAGUUCGCAUUUAGAGCUUUAAACCAUCACCAUAAAUAAAGCUUAACAUGAUCUAAUAGUUGCUUCUUAGAUGAGAUUUUGGCGGAGAAAAAAACUCGGAGAAUUAUACUCCUUUCAGAUGACUUGAAUACAUAUCAUCUAGAUAACAUGAAAACAAUAGCAGAUAUCUUUAUAAAACAAGUGGGAGCCAACAAAUUGAAACACAGGUACCCCAUCACAUCAAUAGGCAAGACACUUUGAACUUCUGACCAACGGAGAACAUCAAUCCAAAAUGUUGUCAAAAAAAACACACACACUCAAAAAGUAUAUGAUUAUUAGUUUUCUCUAUUUUGCAACCCUCUAAGCAUACUAACGAAUUCAGGUGAAUGACGAUGCGACACACCAAAUUGUCUUUGGUAGGAAUCAUCUUGUUCAAAAGCCUCAAAACAAAUAAAAGCACCGCGUUGUUUCAAAUGAUUUUUGUGAAAGAAUCGUGAAUAUGUUGCUCCACUUGGGCAAAUAAAUGAUACACUCAUUUGGUAGAAUCAUGCUUCCAAAUUCAUUUGUCUGACAUGCUAUCCUACAAAAUAACGUUAUCGAACAUAAAAAUACACUCUCCCACAUGAUCCUCCUCCCAAGCAAGUAAUAUCAUCCACCAUGAACAGUCUACCCCCCACCCACCAUCAUCAUCAUCAUAACCUCUUCACUUCGCUGCUGAAACAUUACCUUCUACUGUCAACUCAGACAACCGCCUAACGCUUACCCACAAUGGUACUCUCUGUAACCAAGGAUCAUUUCAAAAAGAUGUGUUUUCACCAUGAUCCACUCGACACACUACUUCAUUUGCGAACAAACCACCCACAUCUGGAUCAACUUUAUCUUUAAUACAACAUAAGUCUUUUCACCAACCCAACACCUUACUACUCCUUUCCUUUUAUACAAAUUUAUUAAUACUUGUGUGCAUGACAAGUUUUAGUAAUUAGUUAUUAGAUUAUUUUGUGUCCUUCUUCUGGGUUCGAACCAGGAUUUUCAACUCUUUAUCACUUAGCACUAGUUAAGCUAUCCGAUCUUACAGGUGGAAAUAGGCUAGGCUUUGCAAGGCCUAAGUCAAUUGUGUAAAAAAAUUUAAGACUUGAGUCUGACUUAUGGCUUGUCGUAAGCUUUUUUUUAGGCCAAAGUCUAGCCUCUUGAAAGUCUAGUAUGACUUUUUAGUCUAUUUAAAAGUGUAUUUCAUAUGAUAUAUGUUUAAAUAGACUAGCAUACUAAUAGAUCAAUGAGAUUAAAUUCUCUUUUGAUAUUUAACAUGAUUUUAUAGAGAAUUCAACUAUAUAUGAUAUCGUAUUUCAGUUCUAAUUUAUAAUAAUACAUUUAAAAAAUAUGUGAACAGUGAAUGUAAACAAAUAAGCUUAAAUUACUAAAAAUGUUGACAAAUUUAUAACUUAUUUCAAAAUACAAAGUUUAAUAUAAUAAUAAACGUGGUAAUAAAUAAUAUCAUUUCUAUUGACUUCCUUUAAAAAAAUAUUAUUAAUAUUGGCUUAAAUAGGCUAACUUCAUAGGUCUUAGAAGCCUUGUUUUUUUUUUUUUUUAAAUUAUCUUUUAUCUACCAUUUUUAGCUAAAUAGAUUUAUUAAAAAGUCUAAGCAUUAUAUAUUUUAAAAAAAGUCUGAUGUAGACUAAUUCGUAGGUCUCGCUAAGUCGGUCUUAUUUAUUUUCACUCAUAUCCAACCCCCAAAAAAGUUUUAUUUAAACUAAAAAUGUACAUGAAUUAAAUCAUUUAGUUGGUAAAAAAUUAGCUCCUACAACUUUUGUCAAAAAUAAAAAUAAAACUUUUUGUCAUAAAAAAAUUCAUAUCAGUAUAUGUAUAUCAUAAAAAAGAAAAUCCAAUGAAGAGACAUUUUAGAAUGAUUUGAUUGAAGCUUUCAUAUCUCACCUUACAAAUUGCAAUCAAUUAUUUUGAUUUGAUUUGUAAAUGCUUAAAUUAAGAUUAAAAGGACUUGAUACACUUUAAAAAUCCAACAAUUUAGCCGGAUAAUAAGGGGUGAAAAUCUUUUACUUAAAUGUUUUGAUUUAAAACCAAUAAAUAAAUUAUCUUGAUUUAAAAUAAACAUAUUUUCUUACUGGUCCACCUAAUCAACCCAGAUUUUCCAAUGUCUCAAACCAAAUAACUCCUACUUGGCCACCACGCCAGCGAAGGUGAAAAGGAAACAGCAUGUGGUUCUAAUCACACAAAACAAAUUUACCAAAACACCCUCAAGCAUCUUUUUUAUCCUUAUCCACUUUUUAUGACUAUUAAUGGUUGGUAAUGGGCAAUGUAGACAUAUCACAAUUAUUACACGUUUCUUCCAAUUUACAACUAACAACUACCGUCCAACAACUCUUACAAUUAUCCAAUAAAAUCCACAAAAUCGAAUAUUCAAAAAACACUUUUUUUUUUUUUUCCUUUUUUACAAGACAACUUGCGACUCGCCCACAGACAUAAAAUUCAACAAAUAAAAACACACAGAGAAGUGAAAAAGAUUGCACCUUUUGUUAAUUCUUGUGGUUUAAUGCUUGUUCUGAAGCAAACCCAUUUUUCAUAAUUGUAUCUUGAUAACGUUUUCAUUUCUUUCUGCUUCAAUUCAUCUCUUUGGUAAGGGUAUUUUUUUUUUUUAUGAAAAGACAUGAUUGAAAAAUCUUAAAUUUAUGUUGUUUUGAUCAUGUUUUGUUUUAUGGUUUCUUGAUUUUGAUUCAGAUCUCAAUUGGGUUAUUGUUUUUGCACUUUUUUUGUUGAAUGCAUUACUCACUGUUUGAAAAUGUUUAUGUCUUUUCUUGUUUUUCUCUGUUUUUUGCUUGGUAGUUUAUGUUUCUUGUGUGCAUGCUAGUUACUAGUUAGUAGUAUUCAUGGUUUUCUGUAUGAAAACGUGUUAUUUAAUAUUUUGAUUAAUUUGAUUAUACAUUUGUAACCGACACAAGGCUUCAAACUAUAUCACUAAUCCGAAAUGCGGGUUCUUGAUUGGUCUAUACAAUUAUUUUGCAGUUUUGUUUAUAUUCAUUAAUUAAUUAAUUACGAAAUUUGGUUAUUUCAAGUGAGGUGGGUUUAAGAUCUUAAAGUAACACAUCUGUGUUCUUCUACUGUGAUUAUUUUAUCUCAGAUCUGGAAAGAAAGUUAGUUAAAUUAGUUAAUGAAAUUCAAGUAUUUGAUGGGAAUAGUACUUUAUAAGGUUUUAGAUAAUUAGGUUAGAUUAUAUAAAUAAAGUUAAUUAAAUUAGAUUAGUAGGGGCUUCAAUGUUAGUUUCUUGACUUAAUCUUAUCUUUUGAAACAAAUUGUUCGGUUAUUGACUGACUAUGAAGCACGGGCAGAGACACCGGACACCCCGACACACCAACACCGAUAAUAAUUUGAGAAAAUGACAUAAUUCAGUGUAACAAUAUGUGUUGGUGGGUGUCGUGUCAGUGUCGGACAUCGGGACACACCUAAUUCGAGGAGUGUCUGUGCUUCAUAGGUUAUUGAUGCAAUUUAAAUUUAAAUCAUACUGCUGUGGAAGAGCUAGGAAAUGUGAUGACGGUUUCUCUUUAUGUAUGAAAUUGUGUAGUUUUUCCCUAUUGAAGCUUUUUUCUUGUUAUGCAGCAACAGCAACACUGACGAGUGAGCAUUAGUUUUUUUCAAAACCCGUGACAUUCGAUUGGCGAUAACUGCUAGGAAGCUUGGAGGUACUUCUAAUCUUUAGAAGGAAAUAAUUAUUAGUAUUCAUUGUAGUAUUAUUGUGGAAUACAAUGGAGGUCUGUGCUGAAAGUACCCAUUGCAAUGGGAAACAGACUUUGAAGCAUUCUAAACCUGCAGAUGAAGUAAAAAGAUCAAGUGAAAACACUUGCAGAUGUUCUCGUCCAAACGGGAAGCAAAAUUUGAAGCAAACUUCCACUUUUGUCAAUCAUGGUGAGUCUUUCAUGAUCAUGGAUUCAUGGUUUUGUAUUUGCUUAUCACAAUGGUUCCACACGAUUAUAAUUUUUACUCUGUUGUUUAAAACCUAAUAUUGGUGAAUAUAUUAUGCAGCUGCAAAUGCUUGGCAUGAGAAUAGAAAAAAGUGGGUUGGCGAUAAGGCUAUGCAUUCACCAAGAACACCUAAGGAUCCAAUUAUUAGGUAUACCCCAAUCCAGCUCCAUUUCUUUUCAUUUACAGCAGUUUCAUUCGUUGUUAACACUAAUGAUGGCAGAUUUGAAUGGUUUUCAUCAUCUGUUUUUAUUUGAGAGAGAAAACAAUAUAAAGAAAAAAAAUGGGAUAGUGAAUUAGAAGGGGUUUUAUCUUUCACAUUUUUCUUGUUUCUGCAUUCAUGUUUAAGAAAUAAAAAUUACUUUGCUAAUUGGAAUCAACAUAAUUCAUUACCCUUCUAAUCAUGCUCCCCUUUUCUGGUCUUACUCUUACUUAAAUACUACAAACUCUAAUCAGGCAUACUCGUAUAGUCUUUUUCAGGGUAAAUUUACUGUUUACUCCCCUCUAGUUUCUCACAUUUUCAAUUCACCCCCUCAAUCUCAAUCCCCCUUUGCAUUGAAGUGAACUGAAACUGUUUAUAAUAUUUUUACAUGCAUAUUUCUUGUUGCUGCGUUGAUUGCAGAUGGCACAAUGUACGUGCCACACAAACGUUUGGUUGCUAAUAGCUUUAUUCAAAUACACAAGAUUUGAAAACAUAAUGUGCCUCUCUUAUCAAGAGCAUUGAUCAAAACAUACUAUGUACUUUUGUUUGAUUUCCUUUCAAGUGAUAUGAUAGUUUUGGGGAUAAUGUCUAAACCCGUGUUUUAGUACAAUUGGUUUAUAGAUAUACUGUAGUAAUGUGCUUUCCAUAAUUUUUAUGCAUUUAUUUGGCUAUCAUUUUAUGACAACUCACAAUUUUAUUUAAUUUAUUUCAGCUGGUCAACAUCAUACGAAGACCUACUUUCUACUCACGAACCUUUUGCUGAACGAAUACCCUUGCCUGUAAGAUGUCAAUACCCUUAGCUUACCUAAAAGAAUACAUGUAAUAUAUUAAAAUAUAUAUGUUCAUACAAAAUCUGCUAAUUGAAGCUGAAGAGAAAGGAAAAUCACUCUUUGAUGCUCUUUAGAGUUAGAUAUUUGCAUACUGUUUGAAGUCAUUGAAUAUGAUGCUGUAGCUUUACCUGCUUUAAGCUUUCUGUAUAUUUUUUUCAAUGUACUGAUUCAUAUUUUAUAUGGAUUUGUGGCUCAUACAGGAGAUGGUAGAUUUCUUAGUUGAUAUUUGGCUUGACGAAGAAGGCACCUUUGAAUAAAUCGUUGACGCUUCUUGUACAACAGUAACUGAAACAAGAAGUGUGUAAUACCCUUUAACCAGCAAUAACCUCAAUUAACCACCUAGCAUAGCUUGAUUUGAUGUAAUAGUAUUCUUCAGGGUUGAUAUUUUUUAUUGUAUUCCUGAUUUUCUUUAUGUGCCUCUCUUAGGAGACUCUGCUCGAGUCUGGUUCCCUAGAGGCUUUUAGUUUUUUUCUUUUGGCCUUUGUUCCUCUUUAUUUAUUCACAAAAAAAAAAAAAAAAUUAUUUUUCCACCAUUUAUCUAGUAAGUUUUAUUGUGAAAAAAGUAAAAAUAUAAAGGUUAAAAAGUUAAAACGCGCCAGGUAGGGGUCGAACCUACGACCUUCUGCUUAGGAAACAGACGCUCUAUCCACUGAGCUACAAGCGCAGUUCUUAUGGUCUGUAUUAUAUAUUUCAUGUUUUGAUCAAUACCACUGAGCUAAAGACGCUCUAUACAACAUUAUGUCAUUGAACAUGUGCCUGAGUAAAGUUUGAAUGUCUUAUUCAUUUGGUCAUGAAACGAUAGAAGAGGAUAAACAAAUAUGUACUGACAUUUGUUCUAUGGACAAGUGGCACCAAAAUUAGGUGUCCUUGAAUAAAUUAUUGUAUUCUACAAACAUUUUAUAAAUAAAUAAUAGAUAUAUUUCAAAACCUUUUUAAAAAUAACUAUUCUAAUUUUGUAAUUAGUCUUCCCUCAAGUAUUAUAAAUUUGUCUUGUGGUUCUCCAAUUCCGUGUAUUUUUUUUAUUUUAUAUAGACUCCAAUUCCGUGUAUUGUUUAGAUAAUAUAACAGUGGUUUGAACAAACUCAGCUUAUUAGUGUAGUUCAAUGGUAAAUGUAUAAACUUUAUGAGAAUGAUAUUAAAAAACAUUAACUUUAACUAAUACUUUUUUAUUUUUUACAUUUUUAAUUAAUUUUUUAAUCACAAACAUUUGUCCCGAUAGUGGUUGAUGGAUUCAUCAUACAUGAUGAUAGUGGUUGAUAUAUGAUUUUAUCGUGUAGCACUCACACAGGAUCUUUUCUCUUCCCUCCAACAAUUUUACAUGACACUUGCUCAACAAGCAAAGCAUGAGUUGGAUUAUUAUCACCAUAAUAAUAUUUUUUUUUUCAUUGUUUAAUUUGUUUCAUGUUUUGAUUAAUUUUUUUGUCGAACUUUAUUUAUUUUUAGAUUAAUAACAAUCGUUAUCCUUCUUUAAAAAAAACAAUUGUUAUCCUAAAUAAUGAACGGUUAACUUGAAAGAAAAAAAGUUAAUAGACAAUAAUAUUAUACUGUUUGUUGCUCUUUUAUUUAUGAUUAUGUCUAUGCCGCCACGUUUGAUAUAAUAGCUCAGUGUUAAGAGUUUAUCCCACUACAGUUAUCUCAAAUAUAUUUAUUUCUUAAAUUUAUGUGAUAAAAAGUAAUAUACCAUUAAAUUAUUAUACAUCAAAUAAAACAUAUUUUUAAUAAAAAUGAAGAAAUGUGAUUUUUUUUCUUCCACUAAACAAACAAUUUCUUCAUUUUUUAUUAAAAUAAUAAUAAUAUAAAAAUGAAAAAUUCCUUCUAUUUUUCUAAGUUCGAACAUAUGAAAAUUUUAACUUGUCAGAUAGAGUUGUGAUCUGUGUGUUUAAAAAAAUAAUUGUUGGAAGAUGUCAGCACCUUAAAUGACAAUCUUUUUUCUUUUUAAUAUUUGCUUUGAGCAAAUAAAUCACAUAAACAAAAGGUAACACUUUUACAAAUAAAUCUCACAAUGCACAAAUGUGUACACCACACUCUAAAGUUGUAUGUUGUAACUCAUUAUGUAGACCACAUUAUAAGGUUGUAACUCAAUAAAAACAUUAUGAGAAAAUAUUACAAUAACAUUCAAAAACAUAAAAUAAGUAAAACUCCAAUCUUCUGUUAUCUCUACAUACAUGUAUUCUAAACUACAAUUUGAUUACAUGUCACCUCACCAAUACCCCCUAACUAAUUUUCUAUAAGCAUUCAACAUAUGAUUCUCUCUUUUUCUUUUCCUUAUUUUCCAUCUAUCUAUUUAUUACUACAUAUUUACAUAUGUCAAGGGAAUAUGAUAAUAAUAAUAAUUUUGUAAAAAAAUUCUGAUAAUAAUAAUAACAAUAAUAAAAUUAUAUUUAAAAGUAUAGUUGAAAACGUGUGGUUAUUUGAUUAUAUGGUACAUUUUUUUGAUAAAUGUCUUUUAUCAAUAUUUCUUUUUUUAGGAGUUAGUACCAUAGAUAUGUUGCUCUCUUUUUUUAGUUUUUUUCAUCAGCCAUUUACAAAUUUAUUUAUUAUAUAUAGAAGUUCAACACAUAGCCAAAUAACCUAAUUAUUAAUUUAUAUAGUAAUAAAAUAUAUAUUUUUCUACUAAAAAAUGAUAUAACGUGUACCAAUAAAAAGAGAUAUCUUAACUUUUAAAAGUUGAAGAAUAAAAUUGAUCAAUAAAUGCUAUAUAGAGGUCAUAGCUUAAAUUAGUCCAAAUAAAUGAGAUAAUAAUAUAUACUAUAAAAACAAAACAAAAAAAAGUGUAAUUGAUCUAAUCAAUUAAAAUAUAUACCUUAAAGAUUAUAAAAACAUUAUUGUUUAAUUACACCAUCAUAAUUGAGUUUACUCCUUAACAUUCCUUCAAAUAUAACUUACAAAGUUGAAAAGUUCAGUGCAUAAUAAAUGCAUAAUUUUUCACAUUCACCCUCAACCUUCAUAGCCACCAGCCCACCACUUACCCAGACAUUUAUUUUCACCCAUUCCCACACUGUGUUUGCUAACACAAAAAAACUAACUUAUAGUUUGUUGGAUUAGCUUAUAAGCUUGUUUUUGUAGAAUGAGACAUGUUUGAUAAAAAAAAAAAUUCAUUAGCUUAUAGCGUUUUUUGAGAAGUUAAUUCAAGUAGCUUUUGAGCUUAUAGCUUAUAGUUUUUUAUAUUUUCUUCCAAAUUUAACCUUUUAUUAAUUUAGUUUAAUUUAAUUUUAAUUAAAAAAACUACCCAUAACUGCCCACGUUUAGCAUCAUGAUAUGGCUUUUCAAUUUUUCUUGUUCACGUUCCUUUUUACAUGCUCUUAAUUCAAUGAUAGAUAAUUUUAUAUAAAAUUUACAAUAAAUAGUGAUGCAAGUUUAGUUGAGUAAAAUUAAUGAAAAGGAAGUUUUGUUAAAUAAAAAUUGUCAAUUGAAUUAAUAAAUACAUUUAUCAUUUAGGAGAUGAAAAUAUUUUGAAAUAAAUUUAAAUAUUUAAAAAGAAAUACAUUAAGUAUUAAAAAUUGUAUAUAUGAUUUAUAAAAAAAAAACACAAACAUGCCCUUUUACGUCAUUUUAUAUUUAUCAGCUACUUCAACAACUAAUUGUACCAAACACUUUUUAUUUUAAUAAGCUAACUUUUCAGCUAUAAGCCAUCAGCUAUCAGCUAGCUUAUCAGCUACCAGCUAGCUUAUAGCUUCUUUUUACCAAAUACACAUUUGAAAAUUUACACUCAUUUAUUGAGUGUUUCUACCAUGGUGCUAUUGAUACUAGGGAAAAUUACACAGACCUCCUACGAGGUCUCUUUAAACAACACAAACACCCUUUUUAGUUUUAUAAUAGACAUAAACCUCUCCUAAGAUCUUUUAAAAUAGAUAAACACCUCCCUUUGUGACUUAACGGAAACUUAACACCGUUUGUUUUUAAUUUUUAUAACUAAAAGGGAUAAAAAUUCUCCUCUCUGAACAAUGUAAACAGCAAACCUCACAAUAAUGAUUCUAUGAUUUUAAACAAGAAAAACAAGUCUUCUGUGAUGGACUGUGAAUCUCAAACCAACCCCUUUCAUGGUUGAGAAGUCUUUAGUUGCAGAAUUUCCUUCCCUUUCAAAGUUAUGUAGAACAAUUAGUGUUGUCGUGAAAUUCAUUGUGAAAAGAAAUUGGGUGUAAAUUUUGAUGACAAUACAUGAUAUCAUAAAAGUGUGGGUGCCUUGGUACCUAAAGAAAUUGUGCUGUGAGAUUUUACCCAAACUCUAUGUUUGGUGAUGUCGUUUUUGUGGAAGAUAUAUUGUGCAAAACAUAAAAGUUUGAGUUGGAAGAUUUCUACUAGAAGAGGUCUCUUUCACUAACGGCACACUGAGAGUAUAACAAAUUUGGUUGAUGAAAUCUUUUUGGUGGAAGAUGAUGCAAAACAUAAAAAGUUUGAGUUUUUCUUUUUAUUUUCCAAUAACGCCAGUUUAACACUGUUACAUUAAAGGGAGGUUAGUGUUAUUUGUGAAAAUAGAGGGGGUGUAAGUGACAUAUUAAUAUUAAUAUACUAAAGGGAGGUGAGUACAAUUUAUCCUUUAUACUAUCAUAUUUAUAUGUACUAAAGUUGUUUGUAUAUUAUUCAUUUGCACUUAAGUAAUUGUAUAUUCAUUAUUUUUUCAGGUUGAGAGAAAUAAAUUUCACCAUAGAUAUGAUGCUAAUAUAUGAAAAGGUAUUCUUGAUUCCUCUUAUAACUAUUGUUCAGUCAAAAUUGAUCUUUCACUUUUUUUGACAGGUACUGAAUUUUGACUUAAGUUGUAAAAAUGGUUCUAAAAACAAUCUCACAUAUAUUAUUAACAACACGCUUUAUUGACAAUUGGAAAAUAACAACAUGCUAAGUUUUAAUUUGGCAUUUUUUUUUAAACAAAAAUGUUAUAUUUGGAAAUGUGAUUUUUUUUCUUCCACUAAACAAACAAUUUCUUCAUUUUUAUUAAAAUAAUAAUAAUAUAAAAAUGAAAAAUUCCUUCUAUUUUUCUUAGUUCGGACAUAUGAAAAUUUUAACUUGUCAGACAGAGUUGUGAUCUGUGUGUUUAAAAAAUAUUUGUUGGAAGAUGUCAGCACCUUAAAUGACAAUCUUUUUUCUUUUUAAUCUUUGCUUUGAGCAAAUAAAUCACAUAAACAAAAGAUAACAUUUUUACAAAUAAAUCUCAAAACACAUGAAUGUGUAGACCACAUUAUAAGGUUGUAACUCAAUAAAAACGUUAAGAGAAAAUAUUACAAUAACAUUCAAAAACAUAAAAUAAAAAAAUAGUAAAACUUCAAUCUUAUGUUAUCCUUAUCUCUAUCUCUAUCUCUAUCUCUAUAUACAUGUAUUAUAAACUACACUUUGGUUACAUGACACCUCACCAAUACCCCUCUUUCUAACUAAUUUUCUAUAAGCAUUCACCAUGUGGCUCUCUCUUUUCCUUUUCCCUAUUUUCCAUCUAUCUAUUUAUUACUACAUAUUUACAUAUGUUAAUUCUUAUAAUUCUUAAAUAUGUAACUGAAAAUAGAGUGAGCUUUGUAACUCCUUCCACUAUUCAUUAAUUAAGGGAAUGUGAUAAUAAUAAUAAUUUUGUAAAAAAAUUACAAUAAUAAUAAUAACAAUAAUAAUAUUGGGUAUUGUUUACACUUUAAUAUUAGCGGAACUUAUUCAAACAUAAGUUUAUUAAGAUUCACAUUCAUGUUUAUAUUCUAAAUUUAAAUUUUAAUAUUUGUUAUUCUUUUAUGAAAAGGGUAAUAUUUGUUUUAUCUAUAAAUCUAAGGCUAUACUUUUUUUUCCUUCCCAUUCUUGCUUCUUCACGUGCGCCAUAUUCGGAUUAUAAAAUCUCAAAAAUUAGAGGAUUUUUGAAGGUAUUUUAAUGUGUUUUGGAGGGUCUAUAGGACGUUUUACAUUGUUCGGAUUAUAAAAUCUGAAACUCAUAUGACCUGUGAGAAACUAGUAGUUUUUCCACCCUCAUUUCUUCUUGUGUGUGCGCGUGAUUAAAAAAUUGACUCAAUUGUAAAGGUGUUUUUUCUUUUUUGCGGGUGGUGACGAGGAAAAUAUGAAAAUAGUUUGGAUAAGAUAAGAUGGGAGAAGGUGUGCUUAAUUAAUGUGUCAAGGUGGGUUUGGUGUCAAGAAUCUGGAGGUUUUCAAUACUUCAUCAUUGUCAAAAUGAUUCGAAGACGCUUCAAGAUAGUAUUUGUGGAAUGCCUCAAAUAUGCACCAUUGACCCUACUUUCUUCUUAAGAAAUUCAUCGAAAGACAUGUCCUUCCACUCUACAAUAGCAUGGGAUAAUUUUUCUGAAAUAUGUCCACCUGAAACCCACCCGGACCGAAGCAUAUCACUAUAAGAAUUCUCUAAGGCUUUGUUUGCAAGUUUGGAGAAGAAGUGAGGGGGUUUUUAGAGAAAAAGAAGAAAGAACAAGUGGAAGAAAUAAAGUACAUUGAAAAGAGAGGGGUUUAGGCGUUAAUUUUUCUUCAUAAUACAAAACCCUCCUCAUUUAGGGAACUAAAGAGUUGUAUUGGAGGAGAGUUUUGGACGGUUUAUAUGAAUUCUUCAAAUUUAAUUUAUACUGUUAUAAUAUUAUUAAUAUUAAAAAUAUACGAAUCAUAAAAAUUCGUUUAUCAUUUUCUAAAAUAAUACUCUUUCAAAAAUAUGUGAAAGAUUUCUCCAUUUUUCUCUAUAAUUUUCACCUCUUAGAGUUUUUCCUUCCCCUCCCCUCCAAACGCUCAAACAAAUUCUAACAGUGAAGUGUUGUCAAAUCUAAAGCCAUCAAGUCUUACCAAUACCAAAUGGAGAAAUAAGUAGAGGGUGACGACAAAACAAGUUUAUCUGAUCUAGCACAUUGGCAACUACAUUGAAACCCCUAACCUUCAUCAUCAUUUGCUAAGGUUCUAUCCAAUCCAUCCAAUGUCUAUAAAAGAAAAAAAUUAUGAUGGCUCAAUCAAUGAAGGUUGUGUGUCUAGUUGGCAAAGAGUUGACAUUUUAAAAUAUAUCAUAUUGUCAUUAAGAUCUUUGACAAUUUAGUAGGUGUAAAAGUAUAUUCUCAGUUUUUAAAGAGUGAUUUGUUUAUAGAAUACAUCAUCCAUCUUAAAUUAUACUUCUUCCGUCCUAAAUUGUAUGACGUUUUGGACAUUUCACACAUAUUAAGAAAUGUAAUUAAUAUUGUGUGGGAAAGAGAUAUUAUGAGUUGUUUUACAAAAUUAUCAUUAAUAAAUGAUAUGGGAAAGAUAAAUGAAAGAAUUGAAAAAAGAAAGAGUAAUAAAUAGUUAAGGAUAUAAUAGAAAAAAUAACAUUAAUGUUUCAUUGGUAUUCUAAAGUGACAUACAAUUUGAGACGAAUAUUUUUUCUAAAGUGACAUACAAUUUUGGACGAAGGGAGUAUGUAGUUUUAAAAAAAAUCAUAAAUUAUAUAUCAUUUUACAAUAUCGACGAAGUAUUAAUGUUAUUUUUUUUAUUAUAUCCUUAAUUAUUAUUACUAUCUCUUCUUUCAAUUAUCUUUCUCGUAUCAUUUAUCAAGGAUAAUUUUGUAAAACAACGCAUAAUACAUUUUUCCAACACAAAAUUAAUUACACUUUAUUAAUAUUUACGUGUGAAAUGCCAAAAUAUCAUAUAAUUUAGUACGGAUGAAGUAAAUGAUCACAGGAAAAGAAAAAGAAAAAAGAUGUUUACAAGGUCAAAUUUAACAAACAAAAAUGCCCAAAUACAUGAACGAAGUACAUGAAAAUGAAAAGAAAACAAUGGCAAAUUACUAUUAAACCCCUGGACUGACUCAUCAAGAGAGAUGAUGCAUGAGCGAGUCUUGAGUCUGACGAAGUAGAGUAACUAACCGUUCUUGCUUCUCCAUGUUAUGACACGUGUCGUAAAAAAUGGAUCUUAAGAAAACAACAAACACCAUCGUUCGUAACCACCUUUUCCCCCCCACUCUCUCUUUCUUCGCAUUUUCAUUUUUUUCAUUUGCACGCAAAGCAACAACACCAUGAUGACGACGUUUUGGUUCUCUCUUGCGGUUGUACUUCUCUUGUGGUCCCCACCGUCUUCCUCCGCCGCUACCAUCAACGAUGAGAUAGCUAAGAAUCUAAUUAGAAACCUCAACCUCUUCCCUUCUCACGAUAUCAACAUACUCGACGCCAAACCCAAUGUGGAGGAGAAUCAGAACAACAACAAGAUCAUCGUUGAGAAGCCGCUUAAGUUUCCAAAUUUCUCCGGCGAAUACGACGAAGGAGUUUGCAUUGAUGACUUGGCUCAUCGUGCUGGAUAUUAUCCCAUUCAACACUCUCAUGCUGCUAAGUAAUUCAUAUUCCAUUUUUUCUCUUUCUCAUUUUCAAUUUUGUUAUUAUUUUAAUUAUUUUUUGCAACUCUUUUUCUUCUGUUUAUUUAAUUAGUAAUUGCUUAAAGUAUUACUUUAUUUAGUGAAUCAUUAAAAUAAUUAUAGAUUAUGUUCUCUAACUGACCCUGGGAUUUGUCUUCAUUGAAUUUAAUUGUUUAAUUUUCUCUGUAUCGUUUUGUGGAAUAGCAAUGUUGGAGAACACACAGAAUUUGUGUAUAUAAUAAUAUAUCUAUGGAUUUUAUUCAAUGUAAAGUUGUUUUAUAAAAUGUUUUGAGUAUUUACACCUUGAAAUUAAAUAGACUCUUGAUUUUGAAUUAUGUUGAGCAACUUGAUCAUUCUGUUGGCUUGUAUCUAAUUUACAGUCAAAUUAGUUACAUUAUUAUCGCAAAUGUUAGACGUGUAAAUGUCCGACCCCCUACAAUUUCAACAGGUGAAUUGGUAAUUUACUUAUGUUUUAUAUUAUCACUGACUCAAUCAUAGUUGUCUCAUAAUUAAUAUUGUUUUUAUUCAUAAUUACUUUCAAAACUGUUCAUGUGAUUGGUUGUGAUUUGUUGAGAGUCUAUACAAAUUUAACUUUUAUUACUAUGUUUUGGUUGUUUAUGUGCAGGAUGUUCUACUUUUUCUUUGAAUCCCGGAAAAACAAGAAGGAUCCUGUUGUGAUAUGGUUGACAGGUGGACCUGGCUGUAGCAGUGAAUUGGCUGUGUUUUAUGAAAAUGGCCCUUUCAAAAUUGCUAACAAUUUGUCCCUUGUAUGGAAUGAAUUUGGUUGGGACAAGGUAUUUAUAUUGUUAUAUUUGUUUGUUGUCUUGUGUUGUGUCAUUCAAUUAACUGUUUUUCCUAUAGUUUUGGUUUCUUGUGAUCAGUAUUUAUUGGACAUAACUAAUUAAUUGGUAACCUUGUAGGUAUCUAACCUCCUCUAUGUUGACCAACCAACUGGAACUGGCUUCAGUUACACUACCGAUAAGCGUGAUAUUCGUCAUGAUGAAGAUGGUGUCAGCAAUGACCUCUAUGACUUUUUACAGGUACUUGUAUUUUCUUCAAGUGUUAUGUUAGUUAUUCAAAACAUCGGUGCAUUGGCCCUUUUUUAUUAGCGUAAACGCUCAUCAUAUUAGUGCUUAUGUAUAGGUUAUUUUUAUAACAAAAAAUAAAAUAAAGUCAAGCAAUUUUCAUAUAAGUCGAAAACAACUUUUGGACAUGUCAUAAGUUGUUUUCAUAAGUUAUCUCAAACAGUCGCACAAGUGCUUAUUUUUAGUAGAUGAGGUCAAACAAGUAAUCCAAACAGAACCUUAAUAUGAUAUACUUGACUUAUAUUUAUUGUUCUAUGAACAUGAGUUGUAUUUACAGACUUGUUUUCAUUUCCUUACAUUUCUUGGUCGCUGUUCUUUGAAAUGCAAAACAUAUUGUUUCUUAGUUAUUGUUAUAUUGGAUAAGAGCACCUUGCUAAGCUUCACCUGUGAUAUCUUGAGAUAACAUGUUUUUUCUUUUCCCUACAGGCCUUCUUUGGUGAACAUCCCGAAUAUGCUACAAAUGACUUUUUUAUCACGGGUGAAUCAUAUGCCGGACAUUAUAUUCCGGCUUUUGCUGCUCGUGUCCACAAGGGAAACAAAGCUAAAGAAGGGAUUCAUAUAAACUUGAAGGUUUGCUACUUUGUCAACCAUUCUAUUUGAGAUACAUAUUGAAGGGUAUGAAAUCUUGUUUAUCUUAUUUGAAAUGGUUGAACAGGGAUUUGCCAUUGGUAAUGGACUCACUGAUCCUGCAAUUCAGUAUAAAGCUUACGCAGAUUAUGCACUAGACAUGGGUGUAAUUAAACAGGCUGACUAUGACCACAUCAACAAAGUGAUGGUUCCAGCCUGUGAAUUGGCAAUCAAACUAUGUGGUAAUUGACACGUGAUGUUGUUUCUUUAUCCUUUCAAUCAAUAUAACGUUUCUUCUCAUAUAUGUAUGCUGGAAACUAAGGUUCUUAUUGAAAUGAACAAACUCAUGCAUUGGAGUAUUUCUUUCUUUCUUUCUUUGAAAUGAAUGUAUUUUGAGUUCAACCUCCUUGCACAGUUCCAAAUAUCCAAUUUUAAAUUUGAAUCUGAACAUAGAUUUUUUAAAUGGAUCAAUCAUAAGGUUCAAUUCAUGCUCAGGCUUGCUAUUUUUUUUUAAGUAAUUUAAAACUUACUACAGUUAUUUUAUUUAAACUGCAUAUAUGACCUAUAUAUAAUUUAACGUGUCUUAUCAUAUAAAUACAUAUUUAUCUUAAUAUUAAAUGUAUAUUGCAAUCCAAAUUUGGUGUAUGAUAGAACACUAUGGCAUCAUUUGAUCCAUGUAGCCAACCCCACUUAGUGGGAUAAGGCUUGGUUGUUGUUGUAUUAAAUGCAUAUUGCUAUUCUUAUAUUGUUAUCUAUUUGACAUUAUAUGAAUUUCUUACAAAAUUUUACAUGUACCGCGUUAUAGUUAAAUGAACUGGUUUACUAUUUCCAGUCAUCAUGGCACCUUAUAGUAAUUUUUACUAUCCUGAUUAUUCAUGUAAUUGAAACAUCGAAGGACCAGAGGUCUCUGCUUCACUCUCAUGGUAAACUAACUAGCUUUUGUUAUGUUUCUUCUUAAUACUUAUUUUAAUCCUUUCAGGCACAGAUGGAAAAAUCGCAUGCACAGCUUCGUAUUUUGUUUGUAAUACUAUAUUCAAUUCCAUCAUGUCACAUGCUGGUGAUAUCAAUGUGAGUAACUCAGUUACUUCAUCUUCUGUGUGGUUUACAUGUCAUAGUACUUUAUUUUGUUAAGUUUACAGUGUGCCGAUGAACCUAAUAAUUAAGAGUAAGUUGAUAUUUGCAAGCCAUCAAUAGCUAAUAAUUAAUUACACAAGAUGAAGCAUGAUCUAAAUUACAAGCUUAUUUGCAGACUUCAUAGAAAUUCUGAUACUGUGUUAAAGAGUCACUCUUCCUAAAAAGCUUUUUGUUGUAAGUGAGAAGUGAAGAAGAUUUUAAUUGUGUCUUGAACAAAUUGUUGCUAUCUGUCACUUUUUGCUUUGCUUCCCAAAAUAAUUUCUUGUGGAAAAAAUAGUCACCCACACACCAUAUUAUGUUGUAGUAACAGGUUAUCAGGUUAUGUUUAACAUGGUUAAACAUGUGAAACAUUUUCCCGCAAUAUAAAUUGUCUUCCUUAUGCUGCUGCUUAAUAUUUAAAUUAUUAGGCAUUUGUCUUGACAUUUAUGGAGAAUGUGAAGUCUUGAAAGAACAUGGAUGUUCCAUAUUUAAAAUUUUGACCAGCAAUUAUUAACUUGUGGUGCAGUACUACGACAUCCGAAAGAAGUGUGAUGGGAAUCUUUGCUAUGAUUUUUCGAACAUGGAGAAAUUCCUGAACCAAGGAUCUGUUCGGAAGGCACUAGGGGUUGGUGAUAUUGAUUUUGUGUCGUGUAGUUCUACAGUUUAUCAGGCUAUGCUGGUGGAUUGGAUGAGGAAUCUUGAAGUCGGUAUUCCUGCCCUGCUUGAGGAUGGAAUCAAUUUGCUUGUUUAUGCUGGGGAAUAUGAUCUCAUCUGCAACUGGCUUGGUACGUAUUUAUCCAUGGCCAGAUUUUAGAUCUGUUUUGAACUAUAACAUUUCAUACUUGAACCUUUAAGGUGUAUUGAUGAUUUUUUUUUUUUUUUUUUCCGGUAAUAUUCAACGAAUAGGUAAUUCGAGAUGGGUUCAUGCCAUGGAAUGGUCUGGCCAGAAAGAAUUUGCAGCCUCAUCCGAAGUUCCUUUCACAGUUGAUGACUCAGAAGCUGGAGUAUUGAAGAAUUAUGGACCUCUUAGUUUUCUAAAGGUAUCAUUCUCUAUAUAACUCUUCCUUUUCUUUUGGUGCAAAAAGAUGGCAAAGCCCAAUCAAAACAUUAUAUAACUCUAAUCUCAAAUGAACACACCCCAUACAUAGGUACAUUACAUAUGUAUGACUGUCUUCCAAAAUCAAAUAGGAAGUUAUCAUUGUUGUGUAAGCUAUCCAUCAAUAUUAUAAGAAAUGUGUCUCUUGAGGUAAGGAGUUUUUGUGUUAUUUGGUUUGCUGUUGCUGUGCUGUGAGGGCAGUCAGGGUGCGAAAAUCCUGCUGGUGUGUGGCUGGUUUUUUGUUUUUUCAAGAGGAGUUCCUUUGCAUCAGUACUGGGAGGUAUAGAGGUGGAGUUUUUGGUGUGGCUGGCUCGGCUAAUAUGCUGUUAGCAGCAGUGCAGUGUUCGUCUUUUUUUCAUCUUGUUUUCGGUUUGGAGUAGUGAGGCACGGGUAUGCUUACGUAUCCGGAUGUUGCCGGGUUGCUACCCGUAUGUAUAUUUUGUCCUCAUUAUUAUCUAGGAGGAUAGGGGUGCUUGGUUUUUGUAGGUGUUCCGUAUAUAUGUGGCACCGUUUGCUUGUAUUUUCCGUUUUUUCCGCGAGUGUUUAUGCUUCUUGCAUUUUCUCGCCGUGAUUAAUAUUUGCCGUUUCAAAAAAACAUAUAGAGCCAGUUUGGAUAAACAUUUCAUCAAGUACUUUUGGAGAAUUAAAUAUCGAAAUAACCUUGUAAUACAAAUAAUGGCAUCUCAAAUAUAAGUUAAAAUUAGUUUCUGCUUCUUAAUUGUUCAGAAACUCUUGUUUAACUUUUUUAUAGCCACAUGUGUUUAUAAAAACGACUCCAUUUAGUGGGAUAAGACUUGGUUGUUGUUGUUGUUGUUGUUGUUGCCGCACAUGCGAUCAUAAAGAACUCUGUCUUUUAGAUGUAAUCUAGACCGUGUCUAUAAUUCAUUUACUACCAAAUUUCCGCAUAGAUUGGUAAAUCCUGACUCAGUUUGGUAUUUGUGUAACAAAAAACAGGUUCGUGAUGCUGGUCAUAUGGUUCCAAUGGACCAGCCCAAAGCUUCCUUACAAAUGCUGAAGAAGUGGACUCGGGGAACCCUUUCCAAAUCUGGAGCUGAUGAGGAAAUAUUGGUUGCAGAGAUGUAAUCUCUUCUUGCAAUUAGUCUAACAUCAAUUUGAUGAAAUGAAAAGAGAACUCCAACUAGUGGGAUGUUUGUUCUACUAAACAAAAUUCAUACCAUCUUAAGUGACAGAAUCAAGGCAAUGCAAGAAAAGAAUGAUUUAUAUAUAAUGUUAUGUCUAUAUAUGGUGUUUUGGUAAAAUCUGAUGUGUAGGUUGCUUACUCCCCAAACUACAAUCUAAUGUUUAAAUAGAAUGCAAACAAUAUAAGGAGUUGACGUAUUUAUUUAAUAAACAAUAUAUUGUUUAAACGUGUUUCAAAGUUAAUAUUUAUAGUAUUAUUUGGGUUGGGUCCGGUGACUGACGUGACUACACUUCAACAAUGUGACGAACCAAUAUUCAAAUUUUGGUUGGGAGAGGUAUUCAUGUUUAGUGUCCAACGUCUCGAUUAGAAUUACCUCCGAUUGAGAAAACUUAUUAAAAAAAAUUAAAAUAGUUGUAACUAUAAGAUAGGUACCAAAUGUUUCACCAAAAAAUGUUAUAAUCUCAUUAUAAGUUUCAGUUUUUGUGUUUACCUAAAUUUUUGUAUCAAGAAAGUACAUAAAAAAAACUAAUAAUUUAUUCAAAAUCUAAAUUUUACCUAACUAUAUUCUUUUAUAACUUAAAUGAUUUAAUUUGUAUGUGCAGUAAUUAUAACUAUGUUUUGUUAGACAUAGAUUCACUCACAUUUUAUUAUAUAAAUAUUUUGAAAACAACAUAACAAAGUGAUAUUAUUAAUCACAAUUUACUAUUUAGAUAUAUUUUUUAGACAAUUUACUUUUUGGAUAUUUUUUAUAGAAUUUUAAGAAAUACAUAGUAUGAUAUAUUUACACGUUUACUUACAAGUUACACAUAUUUUUUGACUGGUUAAUAUGGCAGAGAUUAAACAUUGUUAUUAGAUCACAAUAAAUGGAUAGAUAUAAAACACUGUAAUGUAUUUAUGAGUGUGCACGUAGAAGCAAACGGAUAAAAUAAAAGAAUUUAGGAAAGUUGCAGAAGAAGCAAAAUGAUGAUGUCAUUUGGCCUUGGAAUCUCUACGAACUGCAGCUGGUUGAGAUGUCACGCCCGAAUGCCUCCUUCAUGUUCCAUGUUUUCCCAUGUUUCAAUGUCUUCUUCACCUUCUUCUUGUUCCACCUUCAACUCUAAAUCUAAUAAUAAGCUCAACUGGACUCCAAUAAGAGCAUCCUCUGAAGGUUUGUCUUAUUUGAGUGUAUAACAUAAGUUAUUUUCAGCUUAUUUCCAUGAGUUGGAUAACUUAUGAAAAUAAUUUGACUUUAUACAUAAGAACUUGUAUGAUGUGUACUUCAUGUUAUAAACACUUGAACUUGAUUAAACUAUUUAUCCAAACAUGGAUGGAUGGUCUUGUUGCUUUAGUUUAUAUUCUCAUUCCUUGAAAGUUAUUUGCUUAUCAUGCAGGACUUCCUAAUGAGUUAGUUGAAGAUUCAAAAUUUGUUCCUAUAAAUGUUGAGGAUCCUAGAUACGGUCCACCUGUAAGUCAUGGUUAGUUUUCACUCAUUUGAAAUGUGAUGUUUAUCUGUCAUGACCAAAUGAUUUUCAACAUAAACACUUCUGCAGAAAUCUCAUAUGGGGGAUACUUUGUCCUCACUAUAUGUAUUUACCUUUGAGAGUCUAAUUUGAGUAACUUUUUUUUGUGAAAGAAUUUUCAAUCAAUCUAACUUAAUUAGGACCAAAACUUAGAAUGGUUGUCGAACCCAUUCAUACGUAGCUAAGCGCAGGGGUUUCUUUUAUUUUGCAGGCCUUAUUGUUGUUGGGAUUUGAAGCAGAUGAACAUUUUAAGGUGAUAUUACCAUCAUCCAUGCAAUAGGAUAUGAUAAUCCUUGUAAAGAAAUGUUGUUGUAGAUUCAUAUACUUUGUUAGUCUUGAUAGAUUUUACCUUAAUCAAAUGAUUUAGAAAUGCCUUCAGCUGUGCCUUUUCCUCGAUCUCUCUUUUGUAUCCCGUAAUAUUAAGUGUGUGUCCGUCCUGAUCAACAUACAUGAAUUUCUAAGUCAAUCAUUGCUCUGAUUAUUGUCUAUGCUUUCAAGAUGACCCAAAAUGAUUGAUAGAGCAACUCUUCUUGAAAAAUUUUAUACUAAGGAAAUUUCUACAUGUAAAAUGUUACAAGUACAGCAUGAAGUCUACUUUAUAAUAGUAUUAUUGUUUGCUUAUAGUGAAUUACAAAAUGGAUAUAGGCAGAAGCUUACAAUGAUUAUCUAGUGACAUCUUUCUCUAGAUAUAUUAGCAUUCAAUUACUUAGCCACUAUAUUAUUUUACAUCUUUCCAAAUGGGUCAUUCAAUCAUAGUUUAUUUGAGCUUGUGCAGAUUCAACAGUUUUUGAAAGAGUUAGAGGGUGAAUUCCUGAAGGUAACAAACAUCUUAUUUAAUGUCUUUUAUGUUCAUAUUUUAUUCGCAAAGCAAGAUCAAUAAGUAAAAUCCUAUUAAUAGCAGGGAGAGAGAGAUUAGUUAUUUGAUUAUUAUUUCCAACAGUCUGAAUAAACAAAGAUUUUUCCACUUUAAUGGUCAAAGAUUGUUCCGAUGCAUAACAACUACUUCUUUCAAUCUAUGGUGACUUCUUUGACCUCGAUAAUGCAAUAAGCUACUCUUAAAAAAAUAAUAGAAAAUGUAACAUAUUGCAUUGCAUUGUAGGUCAUCUAUUGUACCAAGGACAUGCUUACGCAUUCACUUUGGGAUGUAAUGCAUACAACACAAGAGAGUUUAGAAGAGGUCAAGGUAGAAUUUUUUGAACACCAAGUGAUGUACUAUUUUCAUCUAACUUGUGCUCCUUCUAAAUCUGUUCAUGAAUUUGUAGUUUUGUACUAACAGAUAUAUUGAUUUGUAGAAAUGAAUUUGUGAUGAGAAUAAGCUUCUCCAUUGUGAUUUUUGACAGCCAUUUCUUAUAAUUUCAUCAUUUAUUUGCAUCAAUUUUUAAGCAGGUGCUCAUGGUUAACUGAUUAUAGGUUUUCCGAUAUCAAAUUUAUGGAGAAUUAUCAUUUGUCUAGAGUGAUUAUAAAAUCUAAUUUUCUAAGCAUACCAAUCAAGAACUUUGUAGCAACGACUAAAUGAUGUUAGUUAAUAAAUAUGUUUCUAAUGUUCGAAGACCUUUUUAGCGUGUAGCAAUAUUUCUCUUUUCUUAAGUAGUGAGAUGACAUCCCUUACAUUCCUAAAUUAUAUUCAAAUCUCUGCACAUGUUCAGCAUUUUGUGCCUUGCAUUGCAGAUAGACAAGUCACUUCCACGAAUAUGUUUCUUAUCUGGUUUAAGUGGAGAGGAGACGAUGAUGUUCGUUGAUGCUUUCCCUGAAACUGGUAUAGAAAAUCUGUUCAGUGCUGAAGUGUUUAAGUUUAACACAUUGAUCUUAUCAAUUAUGCCUUUUGGUCUGUUAACAUUGAAAUCAUAAAUAUUUCUCUCAGUUUGGCACAUUUCUGUGCAUGAAUGAUAGAUCUACUGGUUUAGUGUUCACAUGUAAUUACUGCAAUUUGAAAAUUGUUUUAUGCAGGACUAAAACCAGCCGCGUUUGCGGCUCUUGUUCCCAACAGUGCUAACAAACCACUAUAUGAGUUGAUAGAAGAAAUCACGGGAGAUCAUGAGAUGUUGGUAGGUGUUUAUUUUCUAGUGUCAAUGUUUAUCACUAUCUUCUAGUUUAUAGUUAUGUGAAAUUGUCUUUUAUCAUGUGCAGACCGGAGAACAGUUGUGAUAAAAUUCCCAGUGAAUUCUAGGAGCACACUCGCGGAGCAUACGCAUUAUCAAUAUGAAUGUACUUAGAUUUGAAGUGUAUAAAAAACUAAUUCCAAAGAUUAUUCAAGUUAGCAAUUGAUUGUUUAUGUCUUUAUGAGCAUAUGCCUACUGGAACUGGAAAAUAUGGACGAGUCUUUUGUUAUUUGAAAUUUUCAAAAAAAUUGAAGAUGUUCUAAAUAAAUCUGGGUAUUUAUUUAUUUUAUUUACGAAAUGCUACUAAUAGUCCCUCACUCCUAUACGUCAUCUUAACAAAACUAUCUCAUUUUAUGUCUUUUUACAGUAUAAUGAAGUAUUAGUGUCUCUGUUCCUUUUUGGCAUAAGUAUUAGUGCCUCCUCUUUUUAAAUUUUUGGCAUAGUAUAAUGGAACACUAUAUUUAGUACUUAUGAUAUUAAUUGUAUUUUAAAUUUAUGUAUUGAAACCUUGAACAACUUAUAAUAAGAGAGAGUAUACCAAGAUAUUGAACAAAAAAGAGACAUCAAAUCUUCUAUUGACAAAAGAUAAAGGAAAAUGAUAAAUGGUACGAUUGUAAUGUCUACGAAGUUUCACGAACGAGCGGAUUUUGAAAUGUUUCACCUUAUAUGAGCACCUCUAUAUCAAUCUUGUCGGAUUCUUCCAAGCUAACACAUGUUUUUAAUUGACGCUUUAUAACACAUGAUGAAAUUGAUUUCUAAAAUACUUCUCUUCCAAAUUUCUAGUAAGGUGGUUGUAUUUUUUUAUGUUUAAUUUAAUCUACUUAAUUUUAAAAAAAUAAAAAAUUCGUGAAAUUUCAAAUGAAAGACUUACGUACUAUUUAGCAGUAAAAAUUUGAAUACAUCAUAAGUAUGUUCGUGCUCUAUUCUCUAUUCGUAACAUGUUUUGGCUGGUUUUUAGUAAAGAAUGAACAUUAUCUUAUUGAUUUUUUUUGUGAUUUUUUUUUCCUAUUCUCAUUAUCUUACUAAUUAACUAUUACUCCAUGUUCUUGUUCUUUUAAAUUUGUUUUAGACAAACACGAUUGUAUUUAUUCCAUUUAAAUUUUUUAAAUAUACCCUAAUUUGAUCCACUUAUCUAUUUACUUUCUUUUCAUCAAUAUAGGAUUAAAUAAUUAAUAAAUAUAAAAGUAUAAUUGGUAACAAAGCAACGUAUGGUUGGAUUCAAACUAAUAUUUGAUGAUACAACCAAAAGAGAUCUCUUAUCAUCUCAUUCAAAUGCUUUUGGAUUCUCAGAUGCUCAAUUCAACAUCAAUUUAUCUUGUAAUGAUAAAGAGAGAACGACAAAGUGUAUGACAUUAUUGGUAAUCACUUUGUUUUGGUUGAUAUUUCCUCUACGAUUGUUAACUUGAUUUCAGUACAGUAUUUCGUCUGGGAUGUUUCAAUUGAGGUGAGAAAGAGAUUAUUUUUUCCCCUAGCCACAACAACACCUUCCUUCCAUGUCAUCUUGUUCGUAAUCAUUAAUUAGAAUUUUCCACUUACUGGCGGCUUGCUUUGAAGCAUUCAUGGAUAUUUGAAAUCUGAAGGCAAAUUGGCAAAAUCUUACGAGGCAUAGUUUGUAAACUCAUGAGUGAAUGAGUACAUGGUGAUGGGGAAAAAUGAAACUGAAACAGCGACAACGAAUCGGCAUGGUUUGAGCAAGCUACAUGUGGCAGUGAGAUAUGUUGGGGAGAAAAGAACUAAAGAGAUCGCAUGUACUUAUUUAAUCCAACAGUUAAAUGGAACUUAAUUGAACCGGUAUAUUAGUGAGGGACUUAAUUGAACCCUCACCUUAGAAGCCACAAUUGUAUUCCGUAAAAAAAGAAGUUAAUUCUUGUGUUUUGUGGGCUAAUAUAUCGUGGAGUAAAGUAAUUCUGAAUGUAAAAAAAUAUGUAGAAAUGAAACAAUCAAAACGUUAAUGAAAGGACAUUAAACACUGUGUCCUACAAUCAUUUGCAUAAAUAAAUGCAAUUCUAUGUCAAAAUUUCCUCUGACAAAGCUAAAAAAUACAACCCCAGGAAACCCUGUCACCACUGAAAUAGUUGUGAUUGGAUUGAAUGGACGAAUCUACAUAAUUCCUGUCACAAACAUACAGCACCGCUACAAUAUACAAAGGCCUAGUGGACAAAGGAUGAGGUGAAAUAAUGCCGUGGUCAUCUGAUUCUCUUCCACAUCAGAAUCUCUGUAGUUUUAUGGAUAACGGCUCUAUCAACUAUACUAUACAUUCAAUAUAUAUCCACCCGCAUUAAAAAUUAUGAUUGCAUGCCACAGCAUCAGUGGCAAAUAUGUUCUCAAAAUCUAGGGAAGGAAAGGAAAUUAAUUCCCUUUACCUUAAUCACGCUACAGAGGGUCAAGGGAUCCACUUUUCAGCCGUUCCAUCCGUGCUUGAAGCCCUGACAAAGCUUUUUCAUCUACAGGAUGUACCCCACCUUGUAAAGUAUUUUCAGCUCCAACAUGUUCUGAUGCAAGAGGAAUCUGACUAUGAGGAAGUCCAUGGUUAAAGUUAUCGUUAACACUUGUCAAUGGCCUAGUACCAGAUUCUGUGCUCCCAGCAGCAGCUGCUAAUUGCAUGCUCUUCAUUCUCUCUCUGAUUGCAUCCAAUGUCCCACUUGUUACUGCAGUUGAGUAACCUCUCCAAGUCAAUAUUCUUUCUUUAAAAUAAACAAUUACGAAAAACAAAACUUACCAUACCUCCGGUCAUAAAUUUAUCAUUUCUUUGGUCACCUAAGGUGUAAUCAGAACUUAACACUCUCGAUGCAAAGGCAUUCACAGCCCUAUUCUCCUCACUGUAUGAUGAUGGCGGUAGAUUGAAAUUUGUUGGUUCGGAUUUCACAUUUAAUCUGGCGUCAUUCAAUGAAUUUGCAUUUACAGGAGAGAGGGGUGCAAAAUCUGGGGAAGAUAUAUUUAAAGAUGCUGGUGGAGGAGUCGGCAUUGGCAUGCUUGACGGAGUUCUUCCAGCUGCAGCAUUCUUCGCCAUCUGCCGAAAUGUUAAAAUCAAUUGCCAAUUGUCAAAUACUCAACUGUACUCGUCACAAUCAUAAACAUAGAAAUAAUAAUGCAGGUUCAGUUAAGCACAUAAGUAUUUUCAUCAACCUGGGCAAGACCAUCUCUGAUGUAAGUGCGAAAUGCCUCACUGGCAUUUUGAAGCUGAUCAAAUAUGUCAACCUAUGGUAAACCAAGAACCUUAAUCAAAUAUAAGAUAAAUAAAAGAAUACAAGCCAGAGGUUUAUUGAUAUGUGAAAAAUAACAUGAAACUUGAAUAUACACUUAAUUUGAUACCUCUGGGUACAAUUGAGUAAUCCGAUAAAGUUCAUAUAGACCAAUUGUGCAAGUUUGCUUCUCCCCGAUCUUCUUAAAUAUUGCAGCCAACUCUUGCUGCAAUUUAUUUAUUUUCAAGUAUAGAAACAGAAGACAAUGAAUGUUAGGUCAUUGCAGUUACAAUCAUAUAUGUAAUAACUCAUACAAGCACAAAAAACAGGUAAAACUGAUUAAAUUGAGAUAUAUAGACAUAGAAAGCACAAAGUGGCAUUAUUGUAUACCUAGUAUGCUUUUAAUUACUAAAUUUCCAAGUAUAAUAGCAUAAAAGUUUGAAAAACUAAUUAUAAAAGCUAAAGAUUAAGUACAUCCUAACUUUAUUCAAGAUAAACUUAAUGCAGGGAAUAAAACUAAACAUCGGUGACAAAAAAUUCAAAAAUAUUUCUUGCAUAAAAUAGAUUAUUUUAGUAGACUAUAAUGUGAAGGUUUUUACGACCUUCUAUACAUUAGAAUACAAUCAAACCUAAUUCACACCUUAAGGCAUCAUAAAAUUAUCCAUUAUAUUCAUGUAUAAGAGACGUUUAUACUAUUGAAAAAUUCGUGAUGUAUUUAAUUUACAAAUAGAAAAUGCCAUUGCCUAAGGAAGCAUGCAUGCCAUCCGAGCACUAAUUGUGAUACCCAAAACACUAAGAAAUACCUUCAACUGGGCAUCAGCAGAAUGGGUUCCAGCCGCUGAGUUAUUGGUUGCUGAAUCAUUCCAAUGGUUUGGCCCCCCGGGUCCAGAUGCAGUCAACAUUCUUGCAGCAGCCAAAGUCUGAAGUUUAAGUGUAAGAAAGAACAUAUAUUAACACAUGUAUAUAAAGCCCCCCCAAAAAAAUCAAAUGCCUACCUCAAGAUUAAGUUCAAUGUAAGCAAGGAUGAUGGGUUGAGGUUUCGUAUCGAUAGGAACCAUUGAGAGAUGACCCUUAAUUGCUGCACCACGAAGCUUAACAAGCUCGUGCAGAACAGUUUUCACCAUUCGUAAGGGUUUGUCAUCAGCACCGGCCCUGUUAAAUUGAAACAUUUUAUAAAAAUGAUUUAGUCAAAUAGAAGUAACUCGAUGCAACAACAAUGGCUAUAGCUAUGUACCUUCUCCUAAUUUCCUCCAUUCCCAAGUCUUGCAAGUACAGAUGGAUGCUUUGAAGUAUGCGAUCCAAGUCAACAUCAUAGAUGGUGCUCUGAAGGACCUGAAUUGCAUCAAAAUGCAUGUGAAAUAAUGCAACCAAGUUUUAAAGAUCAAGUCUAUCUGAACGUAAUUUUGUAAAUUUCAGCUGAGUCUUGACAUGAAAAAUUCGGUCAAUUAUCAAUAGAACUGUAUAAUUUAAGAUUUUUGCUACUGGGUGGCAAGUUACCUUUGUAAGCUUGAUAAGGCAUUUCACAACCAGAUCAGAAAACUUCUGGUUUCUGGUAGCAAGUGACUCAUUUGGUGCAGGUGAAGGCCACCUCGAUGGAUCUAGCGGACGUAAAAGAUUAAUUAGGACAACAAAGGAUGAAGUUCGAUCUGCAUUAUCCUGUAAUGAUGAUCACUAGUCAGUAAACUAACUUGCAUUUGUUAUUUUCAGUAUAAAAAAACACAUUAUCAUUACUACCAUGAUAUGAAGUUUCAUUUCAAACAAAAGGGCAAAUAAAAUAAAUCAAUUAAAAGCAAGUCUCUUACCAGAAUCUUAAGCAUCAAUACAUUCAAUGCUUUCAACAACUGGCUUCCAUCAUCCAUGCGUGGAACAUUAUCAUCCAAGAGCCACAGAAGAAGCUCUGUAAUGAGGCUAUCAAGAGUGCUCUCUUUUACAGCAUGUGCUAAUCUUUUAUUUUGAAAAGUCUGUAAAGGGGUUGUAAAUAGAAACAAUUACUAAAAGACGCAAUAAUCUCAAUAUACACUGAAGAAAAACGGAAAAUACAUUUACCUGCAUGAGAGUGUUGAGCACAUAUUUACAGGACCGCGAUGAAGCCCCACUCAAACUGAAAUCAAAAGUUUUUGCAACCUAUUUGAAAUAGCAAAAGAAACAUUAAUACUUCAUGAUUUCUCUCCAAACAAAGGGGAGUUAUCGACAAAACUAUCUUGCCUUAUCUGCAAGGCAUGAAACUAGCCUAUCUGCAUCCUUAACGAGUUCAUCCAUGGCAUUGCCUUCUGGAUCACUAGUCGCCUGAGCCAACUCAUGGCAGACAACUUUCAUUCCUUCAACAGACUGCAUCACAGAAAUUAUUUUGAAAACAGAUGUAAAAGCACCAUUUUCCAAAACCAAAAUGGGAAUAGGAAAAAAACUCCAACAAUGUAUCAUGUAUCUAUAUGUGUGAAAAGAAUUGCCAAUUUUCAAAGUGGAUGACUAAUGCAAGAAUUAUUGUCCCACAAAUAAUAUUAAGAUAUUCAAAAUAACAGCAAGAGGCUGCUAUGUCAUCCACCUGCUCAGGAGAACCGAAAGAAAUAAUGUCAAGUGCUUCAUUCCAAUCAGUGGGGCUACUGGCAACAGCCACAGGACGAGGCAUCAAUUGUCUCUCAAUGUUACUAUCAGGUUGAGCAUAAUUUCUCCUGACAUUAAUAAGCAAGAUGAUUAAGAAUAAUAGAAGCAUUGUACUUUUUUUGGUGGGGGUUGUUAUUUAGGGGUAAAAGAAGGAACAAAAAAACUCAACAACAAUAUUUCCAUACCUCAAUAACGGACCAGGAAGAGAUCUAGCCAUUUCUCCACUUUGCUCUGCGACAUCAGACCUGGUAAUUCAAGCAAGAACAUCUCGAAUAUUAAAUUUAAAUGUUGACCAUAGAAACAGAGAUUAACUUAAUUCAUUUUCUAAUCAUCAUCAUUUUUAAACUAUGAGUGCAAGUUCCAGCUUUUUCUCAUCUAUUCCCUAAUCUUCAGAAUAUUUUAACUUCUUAAGUUGAUAAUCUACAAAAAUUUAACACCUUAAUAAAACUAAAACAUAAGAUUUCAAGAGUAAACAUUCUGGCCUUUUCUAGAACUCAUCGUCACAAAGGAAAAUCAAUCUUCUCACAAAAGCUAGAUAGGGCUCAUACCAAAUAUAUUAACGAAAUAUCAGGGUUCAAAACAAUCUAGUUAUAUUUAUGUCUUCAUUUUAUAUUUGGUGAUCACAAUCAGAAUAUCAAAGCUUAGAAGAUAUAUAAUGCAUUAACUAUACAACAUAAAAUGAAAAGACUUGCCCAUUUUCCCUGACAGAACGCCGUAAAAUAGCCCUAGCUUCCCCUGGCUUUCCUUCCUUCUUCUUUUCCAUCUCCCGGACCUGUCAAAUUACACCACCUUCAUCGGUAAUGCAGCAUAUCAAAAAGAGAGGAGAAAUGUGAAAGGUAAGAACUUACCUUCCACUUAAAUCUAUCAUCUAACAUGCUUUUUUGAGCAUCUGUUAGUUUCCCGACAAAUCUCCAUAUGUCCUCACCUGCAUAGCAAUGUCAUGGAAGGAAAACUACUCAGACAGGCCAAAAGGUAUUAUGAUAAAAAAAUAAUAAUAAUAAUAAUUAAAUAAAUAAAUUUUUGCAUCUUAAAUCUUGAAAAAUUAUCACUUCAUCCAUAGAUAAGGAUAUAAAUGACUGAAUGAGUCGUGUAGUUUAAGUAUAGAGGAGGAAACACGGGAGCCCAAGUCAACUAAAUGAUGCAGAUAUACUUUCUUACAAAUAAAUUUCCUUUUCAACCUCAGAAAAAUAAUAGAAAAGGGCGAGAACAAAUUUUUUACAAGUUCCAUGAAGAUGAAUUUGUGCAGGGUUAUGCCAUACCGAGAAUUUUAUAACCAGUGGCAAGUGCAUUUAAGGCAGCUUUCCUAAUAUCCCCAUCCCGUUCGGCCGUUAAACUUGCAACAAUUUGCAAUGAUUUCAGUUGCCCACUAAUCUGUCCACAUAAUGCAAGGAGUAAAUAUCUAAAAUAAUACUGAAAACAGUAAUUCACUAGAUGUGUUAGCAACGAUACCUCUGCCCCAUGAUGAUCAAGAAUAAAUCCUACAAGAUCAGCACAUUCAAUUCGAGUUCGGUUGUUCUUAGAGCGCAACCCCUCCAAUAUAUAAGGGAAACAUUUGGAUGCGGAAUAAACUACAACAAAUUGUUUAGUCAACUCCCGCAUUUUUUCACGUACUUUCUCAAUGUUAUGCCCUAACUGCAACAAUUACAAAAUAUCAGACUUUUACUUACUUUCAUUUGUAAAUUAAAUUCGUCAUUUUUUGUAGCACCCAAGAAAGUUCGCUACUCACACCUACUUACAUAUACCUAAACCAAAAAUUAAUAAACUGACAAAAACACAAAUUGCUGAGAUAUUGAUGUCUACUGUGAUGCCAACUAUCAAAUUUGUUAAAACAAACCUUCUCUACAAGGCAAGGAAGAAAGAUUGCAACUUCAGACUCUGUCAAAGAAUACCCUUCAUCCUUCAAAGUGUCGAGCAGCUCAGGAAGAAAUUCCAGCACCUGGGUAAUUAAAUUGCAUAAAUGUUACCUGUUUUUAGCUUAUUUCCAUAUGCUCUCCAUGAUAGCGCUUAUUCUUAGAAAUCAUGGUUGGGCCCAACACAACACCACAAAACUGGCUUGUGAGGUGAGGAUGGCCUCCACUUAUAAACACAUGUUCAUGCCAUAUUUUGUCCGACAUAGGACUCUUUUAACCCUUAUGAAAAUAGUUUGACUUUAUUUUAACUUUUGUUAUAGAAAUAGAUUACACAUAUUGAUGAAUGCUUAUGCCAUAAAGGCUUAAUUAAGUUGCUAAUCCAAACAUGGCCAUAAACCCUUCAUAACCAAAGAAGAUAGGAGGAGGAGAAAUUUGAAAGUAACGGUGAAAACAGAAGGGAAAACUAAACUGUACCUUUAAUAGACAUGUUGUGUUUGAUUUGCAGAACUGCAAUACAAACCACCUCAAAAGAAUGUCCAAAACUUCUAUAACUUCCUUAGCAAUGGAUGGAAGUGCCUGUGAUGUGCAGUAGAAGAUUGUAUAGUUAACAGUACAUUCAACACUUGAAAAGCGCACAACUUAUUAAAAAUGUGAAAAGAACGGCACCUUCUGCAGAAUUUCAAGUCCAUCAACUUGCUUCUUAAAAUCUGCACUUAAGAGUCUCCUAUGUAAAUCCUCUCUGAAAUACCUCAUCAUAUCAUUCUGAAAAACGCAACCAUUUAUUAAAAUUCAAUAAUUAUAGGAAACUUGAGUUAUGCAUGAUAACUCCUAAUUCCUCAAACAGGUCACCUCAAGAUCUUGAAUUUGCUCAAUCCGUGGAUCCUCAAACUUAAACCUUCGAACAACCAAUCUCUCUCUAUCAUCCUGCAUGUGAGAAAAUUGGCCGUUAAACCAUAUAUCUAUUGAAGUUUUUAAGUAAUGUUUGGUAAAUACUUCAGCUAACAAUACCUUAUUUGAAUCCUUGGUAUUUAGCAAGGCCUGAGUUUGAACUGCUAUAUCUUGUGCAGAUAUUUGUUCAGAUUUAGUGCCCUUUAUUGCCCCGGCCCGCUAAAUGAUGAAACUACAGUUAGAAAUUCAAACAAACAAAAGAGUAAUCAACAAAGGAAAACUCAACAUACCGAAGAUACAGAUCUAUUUCCAGGUUUUGAAACACCGUUGGCAGUUGAUUUCCCAACCUUCGUAACACCUUUCGAUGUUACUCCCACUGAAGCUGAUCUGGUGGCUGGCUCGAAUGACUCUGAGGACGCACGUUAGGGGUAGGGGGUAAGAAAUUUCAAGUAUAAAAGGCAAAAUAGUUAGCAAUUUAAGCAUCAAACAUGAGUAGGAAAAUAAGCUUGGCUUCCGAAGAACACACCUUGAAAAGCUCCAUAGGGUUUUAGCUUCUCAAGAACAAGUGCCUGUGCUGGUCCAUGAAUAUCUUUAACUAUCUUUUCAAUCUAAAUAAACAAGCAAUUAAAUUAUGUUUGGCAUCACAUGAAUCUUAGGGAAACAAGGAAUGAAAAACCAGCAUUAUUAUCGGACAUACCAUAUCAUGCCCACUAACUCUCAGUAUCUCAUUAAUGCAAGUCUCUGCCGCCUUACGAACAUCAGAGGAUUUAUCCUACACAAAGGAGCCAUCAUAAAUUUAAACCCAAGGAAAUUUUGCAUUAGAACUGAUUAGAUAAUGACGGUCAGGAUUGAGUAACCAGAACAUACUGCCAUUGCAGAAGAGGCUGGCUUCAGCAGUUGUGCAGCUUCAGCAAAAUUGCUUAACCCAGAAAGUUGCCUAGACAACCAAUCAAAAAGAUCUUUACGCCCUUCCGCACCAAGUUUGGAAUCAACCAGAGAAAUUGCAACAUAUGUAACCUACAGUAACAUCAUGUUCAGGCAAAAGACAAAAAAAGAAGAAUAACAGAAUACAAAAUCAGGAGAAAGGAAAGACCAUUUUAUCAAGAUGAACAGCAGCUAGCCAAGAGUCUAGAGUAUUCAGUACACAUUCUCUCAUGUGCUUCUUAUUGUCACCGAGACAUUUCAAUAUAUCAGACAGAAUGCCCUGCAAUAAACCAUUUCAAGAAAGUUAAACAUUUGAAAAAGGAAAUAGAACAUUAACAACUGGAAAGAAAAUACUAAAUCAGAACAGAAAUCACUAACUUUGCUUGAUUUCUCUACAGCUUGACCCAUUGCAGAUGCAACAUUACCAAUUGUAGUCAAGGUAGCCAUGACUAUGUUUUUGUUGCUAUCAAAGAGCCGUCCUCUAAGAGCACCAAAUAACUCACCUGGUAACAACAAUCAUCACUCAGUAACAAUUUCAAAGGUUGACAAAUUUUAAAAUGAACAGGAUAAAACUCAAAAAAUUAAUAAAAUAAAGCAUGCAAGUCUAUGAAGCAGAUGGGAGGGGCAGACAGUCAAAUUUAAAACCUUAAAAAAUACAAUACUAAUGCUAAUGAGUUACCAGUUCCAGUUGCUUGAAUGCGCUUAUUAGCCUCUUCGAGUAUUUUGUUUACAGCAUCAACAGACUCCAUACGAACCUACAUUAAGCAAAAUGUAAUGCAAUUGUACUUGCUCGGUUACUGGCAGUUAAAAACAAGCGAAAAAUACAAAACUAAAGGUGAUCUAAUACAAGAUUGUUUCAAACAAACCUUCCAAUCGGGGCUUUCAAGACUCUUCAAGAGAGUUGGGGUAAUCUUUCCGCUAAUAUCUUCACGAGGCAAGCUAUCCAGCCCACCAGCCACCGCGGAUGAUGAUAAAUCCGAUGCCCUGACAGUCUUUUUGGUAACUGCAGAUGCUCCCUGAAACAAAACAAAUCAAUAAAUUAAUAAAAUUAGUAUUAGAAAUCAUGAUACUGCAUAGAAGAUACAGCACCAAACACGACAUACCUCGAAUGGGUUCUUCUCAUAUUCUGUGUCAAGAGCACUCAGCAGUGCAGGCUUAACGUCGGUGAGAAACCCUUUUAUGUCUACAAGGGAAAAAGCAUUAGAUCUAACCCAAAUAAAUAGUGAGAGAUGGAAAUUAAAAAAGACAACGCAAAGUCACCUGGACCAACAAAUCUAUGCAAAACACCUAAGAGUUUAAUUGAAGCAUUUCUAGUAGCAGCUGCACUUGACUGCAGCCCAGUUUCUUUAAGAAAAUCAAUUAAAUCCUGCAAAAGAGGACUCGCAUCAAAACUUAGAAUUUUUUAUAACCAAAAAAAAAUAAAAAAUCGAAGUAUUUAAAAUACAUGCAAUCACAGAUAACAUAGCUGCAAUUGCCAAAAAAAUAAACAGAUAACAGACCUUAAGCUUUAAAUGUGAUACACCAAAAUCGUCAACAGCAGAAACCAUCCACAAAAUCCCCUCACUAAGAACCUUAGGAUUCUUAUGCUCCUUCAUGAUUUUGUAGGCCUACAAUAAGAAUAACAGUCUUCAUAAGAUAUUCUAAGCAGAAGCAAUAAAAGCAAGGAGUAGACUGCUAUAUUUCAUCUUUUAACAAAAAAAGAAGCCAUUUAUACUAUUAAAAAAUAAAAGGAAAGUAUGCACUUCGACAAAAAAAAUGAUAUUCUAAGCAGAAGCAAUAACCAUAGUCAUGUAUUAAGGACAGAUUAACCUCAUAAAUCUACAGAUAUUUAGCAAUUAUCAAAUAAUAAAAUGAAAAACCUCCUUACAUAAUUUAUCAUAUUUAAAAUAUAACAACUCUAAGGAAAAAUCCAUGCAUUUCAACCCAUGAUCAUAAAUUUUUCAAAUAGACAAGCUUGGAUCACACUUACGCCUAAUAAUUAAAAGACAUUUCCCCUAAAGAACAACCAUACUUACUCUUUCAAAAAUGAAUCCUGGACCAACUGCUUCACAAAAAGUAGUGAGGCAUUUCAUAGCAUGUGCCCGUGUCUUAAUAUCUGCUACACGUUCACUUAAUCCUACACAAAUUGAAAUAGAAAUGUGGCUGUCAAAUCAGAAUGACAUGAUUAUUGGUAAAGUCAAAAUAAAAAACAACAGUACCUACCCGAAAGACAAAGUACUACACACUUCUUCGGGAAUUUAGUUGCAGUUGAAGCUAUAUGAGUGAUAACUUCAAUAACCUGCUGUUGAACCUGCUCAAGAAUGACAAGAGCUAAUGAAAUUCUUGGACUAUCCAUGCUGUUUUGAACUACAGCUAAACAUGUAAAAUCAUUCAAAAUCCAAAAGGAAAUACUUCUGAACCUGAACAUUUUUCUCGCCCCAACCAGGCAAGGUGCACAGUAAUCUAAUCAAUAUUUCUACGGAUUGGUCAAGAUUCUGUAAACCUUCAACUUGCUGUUUCAGCGAAGAAAUAGCUGCAAAAAUCAAAGAUCAGUGGCCUUACCCAUAUGGCAUUUACAAAAAGACAUUGAAGGAAAAAUCAGAAGAUAAAGUUCUGAGAAUGGAUGAGACAGAGACCCAAAUUCAACGAUGCUCAAAACAACAAAAAUAAUUUACUUAUAGAUACCCUAGACGGCUAGACCUAAAAUACAUGUCAACAAAGAAUAAAUUGAAGUAAAUAUGAUAAAUGCAAAACCAUUCUAUUGUACUCCAACUUAUAAAACAUCUUCAAGGCCUAAAAAAUGCCAAAAGAUACUAAGAUCUAUGUUACUUUCACACAAUCAUGAAAUCACUAUCAAGAAAGGCCUAAAUUAUAAAUAAUCAAAACACCUGAGAAAAAUUACAGGAAAAUGUACCAAGAUAUACAAAAGCAAAGCAUAAAUUAUCAAAUUAGUAUGAGGGUGUAAUGACGUUGGAGGUUAGAUCCUCAACCAAGUUAUCGAUCUUACUUCCAACAUCAUUCCUCCUCCAAUGUUUAUAAAACAAAAUCACAAAACUGAAUUGAUGAUUUCCAACCUUCAAGACGCUCCUUCCACACAGCACUUUUCAAUAAAGUGAUGGUAUCUGACUGUAGAAGAGAACCUAUUCGGCUUUCAAUCUCUUCAAGACCCAUCUCAGUGGGCUGCAUGCAUUUAGAUACACAAAGGUUGUAUAAACCGUCAUUAGUAAAUCACGUGAUAAACUGUUGCAGCUGAUUCAAAUCAGAGAGACAGAACACAAACAAAUAUUAUAUUACCUCAACAUCUUCGGGUGUUUCAAUCGAUUUUGAAGCCUUUUGUGAAACUCCGUCUACUUUCUUGCUUGUACCCGACUUUACAGCCCCCCCUUUCUUGGUGACGGGCUGGAAUGUGUAAAAUAUUCAAAAGACUAUGUCACCACAUGCAUCAAAAAUGCUUAAUUACAAGCAAGAAGAUGCUACUUACAGCUGACUGAACAGGUCUCUUUCCACUAAGCAUACUUGCAGCACUUCUAACAGGUGCACCAGUCUGUAUGUAAAUCAAGGAAUAAUGAGUGUACGUCUCCAAAGAAACCUUUACAGUUGUAAACUUCAACAAUUAUAAAUUGUUCAUUUUCUCUUUUUAGAAUGUUCCACAAAUUCCUGUACAACUAACUAGCAUUUGUUUUCCCAAGCACUGUCAACAGCAAAGUCUCACAAUACAUUUUAUUCAUGGUACCAAGUUUUGAAGAGAGGGUGGUAACUAAAUAAAGGAUGUUUGGCAGAAGAAUACUUUAAACAACAUAUUGAAAAACAAACAUCUUGCAUGUCAAAAAAUAAUCACCCAGUACAAUGCACUAAAGAAAUGAAACUAAAACCCAGAUUUAUUAAACUAAAAGAUAAAAGAUACACUCACCUCUGUAGAUGAGGCACUUGCACGUGCAUUUUGCACAGAAACUGAAAUAGCAUUAUCAAGUGUCAGCAAAAAACUCCAACAAGUACUUUAAGUUUCGAAGCAAAUAAUUAAAUUACAAUUAAAAAUCAAGCAAAUUAUAGAAACAAAUAAACUUGGAAGCUUAAAACAAAUUCCAGUUACACAAGAUUUAGUGAAAUUCAUUUUCCAAUGCCGCAGACAAUUGACAAGAACUGCCUUACGCAAUUACAAGUACCUAAUGUCAGAUUGAGGAAUACUUUGAAAUGUGAUGAUCAGAAUAAUUUUAAGAACUUAAUACUUGUUAAUAACAUCACUCCAUAGGGAUUAAAAGGCACAAUAAAGGUCAAUUUGUUCCACCUUCCAACUUGAGAAAGUGGUCCUAAGAAAAGGCACGCAGUGAUCAAAGGGACUAGGCCUUGUAUACUCCAAUAGCCCAAGGUUAUUAGUAAGUGAUACUCACUCAAUAUGACUCUGAAUCUCAUCUCCCUAUUUUGACAAAGAACUCAGCUACAUCAGGUGGUGCAUCAUAGAACAUAUUUCAGGGGAUGCAGGACAAUAUACAGCUUCUAAAUUCAAUUUAAGAGUUCGGGAAAAAUACUUCACACAAAGGUGGGGCAAUUUGGAGCUUGUGGUGGUAUCUUAUUCUGCAUCUCCUUCAAAUCUAUUUUCCUUGAAGUUUCUUGCCAAUAAGGGGGCGCUUUUGCGCAAUUGUUUUACUACUGCUUGUAGGCCCAUGAUGGGUAAGGCAGAAGUUUUAUUUGAAAGGCUAAAUUCCAUCUGUAUUCACCUCAGAUACACAAUCCACUAUCAAUUAGUAAACAAGGAUUGUAAAUUGCAUAGGAUACCCCUGCCUUCCAAGCAUUUAUGGUGAUGGAUGUAGGCUUAGCUUGAAUAGACUGAACUGUUUUAAAAGUUCAAGGCAAGGCCUGUAACAUGUUACAUUUCAUAGGUUUAUCUUAGGCCUGGCAAAACUUCUUUAAGAGCACGGUCUAACCGGUUAGCUGAUUUGAAGACUUAUUUCAUAUAUAGGCAUUUAGAUAUGUCAUUCAUUGUAUCUAAAUGUAGGUAAAAGGAAAAACAAACCAACAAAAUAAAUUCUGCAAACAAACAUCAAACUACAAAAUUCGAAGUGGGAUAAUCUUUUCUAAAAUCAUGGUCUGUCUUAUUUAUAAUAAUACAGGGCUAAGAUCAAUCCUACCCAUUUGAAAUUCUAGCAUAACAUAAAAGUCUCUAAAAAGGUCUUCAAAUAAGACAUAACUUUUCGUUUCAAUAAACUUAUAGCCUCAAGUCUUAUAUGCAGGACGACAUGCAUAAAUCUUUAAAAGGGUAAGUAUAUGAUUUUCACAUAUUUAAAAAUAUAAUUUUAAUAUUAUUUACAUUUACUUUUUUUUACCUAUAAAUAAACUUUGGAAAGUCUUCGCCUGGUUUAUAUAAUAAAUAAGCAUCGCUUGUAGACUAAAGCAUAGACCCCUAUCGGGCAACCUAACCUAUCUGCACUGUCCUCUUUUGCCUGUUCCCCUUCCCAUCCAAUAGUAUUCAAUAUCCUGUGAGAAAAAGUUACAAACCUGUAGAAGAACCACCGGGCACAGCAUCUUCAGAACCUGAAAUCAUUUCUGAAAGCUUUUUCCUUCUAACAUCAUCAAGUUUCUCCAGUGACCUCUCUAGAGGUCUCAUGCCAACCGACUGCAGAAGAAUGAAGAUUACAAUUGCUCAAAACCUCAAUAGCAAAAGCAAUCUAAUAAACAUGCAUGCAAAUUUAAUGGAAAAAAAAAAUUACCUUUGCUAUUGCUGCCAAUGCUGAAAAGGCGGCAUCCCUCACUUCAGGAGUGCCAUCAUUUAGACACUGCAAGAUUCAAAUCUCAGUGUUUGCAAAGUAAUAAACAAAAGUACCAGACAGAAACAAUUACAGCUUACUGAGUUCAACAGAACUUAAUUACCAGCCACAAGACAUAUGAACACAAUUUUAAUCAAAUGAAGCACGGACACUCCUCGGAUUAGGCGUGUCCCGGUGUCGGACACACGUCUUGUCCGACACCGACACUUGUAAUUACACUGAAUUUUGUGAUUUUUUCAAAUUAUUAGAUGUGUCAGCGUGUCAGUGUCCGUGUUGUGUACGGUGUUCGUGUCCGUAUCCGUGCUUCAUAGAAUACAUCUAUUUCUGAACAGUCCUACACUAUGAAAAAGAGGGGUGCUAAACUAGCAUUUAAAUCAAGCGGACUUAAUCUGGUGAACAAUAUUUUUCAAGAAAAUCAUAACCUGUCAACAGAACAAAAAUAUAAAGCACAACAAAACUCACCUCCAUGCAGAUUGGCACAUAAUCCUUAUGCACCUUUGUGAUAAUACCCUUGUUACUUGUUUCAAUGCAAAAUGUAACCCAUGUCAUUGUUGAUGAUCGCACAAGGGGAACUUUGUUUUUUGUGGCUAUCUUAACAUCUAUAACAAAUCAAACACAAAAUACUCAAUAAGAAGCAAAAGUACAACACUAACAGAAAGCAACGACACAAUAACCUAAAGCACAACACAACCAACAGAAUACAAACAAUAACAUGAAACACUCAUCAGGAUCCAGGAGUCAUUGAUAUGGGUACUAAAAUAGCAAUAUAAAUUUAUGGAAUAUAUACAUACAGAUAGGAAUUUACAAUCAUGUUUUCCAAGGAGCACAUACAUCAAAAAUAGAUAUUCUUCGAAUUUCUGGGGUUAAUUGUAGGAUUAAUCAUGUAAUCUUCGGUUUCAGAACUAAUUUUCAUCAGAAAAAAGGGUAAAAUCAUGGACAGGUUUUGUGAAGAAAAAAUAAAGCAGCAGAGUCUAAGUGUCUGUAAAUACAAUAUUCAAUCAUUUAACUAGUAGAAAUUGAAAUUUGAAUUCCAAGCCAAGUAUAAAGCUCGAAAAUAAUCAUGAUGGGGGGGGGGGGGGGGAACCUGCCUUCAACAACAUCAACAAGACUAAUGCAUCCAGCUUUAUGAAUCGCUUGAAGAGUCUGAGACAAUGCCUCGGUCAUGGUAGGUUUUUUCUCUUUCAAUUUUUCCUAUUAAAGAAAGAAACACAUUAAGUAGACAUUAUUUCACAAAGAGGAAUCAACAAUUCAUGCGACAAAAUAACUAUUUACUUUAACAAAAACUUCCAUGAACGAUAGAAGCAUAAUUCCCCUGUUACCACCUCUAAAGGCGUUCAAGACAGAAGACAACCAACUUUCUCAAAGCCAAAAACAAGAUUCAACAUGGUAAUGCAUGUGGGGGAUGUAUACCGGUGAGCAAUUCAAAUCAAAAUGAAAAAAUCAUACUCUCAAAACCAUCACACGUUAACCAGUUAACCAAUUGUUGGAAAAUAAAAAAUGAAUUGAUUACACAGAAAUGUAAUUGAGACACAUCAAAAAUAUGGGUACAAAAUAGAGAACCAACAAAGACAUGAAGUUUCUAAAACUAUUAGAGAAGUGUACUCAACCGGUAAGGUUAAUAACAAAAUAACAAUGGCUGUUGAAUAGUACUUACAAGUAAAACAGGCAAUAAAAAACGAGAGCUCGCAGAAAAAUUGGUUCUUAAUCCACGAGCAAGAUUGCCAAUAGCCUGGACAGCUUCAACAGCAACAGCAAUAUUCACAUCUGUAAUAAGCUGCAAGCAAAAUAUAAUGGGUUAGUUCUAGAAACAUGCAUCAAUGACUGAGCAGAUGCAAGUACAAACACAGCGACAAUAAUGUUCAUUUUUAUUCAAAUAACCUCUGUCUUGCAUAAAAAGCCAGAACAGAAUAAAAUAUUUUACUACAAACUUUAUGGUGCACUCAAAACAAACAACCUUUAAAGCAUUUCAGCCCAGACAAGUUCAAAGCUUCCAUUAGCACAGGCAAGUGCUAACUUUUUAAGAGAAAGGGCUCUCAAAAAGAAACAGCACAGCAAUUAUAAAAAUGGAAAGGUACAAAAUAGCAGAGUACUCUACACAAGUGAAACAUAAAUAGAAUCAAAUUAAAAGAAAAAUGAUGCAGUAACGUCACUAGUAUUGAAAUAUUUUAUGUCUCAAUCCUUUAGAUCAUAUUUCAGUUGCCAAUCUCACUUGAUCUUCAACACAGCAUAUAUUAUAAUUAUCGUCCGAUUCAUUAGAAAUCAGAUACAAUAUUUGAGUGGAAAUGUAGAUCCUACCAAACAAUGUACAAGCUUAACUAGGAAAAAGCCAAACAUUUUCAUUGUCAUUAAACAUGUGUAAUACCUUCUUUAAGGUCCGACAAACUUCAGAAAAAUCACCAGGGGAAAUUCUUUUUGUUGAUGCAAGCUUUGUCAGCUCACCAACAGCCUCCUUCCUUUCAAGCCAUUUGGUAGCUUUCUAAAGAUUUAAUAAGAUUAAAAGGGGAAAAAAAUGAGACAGAUUCAUGUGAUAAAAAGUUAUGUAUUUAGAGAGAGAGAGAGAGAGAGAGAGAUGUAGCAGAGAAGAACUGACCACUCCAUCCCAAAAUCCUGAUUUCUCCAAAGGAGUCAAAAUAUCAACCGGAUCAACAAGCUCGUAUUCAUCUAUUUCUUGAGGAGCUGACAAUAUAAUAGUUGCAAACAGGUAGGUAUGUUAGUGUCACAGAUGAAAAACAAACCAUAUCUGAUAAAAGAGAGCAUGCUCCAUCUAAAACAUCAAUUUACAUACCAUCGGACCCGGAUUCUUCAGCAGGGCCAGCACCCACAACCUCAGAUAUAGUUUCCUGUUCAGGUUCCUUGUCUUGCUCGGAUCUAAAAAAUGGUGGAAUAUAUAUUAAGAUGGUAUUAUCCUCAUAUGGUUAUUAACAAUUAAACACCAACAUAUAGUAAGCAAAAGAUUCAAAUUAGACAAAUGUGUGAUUACAAUCCAGUGGAUCCUGUCAUCAGCUAUUGUAAACCCUUAUCUGGCUAGAUAAAAUGAGUUUCAAUUGUCAGGGAGCAAGUUAAAAUUUUGAGACUUAAUAAAAAAUCACGCCGGAAAUCUGGCUCGAGUGAAAUGUCACAUUUAAAACAGCAAGAAAGUAUUUUUUAAUAGUUUUGUUCAUUGGCAGCAGAUGGUCUAACAUUUAGUUAUUCCAUUUCUUUUAAAUAAUAUUUUAGUAUCUACCGUGGAUAUGCAAAACUUUUAAAGGAAUAAAAUUUAAGUAUGAUCUAUAUUUAGGUCCACAUUGCUCGAUCUCCACUAAAUUGACAAAAAGAUUAAAGACUGUACAAUAUUUUCAUGUUCAGCUCUAGCAUUAAAAAUUGUUUCAAGGGUCCAAACAGCAUUGUGACAUCCACAAAUCUCUGGAAAAAAAAUCUUUUGAAGAUAUGAAGAAAAAAAGAACAAGAAUGGAUGUUAUAAGUGCACUGAAAACUCAGAUAUCUACCUUAUUUUACGGCUUGGCUUUGCUAUUCCCGUAACAUUUACAACUUCCGCUUCCAACUCUUUUUUCUACAAAAAAAAAAUAAAUAAAUAAAUAAAAAGGAAUUGGAAAAUUUACAGUUUAUAUUAGGAGGAGAAUAUAAUAAAUCAAAUAACUAAGAGGAACAGAUAAGCUUACCAUUGUGUCUCUCAUUUUCUCAAACAAGAUUGAUUUAACAUUAUCUUUACCGAUCCAGCGACAAAGUUCAAGAGUCAGCCCUUUAGAGGAUGCGCGAACAUUUUGAUCUUGGUGAUCGAAGAGUUCCGGAAGCAUUUUCAAAAUUCUUUUUGGGGGCACAAUUUUAGAUCCAAAUUCACUAGCAGUGUGAAGACAGAUAAGUAUAUCAUUAUAUGAUAGUAACAAAAUAGAAACAGCUACUAUAGAUUUUGCAACGAGAUUCCAAACCUUAAAGCUUGAAACAUAACAUCUAUUGCAGGCACCACUGCUUUAGCAACUUUGUUCUUUAUCGCUUUCUCCAUUGCAUCCUAAAAUUACCAAGAGCCUUAAUAAUGAAAGGACGAAAAGCAUGACUAGUAGAUGUGAAGUUAUUGGUAUGUAAACUAAACCCCCAAAGUAUCUUAAUAACCCGAAACAUAGAAUAAACUAAAAACAGUGAAAGUGGAAAAAGACUAUAUGAAUUCAACAGUUUGGGGGGAUCAGAGCCUUAAUUAUUUUAUGUAGAAACUUAUUAAGAUUUAAAGUUAAAUAAACUUGUUCACCUCUGCAUCUUAAAAAUUACUAAAAACCAUAAGAAAAGUAGAAAAAGAGAUGUAUGACAAGUGGGUGCAAAGCCAUUUCUUCCUAGCUUAUUUUAGAGCUUAUGCAAGACAGCUUAUACAAAUAAAUGUCUUUAUGUAUUAUUUAUAAGCUUGUUAAUAAAGUUAAUGAAAAAACAGUUGAUGAAGGUACGAUUUUCGUUUGAGAACUUAGGAAUUAAGAUAAAGACUUAUUUAUUUGCAUAAGCUCUUUUUCAUAAGCUCAAUCCAAACGGGGCCUAAGUCAUUAAUCUCUAGAAAUGGAGCCAUAAAAUAUAUAGUUUCAUGGAAAAGAAUUGCCAUAUCGGGGUAAUGGGAAACAGGACUAAUUGAAUUCAAAAGCCAUAUAACCUUGUAAAAUGCAACAGAAAGGGGGCUUUUUUUUUGUGUAUGUUCCAACAGAAAUGGGGCUCUACAAUAUAUAUUUUCGUCAAAAGAAAUGCCAUAUUAUUAAUUGAGACUAACAACCAUUAUUCAAGAGGAUCAAACCUCAACAAUGUCAUCCACUCUCUAGAGAACUGAGACAAUAUACUUUUUCCAUUUAAUUCCUAAACUCGCAUCAGUUUAAACACUCUAGAUUUUGAACAAAAUUACAAAAUAAAUCAAAUGCACCAGUAAACGUCAAAAUAUUUUCACUAUGGGAUAUGAAAUACAAGUUACAGAUUUUGCAAAAACCAGUUACCAGAGACCAAUCACUCAAUUCAAUCAUAAGUGAGGCAGGAACUUAAGAAUACAAUUUUAAUAAGAAUAUCUGACACCGUGAUCGUAAAUGAUAAAUGAAGUCCUUGUAUUGAAUCGUUUGCCAGGAGAUAGAGGGAGAGUUUGUCAUUGUGCAAAUGCCACAAGUGAAAACAAAAUUGGAAAUAAUCAGCUCAAGCAAAACAAACCUCUUCUACCAUCAAACAAACUCACCACAAGUUUACUUCCCCACGAACCGGUACACAACCAAGAUAGGCCGCAAGUUUAUAUUGUAAUCAUGUAUGCAAACAAGUUUUCCACGCACAUUCUAAUUGCUGAAACUAACUACAUUUUAAGAAUCAAAAGUGCAACCCUCGCUACUGAAAACAUAUGAGCAACCCACCAGUCACCUAGACACGAACUCCAAGCAGAAAGGAAUAUAAACAGUAGAAAAUCAUUCAACGGCAAUGAAAUGAAAUACACAUAAAGAAGAGUACCAGAAACGCAUCCACAGCCUCCAAUUCCACCCAGAGCAAGAACACUGCCUGAGCUUUCUCCACUGUCUUUGGCCUUCCUGUCAGACAUUUAGCCACAACCGCGUCGCAUACUUCCUUCCCAAACCUGCUCCAAAAUUCAAAUUCAAAUCCGAACUCACACUAGAACAUGCAAUUAAAUAUGAAGAAUAAUGAUAAACAUUAUGAAAUUAUCACCUGCUAGCGUCAGCAUCUGCAGCUCGCAAGUAAGCAAUCAAUGCAUCAAGUGCCUUCUCUUGCACCGGAGCAUUCGAAUCCGACACCGUCUUUUUAAAAAAAUGACCUAGCAAAUUCAAAAUUCAAAUAAAAAAACACAGAAGUCAAGAUCCAAUUCAAAAUUCACAGCAACAUUCACCAAAUAAAACCGUAUCCAGAUCCAUAAUUCAUAGAUCGAUAAACGCAAAACGAAAAAACCCUAACAAAUGAAAAACAGGAAUUACACUAACCGAAUUCACGGAUGCGAGGGUCUUUAGGAUCGGUGAUUGAGUCACAGAGAGAAGCCAGAUCAAUAUUGGCUUCAUUUCGCACUUUCCAGUUUUUGUGAGAAAGACGAUCCUCCCAUGGAAGUUUCUUUGCUUCCUUCAACAACUUUUCUUCCUCUGAUGACAUUGUUGUUCGCACUCAAACCCUGACGAUCUCGAAGAAUGCGUAACGAAUUGUAGAGAGAGAGAGUGAGAGAGAGUUGGGUUGUUUCGUUUUGAUUUGUAAUCGGCAGGUGCAGUUGCCGGCGAGAGGGAAGAUGAAAAUGAAAUGAAAUAUAAUAAAAAAAGAAAAGGAAAAAAGAGCGUGCAAGUGCAAUUUGGCUUUUUAUCUUCGCUUCAAAAACACUGCAACAGAGAAAAUGAAAGAGAUAGAGAUGGAGAGAGAAAGAAGAGGGAGGUUUUAUUAUUUUUUUAAUUAUUAUUUUACCGUUGGUUUCACGGAACGGAACGGAGCGUGCGUAAGAAUUUGAAUAAAAUGCACUGCUCGAAAAAUAUAAAGAUCAUCGUCGUUUUCUCACAUACUCCUUUUCGUGGCUAAAUCUAACACGUAUAUACGUGGGAAUAAGUUUAGUUCUUUAUAAAGUAAAAAUUACUUAGAUUAAUUAUUGAAUGAUUAGGCUAUGUUUGGAUUGAUGGAGAGUGAUGGAAUGGAAUGGAAUGGAACCAUGUUCCAUUGUUUUGGUUUUAUAAAAAAUGAAUGGAAUGGAAUGGAGUGUGAUGGAACCCAUUCCAUCCAAUACCAUUCAUUCUUCCAAUUUUUCAUUCCAUCUAAUUUGGGGUGUAUCCAAUGGAAUGGAACACAUUAAUAAUUUUAUUACAAUUUUAUCCCUGCAUUUUCUAUUUCACCUCCUCUUUCUUCUUGUGUGUGUGCAACUUGAAUUUUUUUUCUUCCUGUUUCUCUCUCUCUAAUUAGUAUUUUAGGUCACUUAUCUCCAGUUUUUUCUUCCAGAAAGCCUCACGCCUUCCAUGACAUAGUAGUUAUUUAAUGUUCCUCGUUGUGAUACCACAAAGUUCCACAAUUUGCAGAAAAGAAAAUCCAAUCCAUGUAAUAGUCAUAUAACAAACUUGCUGCUUACUAUGCUCUUCUAAUCAUUUCUAUGAACUGAGCCAUCAACCAUUAUUAUUAUAUUGUUUAAUUAAAUAAUAUUUGAACCAUUGGAGAAAAUUAUGCUUCAAGGUUGUGUUUCAUCAUUAGAGGUAGAUAAUAAAACAUCCAUGUUUUAAUUUGCAGCGAGUUCAUAUUCUGGAUGCAUCGUUCUUAUAUGUGAAGCAUUUUUAUUAAAUUAGGUAUAAUACAUUUUUUGAUGUGAAGCAAUUGUGAAGCAUUUUUAAUGUUUUUUUAAAUAAAGGUUAAAAUUGGAAUAAAAAAAUAUAAUACAUUCCAUUCUGUCAACUUUCCAAACAAUGGAGUGGAAAGUUGGCUCUGUUCCAUCGUGAAAUAUCCAAACGAUGGAAUGUAAUCUCUAUUCCAUUCCGCUCCGUUCCAUUCCUUUCCGCUCCGUUAGUUUUAAGUUAUCCAAACAGAGCCUAAGGUUCGUUUGGAUAGGCUUAUUGUUGAACUUAUGCUAAAAAACUUAUACAAAUAAAUUAGUUUUUAUUUUAUCAUUUAUAAGCUUGUCAAAAUAGUUUAUAAAAGAAUACCCGUAAGCUUAGCUGAGUUGAUAGGGAUAUUGCAUUUUAUAUGCAAGGGUCGGGGUUUCCCGGACACUCCACUUCUCCACAAUUAAAUUGUGUGAGCAAUAGCCACUAGACUAGUAAUACAAAAAAAACAAAAAGUUUAUGAAAGAAAAAAAAAACAUUUUGUGAAGAUACAAUUUUUGUUAAUAAGAAUUAUGAAUUAACAUAAGAACUUAUUUAUUUGCAUAAGCUAUUUUUCAUAAGCUUAAAAAUAAGCAAAUCCAAACGGGCUCUAAUUCAUAUGUGACAAUUUGAUUCUAAAAAAAACACCAUAAUACAUCCACUUCUCUCAAAUCAAAAACAAAAAUAAUAUAUCCACUUUGGUUCACCCUAUUAAACAACAUAGUUUGUUUUUUCUUUAUAUUUUUAAUUGAUUAACUAGUGUUCAUUGGACACCACUCUCUCCGUUUCAAAAUACAUAUCCAAGUCAAUCACUUCACAUAUGCUAAUGCACAAUUUUGACCGUUAAUAUCUUUAAUUAUCUAAAGUAAAAAAUUAUAAAAAUUUAAUAUUUUGAAAAUAUUUGUCGAGACAAAUCAAAUAACAUCUUACAUGUUAGUAUUUGUAUUUAUACAUUAGUUAAAAAUUAUGAUCAAAGUAAGUCAAGUGAAUAGGCAAGAAUUUGACAUGUAUUUUGAAACGGAAUGAGUAGUUAGCAUGACAGUUUAUUUAUUACUAACACUAACAUGUUGGUCUUUCAUCUUUUUGUUUUUAUCGACAAUAAACAAUCAAAUUAUAAAAAGGGUUAAACAAUGUCCACCCUAUGUUAUUUUGUCCUGUUUUGGUUUACACUAAAAAAAUUAGAGAUUAUCCCCGUGAACCUAACUCAGUUGGCAGGGACGUUGCAUAUUAUAUGCAGGGGCCGGGGUUCGAAUCCCGGACAACCCACUUAUUCAUCUUUAUAAGAUGAAUUUCUAACCUAGUGGCUACUAGACCCAAAAAAAAAAUCAGAGAUUUCCGUUCAGUGUCGGAUCCAUAAAUUUUAUCGAGUUUCAGUAGGCAUUAUUUAACCCUUUUUAUAAUUUGAUUAAAAAAAAAAAACUUAGCUCUUCUCCUCUCUCUAUCUUCUAUCCCCUCUACCUCCUUAUGUUCCCCUCUUCUUUUUUCAAACAAGAAAAUCUCUUCCUUUUCAAACCCACACUAAAAAAUAAACAAAUAUGAGGUAAUCUGAUAAAAUAUUUGUUGUUGUUUGAUUAUUCAUCGAGCUUUAUCAUCAUCACCGACGACAAUAGAUAUUAUUUGUUUUGAGAUAUUAACUUUUUUUAUUGAGUUUUAGAUUUGAGCAUUUGCAUUUUAGACAUGAAACUUUUUUCUUGAGUUUUGGAUCUCAAUGGUAUAAAUUUGAUCCUGUACAAUUAAGAAAAAAAAUCCAAAUUGAAAAAUAGCGGAAAACAUUGAAGAAAUUUUGAAGAAAAAAUUGAAAAACUUUUGUUGUUGGCUCAUCGUUGGUACGUUUUAGAAGAAUUAAAGCUGGAUUUUUAUGAUCACUGCCAUAUCUUCUUUCCUUUUAAUUUCCUCCUUUAUGAAAGAGUAGAAAUUAAGGGUAAAUCAAAAUCGUGUUUUUUUUUUUUUUUUUUUUAAUUUUUUGGGUUUGAUGAAUUUGAUUAUGAAAUCAUGAAUGUGUACAAAAACUAAGGGAGAUUUUUUUUUUUGAAUUUGCAUUUAUCGAUGACGGUGUUAAAUGAGAAAGAUAAAGAUCAUGGUAGUAGAGAAAAGAGAAAAUAAAAAAUAUUUUGUUUUGCUUUUAAUUUUUUACAUUUAUUUUCUAUAAAAAAAUCUAAUUCAUUUAAUAACGAAAAAGGCAAUCAAAAUUAAAAUAAUUAAUAAUAUCCAUCAAGCAUGCUACAUAAUAAAAAACGACGACUCAACACGCCGCAGAAACUUAAGUGUACAUACAAAUGUCUUGAGGAUCCAAAAUCAAAUAAUAUUCAAAUUGCAGCGGGAGUUUCAAACUUUAUUUUUUUAUAGGGGCUAAACCAAGACUCGCCCACGAUAAGUUUAGUUUAGAGAUAUAACCCGUUUGAUGGUCAUGAUAGAAUAUGAAGUUGAAUAAAGAUAAGAUACGAUACGAACAUGAUAAACAUUUACUCUAUCGUGUAUUUAGCGUGCACAUGAUAAUACAUAUAACCCGUUUGAUGGUUAUGAUAGAAUAUGAAGUUAAAUAAAGUUAAGAUAUGAUACGAACAUGAUAAACAUUUAUUGUAUCGUGUAUUUAAUGCGCACACGAUAACAUUAUUUUAUCAUAUUAAUUGACAAAAUUAUCCUUAUAAUCAAUUAUAUUUUUUAACAUAUUUUAAUAGAUUUUCAUAUAAUAAUACAGAUUACAACAACAUCACAAAAUAGAGGGAAAAAAUGAAAUCCAUAAAAAAUAAAAGAAAGAGGAAUCUAGAAAAUAAAGAGCAUAAAUAUGUCAAAAACAAGAGGAAAAAAUCAAAUCGACGGAAACAAGAUAAUUAUGAUUUUUUUUUUUAAACUGAUAAAAAAAUAAGUAGAUGAUUUUUUAGAAGAAAAAAAGAAGAUAAAUCUAAAUAAGAAAAUUUUAAAAUCGAAAAAAAGAAAAGAAAUAGAAGCAUAUAAAAAGAAGAUGAAAAAAAGCUAUAAAAAAAUGAAAUCGAUAAUUAAUGAAAAAGAUUUUUUUUUUUUAAGAUAGAGAAUAACAUAACGAUGGUACAAGUGAGUGAAAGGAAGAAGAUGAUGGAAAGGGAUGGGAUGGUUCGGGUGGAGAGGUGAAAGAAGACAAAGGCCCCGUUUGGAUAAACAACUUAUAUAGAUGCUUAUAGCAUUAGGGCUUAUAACAUUAGAGCUUACAUCAUAAGCUCUUAUACUUGAUAAGCUAUUUAUAUUUGGAUAUGUACACUGAAAAGUACUUGCAUAAAUUGAAGUGUUUGGAUGUGACAUUACAUAAGCAAUUAUCGAAAUAUUAAAUAUUUUUAAUUUUAAAAAAAUCAAAGAAUCGAACCACAAUUAUCAAGAUUUAUUUUGAUAAAAUUAAUCAAGAUGUAAAAAAACAAUAUUAUAAUAUAUUAAUUAUAAUUAUAUAUAUAGUAUAAUCAAUAUUCGUCCUUAAAAAAAANNNNNNNNNNNNNNNNNNNNNNNNNNNNNNNNNNNNNNNNNNNNNNNNNNNNNNNNNNNNNNNNNNNNNNNNNNNNNNNNNNNNNNNNNNNNNNNNNNNNNNNNNNNNNNNNNNNNNNNNNNNNNNNNNNNNNNNNNNNNNNNNNNNNNNNNNNNNNNNNNNNNNNNNNNNNNNNNNNNNNNNNNNNNNNNNNNNNNNNNNNNNNNNNNNNNNNNNNNNNNNNNNNNNNNNNNNNNNNNNNNNNNNNNNNNNNNNNNNNNNNNNNNNNNNNNNNNNNNNNNNNNNNNNNNNNNNNNNNNNNNNNNNNNNNNNNNNNNNNNNNNNNNNNNNNNNNNNNNNNNNNNNNNNNNNNNNNNNNNNNNNNNNNNNNNNNNNNNNNNNNNNNNNNNNNNNNNNNNNNNNNNNNNNNNNNNNNNNNNNNNNNNNNNNNNNNNNNNNNNNNNNNNNNNNNNNNNNNNNNNNNNNNNNNNNNNNNNNNNNNNNNNNNNNNNNNNNNNNNNNNNNNNNNNNNNNNNNNNNNNNNNNNNNNNNNNNNNNNNNNNNNNNNNNNNNNNNNNNNNNNNNNNNNNNNNNNNNNNNNNNNNNNNNNNNNNNNNNNNNNNNNNNNNNNNNNNNNNNNNNNNNNNNNNNNNNNNNNNNNNNNNNNNNNNNNNNNNNNNNNNNNNNNNNNNNNNNNNNNNNNNNNNNNNNNNNNNNNNNNNNNNNNNNNNNNNNNNNNNNNNNNNNNNNNNNNNNNNNNNNNNNNNNNNNNNNNNNNNNNNNNNNNNNNNNNNNNNNNNNNNNNNNNNNNNNNNNNAAAUAUAUGUUUUGAAAAAGUGGAUCCAGAGAGAAUCGAAGGAGGUUACAUAAAUUCAUAAGCUCCUUGUUAAGCCGGAGGGUAAGCUGAAAAUUUAGGCUUAUUAAAAUAUGACACAAGCAGCUUAUGAAACUAUGAUAAGUUUUUUUUAUUUAUUUACCCAAACACCUUUAAAAAGGCUUAUGGGAGUAGAUAAGCUCACAUAAGCUCAAAAUAAGUCAAUCCAAACGGGGCCAAAAUAAAGAUUCAUUUUUUUAAAUGGGAUAGAUUAAUUUUAACCCAAGCUAAAUUUAUGAUAAAAAUUACAAAGGAGUGAUAGAAUAUAAUAAAUAAUAUUAAUAAUUUAUUUUAUCUCUACGUUGUAUCAAUCAAAAUAUUAAAAUAAUAAAAUAUAUUAAUCGUGUCUUUUUACCUUCACCAUGAAACAAAUUCAUAGAAUCCGUGAACAAGAACAUUUAUGAGUUCAUCUUCUUCUAUCAUUAAUUUCAUGAACGGUUAAUGAUUAUUUAUCUAAUUUUUUUUUCGAUCCAGAUUAUUUGUCUAAUUGGUAAAGGUUCCAUUCAAAUUCUACAUAGACCUAAUGAAGAUUGAUCUUCUUGAUGUGUAAUAUAUAUUAGGCCAAAUAUAUUCCUAGGUCAUUUAAGUUUCACAUUUGUUUCAGAUAGGACCUUUAAUUUUCUAAUGUUUUAGAUAAGUCCUUUAAGUUUCGAGUUUGUUUUGGAUAGGUCAUUUCUGUCAACCUCGGUUAAGCCAAAGUUGUUAUGUCCGUUAAGUCAAAGCUGAUAUGUCCGUUGAGUGGGUGAAAUGGUUCUCUCUGACACUUGGCAUCAAUAUUUUCCCCAAUCAGAUCAAGUUUGACUUAACGGACAUAACAACUUUGGCUUAACCGAGGUUGGCAGAACAAACUCGAAACUUAAAGGACCUAUCUGAAACCUUAGAAACACAAAUGACAUAUCUGAAACAAACUCGACACUUAAAGGACAUAUCUGAAACCUUGGAAAUUUAAAGGAUCUAUCUGAAACAAACAUGAAAUUUAAAGGAUCCAGUAAGAUAUUUUGUCUAUAUAUUAUGUAAUUAUUUUUGUAAUAGUUACAUAAAAAAUCUAAGAACUAAAUUGACCAAUAAAAAAAAGUAUUAUCACAAUUCACAGAUAUAAACUUCAUUGAUCCGAUAAAGUGUAUAUAUAUAUAUAUAUAUAUACAGUGGCGGAGCCCUUCAUGGAUUGGGGUGGGCCACGGCCCACCCAGAAAAAUUAAAAAAUCAAUGAUUAUAGGUCUAUUUUGUGAGAUUUUAUGCAAUUUUGUGUCGGUUUUAUGUUUUGGUUGAUCUAAAUUCCUGCAAAGUGGUGUAGUGGUCCACCCGAAAAUUUAAAUAAUUCAAUUAUAGGUCUAUUUUGCGAGAUUUUAUACAAUUUUAUGUUGGUUUUAGGUUUCGGUUGAUCCAAAUUCCUGCAAAUUGGUGUAGUGGCCCACCCAAAAAAUUUAAAUAAUUCAAUUAUUGAUCUAAUUUGCGAGACUUUAAACAAUUUUUCAAUAGUUAAUUUUAGCGGCCCACCCUAACAUUUUUUUUUGGCUCCGCCACUAUAUAUAUAUAUAUAUAUAUAUAUAUAUAUAUUUUGGUACAUGGUAUAUAUCAUCUUUCAAACUAAAGACACAAGAUGACUAGAUAGAUUAAUAAAAGACAUUCAAAUUUUUUAUAAGGUUGAUAUUUUAAUGAACUACGUGGCAUUCAUUUAAAAACCGAAAUACUAGUUGUUUUUUACAUAAAAGAAUAGGUUGGUUAUUCUAUCUACCAGUUUGAAAAUCAAGUGUUAUUAUCGACUCACGAGAAGGCAACCUACUUGCCUGUUUCCAAGCAAAGUUGCCGUCAGAAACAGCCCACUCAACUCACUUUAAAAUUUCACAAUAAUUGUCUAUCAACAUUUUGUGACCGAUCAUCUAUUUAUUAGUUUUUUUUUUUUUUAAAGAAAUACUAGUGAUUCCAACAUUUUCAAAUAAUAUUGACUUUAUCCUCGUAAGAGUUGAUAGAGUCAAUGCAUAAUAUAUGUAAGGUUAUAGGUUCAAACUUCGAUCACCACAAAAAUAAAUAAAUUAUUUUCGUCUCAUUUUAUAUAUGGUCGUUUUGAUAGUGUGACUCGCAAUAAUUUCAUCUAAUAAUUAAAUUAAUGUUAGAAAACAGUGUUUCUAAAACUCCUGUUUUUUUUUUUCUUCUUUUUUUACAAAAUCAUCUAUUCAUCUAGUUCUUUUAUGACAUCAUUUAUCUAUCUAUCUAUUAAUAUUAAUAACUAUACAAAUAUUUUUAAAUUGCGCGGUUAUUUCAUGUGUUUUAAUUAUACUAAUCGAGACCUAAAAUAAUACUAUUAACUUUAUAAAAAAAAGUCACAUACAAUUUAUAAUAUUAAAAAAAAUAUAUUAAAAAGAUAAAUAAAUCAAAGUACGGACAAAUAUGUAGAAGCAUGCAUACAAGAUAGUCCUGCAUUUGACACGUUAGUAGAUGGAAGAAAUGAUAGUAAUUAUUAGAAUCUCAUGCACAUAAAUGAAAGAUCCAGAAUUCAAGCUCCUAUGAUGAUAUCUUUGUCAUUUUUCCUGGCCAAUCUAACGCGUAUAUACAAAUGAUUGGAUCAACGUAGUUGGUUAACAUUUUGCAUGCUCUACACCGCAAUAAAAUUUUGAAAACUCUAGUCGACACCUUGCGCAGGUUGAAUUGUAAAUCAAUCAACCUGGAUGUCGUAACCUAACUUUCAACAUAAGAAAUUCUUUCAACUGUAAUUUGUGAUUCCGCUUCAAACCGGUGUCGUUGCCCGUGUUUUGAAGUUGUGUUUCGUCUUCCUAUCGAUCUGUUCUAUGUUACUGCCUGUUUUCUUGGUGAGGUGGUUUGACGGCGUAGUUUUGUCUCUAUCUUUGGUUGUGGGUAUAUUCACUGUGGCUGCUUCUUCGGAAUGCUAUGGCGAUGUUGCUGAUUUCCUUGGAGACCUUCAACUUUGUCUUGCUCUUGUUCUUGAUGGUCGUGUUGUAGUGGUGGUGGUGGUGGUGAGGGUGACGCAGUGGUGGUUGUGAUGUUGUGCGGUGGUGGUGGUGGUGAUGUGUGGUGUUGGUGUUGGAGGCCGUCUGUUACUCGGGUCCAUUUUCGGUGUCACUAGCUUUUGCUUGAGUUUUGGGUUGUUUAAAGGUUUUAGGGUGUUCUGUGGAUGCGUGUCCUCCGAGCUGAGCUAUUUUUCCUUUUUGAUUGAUGUUUGCAUCAUCGCUUAACAUGUCGCCUGUCUACUUAUUGUGUGUUGUAUUCUGGUGGACCGGUUACUUUUGAUUCGAGAUCGGGAGUCAGUGUCUAGUUGCAAUCUUGUUUGGCUGACGACAAUGUUUCUUUGGUGUACCGAGGGUUUGGGGUGCCCUUCUGAUUUGGUCAUGUUGUCUGGUGGACCGAUCGCUUUUGAUUUGAGAUCGGGAGUCAGUCUUUUGGUUCAAGUUUUGGUUUUGGGCUUGUUUGGCGUUCUUUCGGCAUACCGGAGAUUGAGAGGUGGUGGAAGCUGAUUGAUCUUUAGAAUAGUGGCUCAACUUUGGUGAUGAGGACGAGGAGUUGCUUUUAUAGGGGUGUUAUCUUGGGUUCAGUAGUGGUGACAUUGGUUAUGGAUACAGUUUUUCAGUGGUCGUUUCGUGAAGGAAUUUGUUUUAGGUGGUGAUGUUUAUCUUGGUGGGGGUUGUCCCCAAGGGUGUUGAAGUUAUGCUUUGAUUAGGUGCUGUGUGUACGAGUGUCUUUAUGAUGUUUAUUUUCGGGUGUUCCGCCUAUAUAUGGCGCCCUUUGUUUGUAUCUGGAAUCACCGGUCUCUAUUCGUCUUGAGCAGAAUCUGGAUUUUAAUAAUAUUUGUCGUUAAAAAAAAAACUGUAAUUUGUGAUGUAUUUAACAACCAUUCAGACAAUUAUAAGCUAAGAGAUUGUUUUUAGAGAGAAUAUAAGCAAAGAACUUGUUGGCUUUUACUUUGCUUUUUGCAGGGGACGCUUCUUUUCCUACUUUGUUGGUAUGUACAAGCGAAUAUUAUAAUGGUUAUGUGUAAAAAAGUACUAUAUUAAAUGUAUAUUUAGUUCUGCGGUAAAUAGAUGUGAGUUGCUUUGUAAAAUUGAUUUUAAUUACAUACAAGUUGAAAGUAAGGCGAUCUAUGUUAAAUACGUAUAUGUCAAAAGUGAUUUUUACAUGGAAAUAUUAUCUGAAUAUUUUUUAUAAACAUAAAAUUUAUUGGGUUAGUUUGGAUUCGAUUUGUUUGGGAAACAAGGAUGGAGGCUUGGGGGUUAUGAAGAUGAGGGAGUUUAAUCCUGCAUUGUCAUAAAAAGUGGUGUUGGAGGAGGUAUGCUGAUAGGGAGUGAUACAGAGUAAGACUUUAAUAUGGCAUAGACUUUGCAGCCACCACCCUAUAUGCUAGCUUUCCAAUUCCACCACCCUACUAUUGACAAUAAGGCCAACAAGCCACCAUGUUUGACAUUUACUAGAUUGUGUUUCCAUUGAUGUAUUAAUUAUCAACACUAUUUCAGCUACCAUAUGACCUCUAGGAUUGCUAUAAAUAAGGCCACUUCUUUCAUGUAUUACCACAAUUUAAAAUAUACAAAACUUGAGUUUCUCAUUUGAGAGUUAGAGAGUGGAUUCUCUCUUGGUUUCUGAGUCAUAUUGGCAUCAGAGUAAGGUUCCAAAUCCGGAGUUGAGUUUGAGUGAAAGAAUCAACGGAAAGUUUGAGUUUUCUAAGGGUGUUCUUGAAGAAAAAGAGCUGCCACCUUCGAAACUCUACUUUGCGGCCAUUUUUUCGCAAAACUAACGCCGCCAUUGCGUUCGGAAGGCCAAAAAACAUUGGAUUGGAGGUUUUUGUCACCAACGGAGCCUCUACGAGCCGCCAAACGACUCGCCAGAGUUCUUGCCGGACCACCACCCGCCGCCACUAACCACCGCCGGAAGUCUAGAGGUUGAAGACGACCGGUCAGCAGCCACAUCAUCUGCCACGUGUCACUUCCAACCAAUAACUCACCGCCACGUGUCAACUUGACACAUCACCACUGACCUGUUCAGUCAUCGACAAGUCAGCCUCCACAUCCCUGCCACGUGUCACCUAGUGCCACGUCAUCACCCGGUUACCCAAAAUUUUCAAAAAUUACAAAUUUGCCCCAAAACUUUCUGAAAUUAGAAAAUUGCCCCUCAACUUUCAAAAAUUGCAUAAUUACCCCUGUACUUUUUGAAAUUGCAAAUUUGCCCCUAUUCUUUCUGGAAUUACAAUUUUACCCUUGUUCAAAAAUUGUGAAUUUUCAGGAAAUCCUUCCUUUUUAGUGCUAUUAUAAUAGACAAUUCCUAUUAUGCUUUGUGGUUGCAGUUUAAUCUGAUCUUCCACAUCAGAAAAGAAUUAUUCUAUUUUAUAGUACUUAUACUCAUUUCACCCUUUAAAAGAAAAAAAUAAAAAAAUAUGCCUCCAAGAAAAAACGACCAAACACUUAGGGAUAUUCAAAUGGAAGAAAUGAGAAGACAAAUCCAACAGUUACAAGAAACUGUAAAUGCACAACAAGCACAAUUGGAAGCCCAACACAUGCAAUCAGACGUUGAUGAAUCAAGUAGCGAAUCAUCAUCAUUAAGAAGUCGUCGUCCACAAAGACAAUCAUUUAGAGACAACGACAUCAAGGUAGAUAUUCCUGAUUUUGAAGGAAAGUUACAUCCAGAUGAGUUCGUUGAUUGUCUCCAAACUGUUGAACGAGUCUUCGAGUAUAAAGAGAUACUUGAAGAAAAGAAAGUCAAGAUCAUUGCUGUCAAAUUAAAGAAGCAUGCUUCCAUUUGGUGGUAAAAUCUAAAAAUGAAGCGAGCCCGUGAAGGAAAAAGCAAGAUCAAGACUUGGGAGAAAAUGCGUCGAGAACUUAGCAAAAAGUUCUUGCCUUCUCACUAUUACCAAGAUAGUUUUAUUCAACUACAGAACCUUCGUCAGAAAAACUUGUCUGUAGAAGAAUACACUAGAGAAUUUGAGAAGUUAAUGAUGAAGUGCGACAUUCAUGAAAGGGAGGAGCAGACAAUAGCUCGUUACCUUGGUGGAUUAAACACUGACGUUGCUCAUCCAGUUCAGCUCCAACAAUACUGGUCAUUAGACGAUGUUGUUCGUUUGGCCAUGCGAGUGGAGAAACAUUUACCCAAGAAGCAUUCUUAUAGGAAUUUUUCCUCCACUGAGAAUUCUUCUUAUCCCCGCAAAACAGACAACGAUCAGCCCAGUACUUCUACAAAACCUUCUCCUAAACCCACUACAGAAAAUAAACCCAAAGCUACCAAGUGUUUCAAAUGUCAAGGUUUUGGACAUAUAGCUUCAAAUUGUCCAACACGAAGAACCAUCACCAUCAUCAAAGGAGAAGCUUAUGAAGAUGUUGAUGAGGAAACAAACCGAGAUGAACCAGAAAAAGAAGAAGUGUUAGAGCCAAUUUAUGAUGAAGAGCUCAUUGUUGCUGAUCAUGGCGAGUCUCUAGUGAUCAGACGAAGCCUACACGCGAUGUCAGCUCAAGAAGAGUAUUGGUUGAGGAAAAACAUUUUCCAUACUCGUUGCACCACUGCUGGAAAAGUUUGUGAUGUUAUAAUAGAUAGUGGUAGUUGUGAAAAUGUGGUGUCGAACUACAUGGUAGAGAAGUUAGAGAGUGGAUUCUCUCUUGGUUUCUGAGCCAGGGAGAGUCUUCGGUAUAGGAAUUGGAUGAAGUUGUCCUUAGUUUAGUUUUUGUUUUGAUAAUGUUUGAUUAGGAUGCUAGAUAAUUUGAUGAUGUUUAUUGCUCAUUUUAUAAUGUUAGCACAUGUAAAGCACCUAGCAAUCUAUGCUCUUAGGGUUCUUCAAGCGUCUCGUGUGUCAAGUUUUAUUUUGCGACAAAACUUUUUUUAUCCCUUUGAAUCAGGGAUGGCAAAGCGGGCUGGCCAACCCAGUUUAGACUCGUCCUGCCUAAGUCUGUUUAAAACGGGACGAGACGAACAAAUUCAAAUUAAGUGACUGAGUUCAAUAUCUCACCCGACCCCGUUUAGUGUCGGACAUACAAGUUGGCAGGCCGUCCGGCCAAAUAAAAAACUUAUUUUUUUAGAGGAAAAAAAAAACUUUUUUUAAUGCAUUUUUUUACAACAUAAUUGUUACAAAAAACUAUGUUGCUUUUAUCAUAAAAAAAUAUAAAAGAAUAGGCAUCAAAUAAAUUUGUGAUAAAAACAAGAUAAUUAACAAAUUGUUGAACUAAACGUCAUACUUAAUAGCAAAAUAAGAAAAAUCCACCAACAUAAAACAAAUUUGCAACAUAAAACAAAUCCCAAAAUAAAUUCAAAAGGAUAAAAUAAGUCUAAAAAAUAAAGAAAAAUGAGUUAAAUGGGCCGGCUCGCCUUACGACAAGCCAACUAUAGGAAGCGAGUUCAAAACCUUGACUCAGCCCACCAAAAAUAGCAGGUUAAACGGGUCGACCCGCCGAGUUGGGAUCGUUUUGCCACCCCUACUUUGAAUCGAAUCAUCUUGCCUUGAAUCUUAUCAUUUUUCUUCUAUGGUCCUGGCUUAUGAUGAUCAUGUCAUUUUGAAUCGAUUCAUGACUUUUUGAUUCGCAUCAUACCUGAAUCGAAUCACAAGUUGUUGAAUCGAAUCAAUUAUAUUAUUUGGUCUUGCGUUUUGCCUUGUUGAAUCAUAUCAAUAUUCUUUGAUUUGUAUCAACCUUCUUCUCAGUUACUUUGAUUUGAUUCAAAUAAUGUUUAAAUCAUAUCAAGCUUUAUAGCUCCAAAUUUAUCCAUUUACACAUGUCUGAGUCGAAUCAUACUUACUCUAAAUCGAAUCAUGUCGUUGUGUUUGUCUAAAAUAUUGAACUUAUCACUCCUGCCUGUAUAUAACUAUACCCAUACACCUUCCAACUCACUGAAUCAAUUGCAAAUACGAAAUAAAAGACAAUUACUUUGUAUCAUACAUUGACAAUGCAUGCCAAUUAAUAUGUAACGGAAAUACAUAAGAGAUCUAGGAGGGCAAAAUUGAAAAGAGAUGACAAAAUAGUAAUUUUAGGCAAUUAGGGUUGGAAAUAGAGUUUGCGCACCAAUCUCCGUUUUAUAAUAGAUAGAUAGAUAGUGUCAAGGUACAAAAGAAAAAGAAAAAAAAAGGACCCAAGAGUAUAGUGGUGUGGUCGGUGACGGAUCCAUAAAUUUUAAAAAGUGGGGGCAAUAUAUAUAUAUAUAUUAAUUGAAAGCAUUAAAUAUAUAUUUAGAAACAAGGCUACGUUGCUAUGUAAGUGUGAGCUAAAAGAGAAAUAUUGUAUUAUAAGUGUAGGUUAUUUGAUCUAAAUGUCAACUAAAAAUUUAAAAUAUUUUGUAUAGGCACAAGCCCGCACCACAACACACAUGCAUCCGUCGCUGGGAGUGGUACAAAAGAUAAGACUUUUUUACUUUUUUUUUUUUUUGGGAACAAGACUUUUUACUUAAAUAUUCCCUCCCUCCCAAAUUGUAUGUCAUUUUAGAAAAAAUAUUUGUCCUAAAUUGUAUGUCGCUUUACAAUACCAAUGAAAAAUUAUUGUUACUUUUCCUAUUAUAUCCUUAACUAUUUAUUACUCUCUCUUCUUUCAAUUCAUUCAUUUAUCUUUCCCAUAUCAUUUAUCGAGGACAAUUUUGUAAAACAACUCAUAAUAUCUUUUUCCCACACAAUAUUAAUUACAUUUUUUAAUAUGUGUGAAAUGUUCAAAACGUCAUACAAUUUAGGACGGAGGGAGUACUUGAAUAAAGUGGUAAAAACUCUUUUUAACGAAAUCAGAUUCUAAAUUUAAAUUCAAUGAGAAUGCAACUGUGUUAAAAAAUUUGAAGAGAAUUUUCUAUCAACUAUGUUAUCCUUGUCAAUGAAUUAGUUUUUACGGUUUCCGCGUAAAAAUAUUUGGUUAAAAAAAAACUUCAAAUAAAAAAUACUAUUAUAUUUUGAUUUCUAAAAUAAAAGAAUUCAAAGGAGUAGAGAGAGAGAGAGAGAGAGAUGAGGGAGUAGACAAAGACAAAGCGAGCUAAACGAAGUUACUGCUGUUGGGGCGUGUGUGUUACUGUCGAGUUCUUUGGUGUGGAUAAAAACCAUAAUAACAAGAGAAGGGUCAUGUGUCUCUCAUCUUAUCUUCUUUUCUGGGUACGUUUUCUCAUCGCUCAAAUUCCUGUAGAGGGUAUUUAAAUCAAUGUUCUCUUAUUCUCAUAUUUUUUUCCCUUUAUAAUAAUAAUUAGAUGAUUUAUCAAGAGGAGCAAAGGUUGCCUUUAUUUAUUAUUUUUUCUUUGUUGACUUGAUUUCAAAUGCUUAUAAUUCUUUAUACUGUACUUUAUAUCUGAAUGUGGUUUAAAUAAACUGUUUCUGAAUAGUGAUACUUAAUUUUGACUUUUCUACUGUCUCUGCACUCUUGACUUUCACAAUUGUGCAUUAUCUGUCUGUAACAUUUUCUAUUUCAGUUUAUCCGGUUGGAACAGAGUUAUUUGCUCUUAUAGACAUGAUAUAUGAUUUUGUUCAUCAUGGCCUUUCUUGUAGGUGUUUGCUUCCUGAUUUUUUAAAGGUGUUUCUCUAAUUGAUGUGUCUAAAGGUUAGACUGAUUUCUCUUCUGUUUAGCCUCAAAUACUAAACCUUCUUAUGAAUUCUUAUACAUUUAUGUAAGAAAAUGUGAGGCUGAGAAUUGUGGGUAUGCUCACUUUUGAACUUUGAAAAGUAGGUACUAGAUAAUUCACAUUUUGUGGCAUAGUACACUUUAUCAUUUUGUUUAACAAGCAUAGUACACUUUAUAAUAUGCUAAGAGAGUUUGCGCGUCUCUCUAGUUUCCACCAUGAUUAUUUUGAUUUCUACACGAAGGUUUCAUCUUGGGAGUGCCUGAUGUUCUUUGAGUGGAGCUACUAAGUUCACGUGAGUGUGCAAACUGUGAAUCAAUCAACUUCAUAAGCUUAUAAGUUUAUCUAAUAGGGAGUAGUUAGGAAAUAGUGCACGUUAUUUUUUCAGGAGCCCAAUGGUAAAUGGAUACAAAGAAAAAUGGUAAUGAUUGUUACUUGAAUUUGAAUAUUCUGUAACUGAAAAAAAUGUUGAUAAAGUAGUAUGAUAGUCUCACAUUCUCUGGAAAUUUAUUUCAAUUGGGAUGGUUCCCAUUUUUGUUAAUGGAAAUAUGUUUGUUCGAAGGAGUCUUCUUUUUUUCAAAUAUUUCCCCCCUGCCUUUAUCAUCUCCCUGAAUUGCACAAUCUCCUUAUUUGCCGGUUCUGUUUUCCCGAAGUUUUGCUUAUGUCUGAGAAUUUCCGGUUCUUUUAGAACCUUUAUGGGUCAGAGAUUUAUGAUUUGGCAUCUUUUUUGGGCUUUUUGACUUCUUUUGUAAAAGCAAAUCCGGUGUGUAGUCGAUAAUUAUAUAAAUACUCCUCUCUAUGUCUAGUCAAUCAUUCAUUUGUUCAAUCUUACACAUAAAUAAUGCAGCAGCCGUAGGCAUAUUUCAAUGUGUUUUGAAGUGUAAGAAUUUUGAUUUAAAUUUUCAGCUCAACAUCACUAGAGUGAUAAAACUUCUCAUGGAAUUCAUUCACGUGCAGAUAUAUAUGUGUUUGAAUUAAUUUUUUGGUAGUCACUAGUCAAACUUAAGUGAAGCUUACUACAAUAAUUUAUCCUCCAAUUAUUCCACUAAAAUAUGAAAUCCUGUCAGUUUAAAAUUCCAUUCUCAUCAUAUAUAAUAUGAUCCAUUCAACUGAAUUUGUUAAUCUGCUGCAACACGCGUUAGGAGUUGAAUCCAGAUUAACAAUUGAAUGUAUCAAUCUAAUGGUUGUCUAAAUUAGCCUUUUGUAUCAGUAAAUGUUGAUUAGGCUUUUUAAUCACUUUUGUUUUACCCUAGUCAACUUACUAUGUUUCUUUCUUGGUCAGUAAUGAACUGUAUUUUGUCUUCAGGAAGAUGCAUGAAUUCUCUACCGUUGAUGGUUUUGUGGAGAUAAGUGAAUGCAUGGCGGAUAUGAUCAAAUACGUGGCUAAUGAACCAUCUGUGGGGCUUUACUUUAUCCAACAACAUGCUCAAAAUGCAGUGCCAAAUGUCAUUAAAGCUGACAAAAAUAUUGUCGAAAAGGUUCACGAAACAACUUUGCACACUGAAGACUUGGAGGACUCUAUUACAGCAGUUCGAUCAAUGAAAGAGUGUGGAUUUUCCAUAGUCAAUGAGAUGAUAGGUGACAUAAACAAAUCUCUGGAAAUUAUGAAAACAAAAAAACCAAAAAAAGGGUCAAUCCAUUCAUCAACAUCAUCACCAAAUUCUCAGACAGAAAGAACUCGUUUUUGGGGCAAUCAUGCUUUUUAUGCUCAGGAAGGUGAUGAUAAAAAGAGUAACUAUUUUUCAAAUGUUUUAAAGUCGGCGAAACAGAAGGUUAACAGUCUCAAGUGGCAACAGCCUGAUGGUAAAGGAUCAGUAGAUUCCAACGAAGAGAAGCUACGAUAUCCUGAUUUGCCAUGGUCAAUCACAUCAGACGGCAUAACUUCAUCAUUACAGGGAACCGAACCUGAUGAUUUGCCUAUAUCGAGUCAGGUUGAAGACGAGUCUCAACACGAACAGACCGAUGAAAGUGAUAUUAGCAUUAAGUUGUUGUCAUUGUCAGAAAGGUUUGAUGACUUCAGAGCUAAUAAAGAAGCUAAACUAGAGGAGUGGCUUGAAGGAACUAGCAAACAUGAUGAUUAUUGUGACGCAGAUGAAGUAGAAAGAGGUUAGUUUGGUUACACUUGAUGAAAACUUCAGCAUACACAUUCACCAAUUGAUCUGCUAUGCUGUAAUACAUUCUUUGAACAAACAUGAUACACCGUUGGAUUAAUCAAUGUAUCACACUGCAUUCUUUUUUCAUGAAAUUUCAAUGUUGAUUUCCUUAUGUCAACAGGUAAGAAGCUUCUCGAGAAUGAUGAGAAGAUAAAUACUGGAAACAGUGGAUUCGAAGGUGAAGUGCUAUUGCAUGCAGUUCAGCCAUGAACCACUAAGAUAAGCCUGGUUGUAACAUGUUACUCAAUUUCAAAGGAUUAUUACAUUUUAGUCCUUAGAGUUUUGGGAAGAUUCAUUCAAGUCUUAUAAAUUGUAAUAGCAAAAUUGACCCUGUUAUAUGAUAUUGUUUUUGAAAUGUUCAGAGGUCCCUCCUUGUUUUAGUCAUUGAUAGACACCACAGUUGCAACAGAAGUGACCCGACAAUAUGAUUUGCAAAGUGAUUUGUUUCUGUUUGUGUUUCCUUUUCAUGUUUUAGUGGCCACAUGUGACAUUUAUGGUGCACUGGUUUAUUAUUAAUAUAAUACUUUUAUUUGUCCAGGCACUUGAUAUUAUCUUUGAGUCUAGUCCAAGUUCACAAGCGAUAUUCACAGUGCAUUAGUUUUCAAGUGAUGUGCACAACACACACAUAUGUUAAUUUUGUUUUUGAAAAGUCAAUGAUUUAUUGAUAAAGGGAUGCAUGAAGAAUUGUUUUUGGUAGUUGAAAAAGUGUUUAUAGGUUCGUCAGUUCAGUGCAUUUCCUUCCCGUGUAUGAAAUAAUUAUUUUUUGUGCAAUAUAUCACGGAUAAUGUACCUUUCAAUUGAAGGCUCGGCUGGAUAUUCAACAUUUUUUUUAUUUUUAUAGAAAUGAUAUUGUCAACCUAGAAGAUUACAUUGGAGUAAGUUGGUUCCACGACAAAGUGGUAAGAAAGAUGGGGAAUGGAAGGAAUACGAGUUUUUGGAAAGUUCCAAGGGGGAAACACCAUUUUAUUUAAAAUAUCCGAGACUUUUUGAAAUAUCAAACCAAAAGGAGGUAACAGCGGAGGAGGUGAAGGGAUUGCAUAAGCAAAUAGUGAAUGAGAAUUUAUAUGGCGGCGGAAUUUAUUUGUUUUGGAGAAUAACCUUCUUAAAAAUUUAUUGAAAGAUUUGGAGGGUCAUAGGUGGUCUCACGAGGAGGAUGGUUGGAUUUGGAGGGCCGAGGAUGGUGAGGCAUGCUGAGGAUAUAGUGGAAGAGAUUAAGGUAACAUCGUGACGUAGGGUUUGAGGUGGGGUUUAGUAUGGGAAAGAGAAGUUGUUUCCUAUCAUGGGAAAGUUUUUUUUACCAUUAGAUUAAAGAGGAGUACUAAUUUUAUCAUAUAACUGCCUACAUCAUAUUUUUUCUCUCUUUUAUGCUAAUUUUUUUUUCUUGUUUAUUAAGAUAUGAAAUUUUAGACCCAGUUACUGCCUACAUCAUGAUAACAAAUUCACUCACGUUACCUGGACUAUAUCACGUUCAUGAAGAUACUUCAAGCCAUUUAAAAUCUGUCAUACCAUUUGAAUCACUACUCAUGGAGGUUGAAUGAGGGUGAGGAGUGAAUUCCAGAUUGUGAGAUUGCUGCAAGUGGUGGGUGAGAGAGAUGGAGAAGAGUGAAAAAAAAAUUAUGUAUUGAGUGUCUAUGAUAAAAGCAUGUUCCUUAUUAAAUCUAAUGGUCAGAAAAAACUUUCCCAUGAUAGGAAACAAGUAUCCUUUCCCAUACUAAAUGCCACCAGUAGGGGUGGGAAUAGGCCAGGCCAGACUUUGAUAGGCCUGAGCCUGACCUACGAAAUAAAUCACAAGCCUGAGCCUGGCCUAUGGCCUAUCAUAGGCCGUUUUUCUAGGCCUGGCCUGACCUAUUUAAAAGUCUGGACUGGCCUGAAAGCCUACUUACAGGCCUACUUCACAUUAAGGCCAUCAAAUAGUUCAUUUGGCCUACUAAAUAGGUUAAACAUGUCUUAAAGCCUACUUAAAAGCCUAUUUCACUACAAGUAAAUUUCAACUAGAUUAAAGCCUAUAACAACAAAGCCUAUUAAGGGACUAAUAGAUAGAGAAAAAGAUGUUUAUAUUUUUAAUAUAUGCAAUUAUUUUAAUAUAAAAAAAAUAUUUUUCAAUAAAUAAGUAUUAAUAGGCCGGCCUAUUAGGCUUAACAGUCUUUUUUUGAAGCUUAAGCUUGACCUAUUUAACUAAACAUGCUUUCUAAAAAGCCUAAGCCUAUCUACUAAACAGUCCAGGCCAGGCUAGGCCGUAGGCCCCUGUAGGCCGGCCUGGCCUAUUCCCAACCCUAGCCACCAGGGUUUGAACAUAUUAAAAAUCCCAACUUGUACUAUGAAUAAUGUUGAAACUCAAAAGGUGGAUCAAAUCAACGAAAUGGCAACAAUGGAGGGAUUAAAAUUUGCAAUUAAGCCUUUUUAACCUCUCCACUGCCAUCGAAAGCAAGAAAAAUCAAAGUACCAUAACCUAGUUUUAUAUAAAAAAAAGUAUCAUAACCUCUUAAUAAAAUAAUGAAAAAAUAGUUUACAAGUCUUAAUUCAAUUGAUUAAAAUAUGAGAAUUAUUAGAUCGAAUGUCUUAAGUGUGUUAAUUUUUGAUUGCUAUACCGUCUAUUAAGACAAAUGAAAAGAAGUUCCAAUAAAUUUUUAACUACUAUAUCCUCCGCGUGCAACUGUCAAGCUCUCAAUAAGAGUUUUAAGGAUGCUGCAGCCUGCAUACCCAAUAGUAAAUUAGACCCACGAAUUUGAUUAAGAUAAAAAAGACUUGCACCCUCCCAUCUUAACGCUAUUGACUUUAAUAUGAAUUUUUAACUAUGCUGUUACAUUAAAAAAAUGAAAAAGAAAUAAAGAAGCUUAUGAGUUUUCAUUGAAGCUUAAAAAAUGACACUGGCCUAUUUAAAAGUAGAAAACACAAAAAACAACUGUCCUUAAAGUGUGUGACACUUGUCUUAACUCCUACACUUCAGUUCUUGUCUUUUGACCCUACAAAACAUAUUAACACUCACACGUCACAUAACUCACACGAUGUUGAAUUGACCACAUGAAUACGAAUAUCCUCUCUUUCUCUCUCACUUUCAACUUUUCCACACACUCGUGAUUUCACCGCUCCACAAUUUCAUAAUCUUAAAUAAACCGUUUUCUCCUUCACUUUUAAUUUAAUAAUAACAAAUCACCGUUCCGCCACCGCGCUUAUUCCAAACGCGCUUUUCCGCUAUGACGAGAAUGAAAAAACUCAGCCUCGCCGCUGGUGCAGUAAUCGCCACCACAUACGGUGGCACUUUGAUCCUUCAAAAUCCCUCAAUCUCCUCCAGCGACUCCGGUUCCCUUCAAGCUCUUCGGCAGAAGCUACACGCUCCGGAUGCCAUUGUUCCGUCGAGGGAAACGCAGCAGUCGGUGUUGAUAGCUGCCAGUAAGGCGAAUCCUCUUGAUGUUCUUGUUAUUGGCGGUGGUGCCACUGGUGCCGGUGCCGCGCUUGAUGCCGUGACACGUGGACUCAAGGUUGGGCUCGUUGAACGGGAGGAUUUCGCUUCCGGAACUUCGUCGCGAUCCACGAAGCUUCUUCAUGGAGGUACGUAACGUGCGCAAGUUUGGUUGCAAAUUUACAAUAUAAUAAUAGUAAUAAUAAUGAAUGAAUCAUGCGUGUUUAGAUAAUGGAUUUUUUUGUUUUUUAUUUGAUAAAUAGUUUUAACGUGUGAUUAUGACUUAUGAUGAUGAAAUCUGUAAUUUAAAAUAUUCAAUUGUAUAUAAUAUAAUUUCUUGCUUAAUGAAUCAACAUGUUUUUUUUUUUUAUUUUUUAUUUUUAAUGAGAGUGCAGUGCAACAUGUGUGAAAAUAUAAACAUCUGGUAACUGAACACAACUAACUAUAUUGUCUUGUAGCACCAAAACUUUUGAUCGAAUACCUGUUAGGACAGAUGUUGGUGUGUUAUAGUGUCACACGACACUGACCCUUGUGAUUACAUUGAAUUAUGCAUUUUUUCAAAUUAUUAUCGAUGUUGAUGCAUUGGUGUGCAUGUCGUGUCCAGUGUAUGUGCCUGUGUCCGUGUUUCAUAUUAUUGUUUCUUUUGGGAUCUGAUUUGUGCCUAAUAAUAUUGUGUUUUGACUGCUGAUGUAUUGAAAACGAGUCUUCCAUAGCAAAUGAUACAAUUUGCACAAUGUGGUGUGGAAAUAUGCAAAUGUAGAAGCACCAACUUGUGUUUUAUAUAAAACCAUUCAUGAACUCUACACCCAAUAAUUUAAACUUUUAUGAAGGUUGAUGACUAGAUUUUUUAUUAUUUUCCCUCUCGCCUUCAACUGAACCCUGUUUGAAAUGAAUUUUGGAUAAUUGAGCCCUUGUUUCCCAUUUCUAAUAUCAGUGUUUUUGUGAACUGUUAGGUGUUCGUUACUUGGAGAAAGCCGUCUUUAAUCUUGACUUUGGACAAUACAAGUUAGUACUUCAUGCACUUGAUGAGCGUAAACGGGUUAUUGAAAAUGCACCACACCUAUGCCAUGCAUUGCCGUGCAUGACACCGUGUUUUAGCUGGUUUGAAGUAGUGUACUACUGGGCGGGCUUGAAAAUGUACGAUUUGGUCGCAGGAAGACAACUGCUGCACUUAUCAAGAUAUUAUUCUACAAAAGAAUCUGUUGAUCUCUUCCCCACUCUAUUAAGGGAGGGAAAGGAUAGAAGCCUAAGGGGCACAGUUGUUUAUUAUGAUGGGCAGAUGAAUGAUUCACGUCUUAAUGUUGGAGUGGCUUGCACUGCUGCUUUAGCUGGUGCGGCAGUGCUUAACCAUGCGGAAGUGGUAUCCUUACUGAAGGAUGAUGCUGGAGAACGAAUAAUUGGUGCACGAGUUCGAGAUAAUUUAACCGGUAAGUUUUCUUUUAAUUUCUAAUUGUUACCACAUCCUCAUCCCAUAAGUGAAUAAACCUCUGCAGUCGGAGGAGAACAGUUGGUCUUAUUGUAAAAUAAAUGUGAAACUCUAGUGUUUGCUUUUGUGUAUACUUCGAAAUAGUUUUUAUAUACAAGGUUUUUAGUUUUAUCGAUAGGCUUUUUUCACUUACUAAGCAAUUGACCAACGUCAUCUAACAAUAGGUAUACUAGUUAAUAUUGACUGAAAGAUGAAUAACUUUCCCGUCAGUGUGGGAUGUAUGAUAAAAUAAAUGCAGCUUCUUUUAAGAAUAAAAAGUAAAAUUUAAUUAUUUUACCCUGAUAAUUAAUUACAUUUGUUUGCUAUUUUCUGUAAUGCAGGAGAGGAGUUUGAUACAUAUGCAAAAGUGAUUGUGAAUGCAAGCGGGCCAUUUUGUGACGCUGUAAGGAAAAUGGUCGACAAAAAUGCAAAAGAAAUGAUUGCUCCUAGCAGUGGUGUACAUAUUACACUCCCUGAUUACUAUUCUCCUGAGGGAAUGGGCUUAAUUGUUCCCAAAACUAAGGAUGGACGUGUUGUUUUCAUGCUUCCAUGGAUGGGACGAACCAUUGCUGGAACUACAGAUUCUAGUACUAGCAUUACAUAUCUUCCAGAACCGCAUGAAGAUGAAAUACAAUUUAUAUUGGAUGCAAUAUCUGAUUACCUUAAUGUUAAGGUAUGUUGUACCUGCCAGUAUAGAUAAUUUUUUUAACUCAUUACGUGUUCUUACUUUCUGAAGAGUCGGUAUGGAUAAAACACAUUGAUGUUGUUUAAUUCAUGUAGCUAAUCCCACCUAUAGGAAAGGCUGUAGUUUUUUUAUUUUUUUUUAAUGUUUUUUUACUCUUAUUUCUGAUGUUUAGAUUAAUAACUACAAGUUCUCUGAGAUAUUACUUGUUUGUAAGUAUGUUAGAUUGUCCUAGAAAAAAAAAUGGAAGACUCUAUUUCUUAUUUAAUUAUGUAUGUCCUUUUGAUUCUUGAUUAAAUGCAAGCCAACUGAUGCUGCUGAGCUGCCAAUCAAUCUAGAUGUCAUUUUAAAAUAUACCCCCUCUGUUCCUAAGUAUAAGACCCUCACGAGUUUUUUCUUUGUUCCUUUCUAAAAGACCAUAUUUGAAUUUUCAACUACAUUAAUUAUUUAUUAACUAGCAUACCCCUAAUUAAGUUACAUCUUUUUCUGCAAUCUCUAAUAAAUACUCUUAAUAUAAACAUUAGCUAAUUCUUUCUCUUGAAGGAUAAACUUGUAAAAACAAUGCCAAUUAUUAACAAAUUUAAUAUACCUACCAACUUCCUUAAUUCCCAUGAUUUACUCAAGGGGAGAUCCUAUAUUUAGGGACGGAGCUAAUAUAUAUACGUGUGUGUGUGAGAGAGAGCGCGUGUGUGUUGCAUUUUCGGUCUUACACUGUUGGCUAACAGGGAAUAAAUAACGAUGGAAAUUUUUUAGGUUCGCCGCGUUGAUGUUCUUUCUGCUUGGAGUGGCAUUCGCCCAUUAGCAGUGGAUCCAACAGCAAAAAGUACUGAGAGUAUCUCAAGGGACCAUGUUGUCUGUGAGGAUUACCCUGGUUUGGUCACCAUCACCGGCGGCAAGUGGACUACCUAUCGUAGGUAAUGAUUUAACAGCAGCUUGUUGAAGUUUGUUUAGAUGUGGUUUCACUGACUAGGCAUGACAUGUCAUUGUACUGGUAAUCUAGUUACUCUAGUUUAUAUUUACAUCACACAAAAGUUUCUAUGCAUAUUAAUAUUGUUAUGAUCUCUGUGUUUCAGCAUGGCAGAAGAUGCUGUUGAUGCAGCUAUAAAGUCUGGAAAGCUGACCCCCGCCAAUGGAUGUGUGACCAACAAUCUCUGCAUUGUUGGUGGUGAAGGGUGGGAGCCUUCUUCUUUUACAGUUCUUGCUCAACAGUAUAAGCGCAUGAAAAGUACAUAUAGUGGUAAAGUUGUCCCUGGGGUAAUGGACUCUGCUGCUGCAAGGCAUUUGUCUCAUGCAUAUGGAACAUUGGCUGAGCGUGUGGCUGCCAUCGCUCAGGUUUGCUUUUAUUGCUUUAUAUUUCUCAUUGUUAUUUUCAUUAAGCAACAAAGCAUUUACAUAUGCAUCUUACAUAAAAUGGACCGGGUGAUUUUGUACCAUCUUCGCUUUGGAGCUAUGUUUACAACUUUUCAGUUACUUUUGGGAUUCUCACACUUUAAAUGAACACAGUGCUCUGCUUUGUGUUUUUCUUUCCAUUUCUUAUAUUUAAUGAUGACGUACCUUUAUCCUUAUGCCACUAUAAUUUCGUUUUAAAAUAGUUCAACGGUUUUCUAUUUUGGUUGAGCUUGUUUGCAUUGUUUUAGAAUUUCAAAAGAAUUUGCCUAAAUGACACCAUUAGUACCGUGGUCAAAAUUGAAAACACUUUUGCAUGCAAUUUGGAUAGAAAUGAUGCAUCAGGUGAAAAUUGAGGUAGCCCCUGUCAUGGAAAAGAUGAUAGAAUUUUGCCUUUGGUGAUUUGGGCAUGUGUGGAAAAGAGCUUAAAAAGCCUCAGUGAGGAGGUUGCAUCAGAUGAAGAGUAGUCUAAUAAUUUAAGGUUGAGGGAAACUAAAAAAAUCGAAUGUUGAACCAUAAAAAAUGAUUUAGAUUUAAACAGUUAAUCAUUAGACAUGAUCUUUUUAAAAGAAUAACCAAUCCCACACAAUUGAAAAAAAAAACCCUUUGCUGUUAUUUUUGUAAGGUGUAUCAUUUUGCCAAGUUACAAGACUUCAUAUUACAGUCUGGUGACGGGUUGAUGUGAUUUUUUAGAUCAUGCUAUUGAUUGUAAAUAAAAGAUCUUGUAAACCAUAGUAAGGCCGUUCAUUUCAAUUCUCUUGCGUUUUUAUGUUUACUUUGGGAGUGGUGGUGUUGAUAUUCCAACAUCCUCUUUUGAGAUAUUUUUGUAGUGUUAUUUAUGGUAAUAAUAAUAAUGUUUAUCAGCUUCAUGGGUGUUAUAGAAGGUUUGUCAGCUUCUGCUUUUCAUAAAAUUGACUACAUUUUGUGUUUCAGAAUGAAAAUUUGGGCAAGCGACUUGCCCACGGUUACCCAUAUCUGGAGGCAGAGGUAGCUUACUGUGCUCGUAAUGAAUACUGUGAAUCUGCUAUCGAUUUCAUUGCAAGGAGGACUCGUCUUGCUUUCCUUGAAACUGAUGCAGCAAGAAGGGCAUUGCCUCGUGUGAUCGAAAUAUUGGCAAAUGAACACAAAUGGGACAAACCAAGGCAGAAGGAAGAGUUGCAGAAGGCUACAGAUUUUUUGAAGACUUUUAAAUCCUCAAAAAAUGCCCAGUUUCAUGAUGGGAAGCACAGUUAGUAAGUGCAAAAAACAACACAUAUCUGUUAACUAUACGUUAAUGAUGGCGCCGUCACAUACCAAACAUUUUGAUAGUGUUAACUAAUUUUUGUGUAAUUUUUCUCAGGUUGAGGACUUUGAUGAACCUGAAAGUUUUCACAUGACAAACAUUUUGGUAUUCAUUUCCGCUGAUCAAUUGGUGAAUAUGCCCACUAUAGAAAGUGGCUAUAUACAUUUAAAAUCAACUUCUACACGAAUUUGUCUCGAAUUUGCCUGCAAAAAUAAUGCUUGCAAGUUGGAUAGAUUUUUUUGCACAGUUACCUGCCAUAAUAAUUUUCUUGAGAUUGAUUAGACUCUCUACCUCGCCAAAGUUGUCCACGAGAUAAGGACUUGAGGGUUAUGUUUUUGGUUUGACUCUGAUCUGUACAUUUUGUUGUCCUUUUCUCCAUAAUAUUUGAUGUCAAUUAACAUUGAAAAUUUACUCAAGCGAAGGAGUGCUUCAUGAUACUUCGAUAUGGAUUGAGAUUAUCUGCAUGUUAAGCUUUGUUACAUUACAUAUAAUAGAAAAAGAUAGUAGGUUAUUUUACUAUGGUAUUUAAGAAAACAGUAUUUUGGAUGGAUAAACAAUUUAUUUGCGGCUUACAGCACAAAAGCUUAUCAUGAUAAGUGCUUAUGUAUAAGCUUGCUUAAACUAUUUUUAUAACGAAACAAAAAUAACAUUAAAUUGUUUUUGUAUAUUCUAUAAGUUGUUUUAUAUUGGAGAGUUUAUAAAAUACGUUGAAAAAAGCUUAAGAAAAUUGUUAUUUUCAUAAAUUCUUCCGGUCUUACAAAACUUAAUGUCGGUAAUUAAAUUCAAACAUGUUAAUCCAAACAGAUCCUAUACGUAAAAAAAAAAUAAAAAAAAUCAUUAUAUAUAAGUUUCUUUAGUCGUAUACAAAUAAUGAAAUUUUAUGAUAUGUUCACUCUUGACUAUCAUUUACUUUUUACUAGACAAACUAAGUUCAUAUUAUUAUUAUCCAACAAAACUAUUUUACUUUACAUUAUGAUUUAUGAUAAAUAAAAGAAAGAGAUAUUAAUAUUUUGUUAUGUCGAGUAGUAAGCUGUGGAAGUAUAAAUGAAUUGAGAGAGAGCUAUCAAAAUAUUACUGAGGGAACCCAUACUAUUCCCCGGGUAUGCAAAGCCAACGGAUAAGAUAGAAAAGAACGAGAGCAGCUACAGAUACAAUUCCCAGUUUUGUUUUGCGGCAAUUUGAAAAAGAAAUGGGUUCAGCGGCAACAAUGGCGAUGACAGCACUCUAUUUCACCACCAUCAAAUCAACCAAACUCACUUCUACCUUCCGCACUCUCCCCCGCUUCACUUGUUCCUCCUCUUCCAAAUUCAACAUCUCUUUCUCUCCCUCUAACCCCAAACCCAAGCCUACUCCUCAGCCCAAAACUCAAACCCCCCACGACGACGAUGACGAAGGUCCUCUCAUGAUUCCGUGGAUUGUUCGCGGCGAAGAUGGCAACUUCAAGCUUCUAUCAGAGCCUCCUCCCAGUUUUCUCAAAGAAAUGGCUAAUGCUCAAACCGGUACCAAAAAAUCAGAGAAGGACCAAAUUACCAAAAACAAGAAGAAGGGUGAAAAAGAAACCAAGAUUCGUGCGGUCACAGCGCCGCCUAAAUAUUCUAAAGCUGCAAGGAGAUUCUAUAAUGAAAAUAUUAAGGACGACUCCGGUACUCGUCUCAGUAAGGUUCUUGCCGCCUCCGGAGGUGAUAUUUCGUUACCAUUUACUUCCAAUUUCUAUAAUGUUUUAACAAAGGCGUGUCCGGUGUUCGACUCAGUCACAACAUUUGUCACAUCUGAUUACAUUCAAUUAUGUUAUUUUCUGUGUCAAUGUCGUGUAUGGUGUCUACGUGUGCUUCAUAGCUUCUAAAUCAUUUUGUAAAGUGUAAAGUUGUUUUAAACUCUUCAUAAUUGUUUAAUAAUAUUCGGAUUGUAUCAGAACUUAAUGUUUUUAUAUGAAACAGAAAUAACAACAUAAUCGAACUUGUUUAGCUUGAAAAGUAGGGAGGCUUAGUUAUUUGAAUUAAAAAAUGCAUCUAAUGAGCCAAAAUAUUGGACUAAAUGUGCGUAGCUAAAUUUGUAAUCGUGCUCUUCUGUUUUCAGUUGCAUCUAGGAGAAGCUGUGAAGACCUUAUUUUUAAAGGCAAGGUUACCGUUAAUGGUUCUGUCUGUAAUACACCUCAGGUUUGUUCCCCGCCGUUAUGAAAUUUCACCAAAUUAGGUUUUUUAGCAGCAUAGUGUUAGUGUUGAUAUACCAUGAUUUCAUUGAUCACUUCAUGGAUUAGAGCUUUUAGGUCCAUUUUAUGUAAGCAGGUAUUAAUCAGAACUAGUCAAUAUUGUUUAAGGUAGUAUACUAGUUGGUUAUGACUAGUUAGAAGUUGGUUAUAUUAGUUAUACGUUAGGAUCACUAUAUAAGGUGCAUCCUAUGCCAUCAUAUCAAUUUUUUAUUCAAUCAUAACUAACUAGUAUACUACCUUAAACAAUAUUGACUACUAAUUCUAAUUAAUAUCUAACUAUAUCUAACAUUGCUUUUAAAAAAGCUAUAUGAUUUUGUUUUUCAGUUUUUCUUCUUCUAGAAACUAAUGUUUUUGGCUUAUGAGAAAAACACUUUUGUGGUGUGUAGACUAAAGUGGAUCCCUCAAAGGAUAAUAUCUAUGUCAAUGGAAGCCGCCUUCCUAAGAGGCAGCCUCACAAAGUUUAUCUUGCCUUGAACAAACCAAAAGGGUAUGUAAAAUGAUAUGAUAUCCUAUGCAAAUGAAUUCAAAAGGGUAUGUAAUAUGAUAUCCUAUCCUGAUAAGUGAUGCAAUUACAUUUUCACAGGUACAUAUGCUCAUCUGGGGAAAAGGAGUCUAAAUCUGUUAUAAGUCUAUUUGAUGAUUUUUUGAGCAGUUGGGUAUGUGUCACUUUGAGCUUUAUUUAUAUUUAAUUAUAGACAGUGUUCUUUCUUUUUUUACUUGGUAGAAAUCUUUUGAGAUGAUAUGUAAUUUUCCGUCUUUUUAGGAUGUAGUUUUAUAUUUCUCCAUUUAUAAUAAUGUUCUCUCCAUCACCUGAAAACAAUUUUAUUUCUAGGAUAAAAAGCAUCCAGGUGUACCCCCACCAAGAUUAUUUACUGUAGGGCGCCUUGAUGUUGCUACUACUGGGUUACUUAUUGUGACUAAUGAUGGUAUGUGGUUUCUUGUGAAAGCAAUUUUAUCUCUGUUGAGUGAACAGUGGUUCUGUUAAUCUAAACAAACAGUUUCAUCUAAUACUUUAUCCAAUGGUUCUUGUUCGCAGGAGAUUUUGCUCAAAAACUUUCACAUCCGUCAUCUAAUUUUUCAAAAGAGUGAGUUAUGAGUUUGACUUGUGUAUUUUUUUUCCUGAACUUUUUCAUUAGUUUGGAUCGGUAUCUUAUCUAUGGGAACAGAAAGAAUACAUCACAAGAUUCGUACUUGGACUUUAUAAAUGCUUUCUAAUUUGAUAUUUUUCUGUGACUUAAAUCAUUAUGAUUUAUGUAUGGCUUAUGUUAUUUUUCGUUUUUGGUCUGUGUUAUUAUUUCUAAGAUAAUUAAAGUUCUCCAUUCCUGUGAAUUCUCUCAUUUUCCAAAACAUUACAUUUGUUUGAUCAGAUACAUUGCAACAGUUGAUGGUCUAGUUCAUAAGAGGCACUUAACAGCCAUAAGUGAGGGAACAACAAUUGAGGGCGUCCAUUGUGUACCUGAUAGUGUAGAGUUACUUCCACGUAUGCCGGAUACACAAAGAUCUCGACUUCGUAUUGUGGUAAAUAUAUCUAUUUUUGAUCUACUAUAUCAAUUAUGCCACCCAACACUGGUUGUGAAUUUUUAACCACCACAUUAGCUGAUUAUGACAUGAUAUCUUGAACUAUAGUUUCCUGAUGCAUAACGUUAAUAAAGUUGUCUUUUAAUCCAUACUUAGUGUUUUAGGAAUAUGGUAUACCGUAAGUAUGAAGUUAUUGACUAUGUUUCAUGUGACACUACUUUGGAUCAAUUCUAGUAGAUGCUGCCACACAUACCUAGAUAUCUCUGCAUUGAAAUUUUGAUUUUCUUUGACUGCAGUCAUAGGUUGAAAUGUUUUAAUAGUUAUAUGAUUUUGAGUAUUUUAAUUUUCCGCCUCUUAUUUAAACUUCAAAGCAAAGGAACUCUCAAGUGAAUAUUUUUUUUUCUUUUUCUUUUUUCUGAAUACCCCAUUUUAUUCCAGAACCCUUGAUGUUCAACACUAAAGAUAGUCUCUUUAAAAAAACUCUGACCAUUAAUGUGAAAAUGGGCAUGUCAUAUGGAAAAAUUGGUUCACAUUUUAGCAAUAAUACAGGCCAUUGACAUCCUUAUAUCUGCAUUAUCAAGAUGGCUUCUUUUUAGUCUGUUCAAUUCAAUAUGCUUGUUAGAGCAUUCAAAUUGUGAGAUGAUGAAAAAACAGUCGAACUUAGUUGACAUAUGCUUGCUUGAUUUAAUUUGGAUUCUCAUAGGUUCAUGAUGGAAGGAAGCACGAAGUUCGUGAACUUGUUAAAAGUGCUGGACUUGAGGUAACCUUUAAUUAUAUAUAUAAUUCGUUAUAUGACCCUCAAAAUGCGAAAAGUUCUAAUGCUUGAGCAUGUGUAAUAUGCAAAAAUGAUGAAAUUUAGUAAACACAAUCCCAAUCAAACUAGACAAUAUUUCGUGUUUCACAUUUUUUAGCAGUUUAUUUAUCAUGUAAUUGAUAUUUUUCUCACAUAUAUUAUCAAAAUUGUUAGAUCCAUAAUAUAAUACUCUCCAUGUUGUUUGAUAUUUUCUUUAUUUUAUGAUGUUGAAUAAAUUCUUGUUAAUAGCCUUGCUUUAUGUUUUGUUUCAUAUUUCAGAUUCAUUCAUUAAAGCGAGUUCGCAUCGGUGGUUUUAGACUUCCACCAGACCUUGGGUAAAUUUUGUGCUUUUAAUUGUCGUCUUUAGCUCUCGCGUGCGGGAGUCUUUUUCAGUAGCAGCAGCAAUAUUCAAAUAGAAUCCCAACAAUAAUAUUUCAAUUGAUUUUUUUUUUUUUUGUACAAACGGGUUAACUAGUUUUCAUCUGUUGUACUCUUAUUUCAGGAUAGGGAAGUAUAUUGAGCUAAAUCCAACAAAUCUGAAAGCAUUGGGAGGAAGAGUUAACAAAGCUAAUUCUUAAUUUGUUGGAGUUGUAAAUCAUCCUCAUGCUUAUUCGUAUUUGGACAAUCUGAAGCUAUCAUCAAAGAGUUGGCCAAUGUUUUUUUGAUUUGAGCUAUUGGAUUCUGAUACACGGGGCAUUACUUGAGAAAUAUUUUGAAUAGCCACAGACUUUCUGGAGCGUUUGACAUCAUGCCACACCGAGGCUCUCGCAAUCAAUCAUCAAACAUAGCUACAUAUUUUAGAAGAAUUGGGUAAAAAAUUUAAACUGGAUGGGAAGCGGAUGAGCUUUUCAUAUGAUCAUGCAUGAGGUCGGGAUAUUGGUGGUAGCUUUAUUAAAUGUAUGUAUUGUAAUUUGUAAAUGGUGAUGCUGUAUAACCUAAUGACGUUAGUUUAGGCAGCUUAUAGCAUACAAGUGAUGUACCAAACAUUUAUGAAUAAAAUUGCAAGCAUCGUAUCAUUACCACUCUCUAACCUAAGCCAAUGAUUCCGGACCGUUCCUCCAACAUUGCCUUUGCCAGGUAUCCACCCACAUCAAGUAGUGCACGCGAGCUGGUUUCAAACCCAGAAAGUUAUCUUUUUUUUUUUUUCUUGUCCAAGAAAUUUUGGCAUGACUAUUACAUCCCCUCUUUCUUUCACGCCCAUACCAAAUUGUCCAACUCGUCUUCCCCUUGAUAACAUGAAAAAGAGGAAGUAACUCGGGAAUUCCUCACCGUUAUUACAAUUUGGGUCUCACAUCCCUUUAUUUGGAUCCAAUAAAGGGAUUCUUUGUAUUAAGAGAAUUGUAAAGGUUAUAUAAAAGCUUAAAAGUAUUUAAGAGAGAGCUUCCAAAUUCGUUCAUUCAAAAGAGAAGCAACAAACAUGGUUACACACGGAAUCAAGAGCUUCCAGAUGAAAAAACAUACAGAACAAUUAUGAUGCAUAUUGGUUUGAUUCUUUUAAAAAUGAAAUGUAAUAUAAUAUUUAAAUAUAUACAUAUUUUACUUUUGUAAAAUUAUAUAUAUUGCCCACAGUCAGUAUUUUUAUACUCUCAGUGGAGAACAACUAUAAAUAUAUACUGCCCAAAAAACCAUUUUAUACCCUCAGACGACUGAAGAUUUUUAUACUCUCGGUAUAAAAAUAAAAAACAAAGACUCUCCCUGAAAUUAUAAAUAGUUUACGCAAAAAAGAAUUAUUACGUCGCCUGAGAGAUUCGAACUCUCGCGGGGAAACCCCAUGUACUUAGCAGGCACACGCCUUAACCACUCGGCCAAAGCGACAUUUUUAUUUAGUGACUUGUUUUAGUGUUAUAUAUUCUUUUUGAAAAAUAGUAAUACGUAUUUUUGUAUAAUGAAUUUGUGUUACAUGAAUUGAACAUAGAACUGAAGAUGCAGAAGUUGAAAUUGAAAUGAUUCUCCAUUGAAUAAUCGAAUCAAAAUUUGGUAAAACGAAGAUUGUAAUUGUUUUUCAACAAUGGCUCAGAUUCCUAACCUUGAUAAUGCUCCCGUUAAUCUCACAUCCAUCAGGUCAAUUUCAAUUCCACUUCAAUUUCACUUUUCAUCUUAAUCUUAAUCUAAAUUUUAAUUUUUUUUUUUGUUGAAUUCAGGGAACAAUCUCAAAAGGAACUCAUCAACAUCCUCAAGAAUGUAUUUUCUUCAGAACUCCGAAAUUUGUUUGAUUUUGCUUUCUAUUCAUUUUACGGCACUGAUCAUUGAUUUCUGAACCGUCUGUGACUUUGCAGGUUCGAGGAAAGAAGUGUUUGGUGAUUGAUCCCAAGCUUGGUGACUCUCUCUCGCUUACCAUACAAACUUCCAUUCUCAAGGCAAUUUUCUUUACUUUAUUUGUCGUUUACUGUUUUUUAUUUUGUUAAUUCUUAUUUUCUAGUUAAUACAAUGCUAGAGUUACAUCAUGUUUCGUUAAAUACCUUAAUUAAGCGUUUAACUUAUAAGUGCUUAUGUAUAAGCUAUUUCUGUAACAAAACAUAAAAUAAAGCAGUAUAUGAAGUGCUUAUGGAAAUUAAGCUGAAAACAACUUAUGAACAUGCCAUAAGUUGUUUCUAAAAGCUCUCCCAGACAGUCUCACAUGUGGUUUUUUCCCCUGUUUAAGUUCAAAUAAGCCAACUGGAACAGACCCUGGUGUUUUUUUAUUGAGUUAUAACAUGAUUUAACAUUUUCGUGUACCCUCAAAAGAAUUAUGACAUUUAACUCAUUAACAGGAGCAAGGAGUUGAGUUGCGGCAUCUUUCAGCUGAGCCAAUUCAAAGUGACUGUAACAAAGUGAUUUUCCUUGUGCGCUCUCAACUUAAUUUGAUGAGAUUCAUAUGCUCUAAUGUUCACGACGACAUAUCAAAAGGACUACAGAGAGAAUAUCAUGUUUAUUUUGUUCCCCGCCGCACUGUUGCUUGUGAGAAAGUAAGCCUUCCUUUGAAAUCAAUCAUUUUACAUUGACUUUAGCAUAAUGUUUUUCUUUUUAAAGCACGAGAUCUUGACGCGGACAAUGUAAAAUGAUUGUUGUUCGUGUGCAGGUUCUUGAGGAUGAAAAAUUACAUCAUAUGAUUACAAUAGGGGAAUAUCCCUUGUAUAUGGUGGCAAUGGAUGAGGAUGUACUAUCAUUUGAACUUGAUCUUUCUUACAAAGUAUGCUGCUACUAUUACGGCUUGUGAUUGAUUUAUCGAGUUUCUUUUAGUGCUAUAUUUUUAAAUUUCAAGUUUCUUGCAUGUAGUAUUUUGCUUAAUUAUUUAUCCUUGUUUGCCUUCUCUAUGUGCUAGGAAUGCCAAGUUGAUGGUGAUGCAAGCUCACUUUGGCAUAUUGCAAAGGCCAUUCACAAACUAGAGGUUGUAGUUUUGAAUCCAUCAUGCUGUUUGUUUUUCUUAACACGGAAGCUUUAACCAUGUAACAUUUAACCUCAAACAAAAAGAGAGAGUCCAAUAGAAUUCUCCCUUGAAUAAACAUCAACUUCAAUUCAACAUAUCAUGAACAUAAGUCUAACAUGAUUCUAAUGUGUUUUGUUAACUGUGAUUUUAUCAUUUAGUUUUCUUUUGGAGUGAUACCACAUGUGAGGGCAAAAGGAAAAGCAUCUGUGCGUAUUGCAGACAUCCUAAACCGAAUGGAAGCUGAGGAACCGAUUAACUCAUCUGAUGUAAUCAUGCACUACUCUGUUUUCUCUUAUAGCCAAAGAAUAAACAAAAGCAAAUUUAUGAAAUUGCAGUCAUUUAAAAUACACAGUAAUCCUAUUAUUGUUUUCUCUUUAUUCAGAUGGCUGUGCCAGAGAUAAAUACAGUAAUCCUCUUAGAUAGAGAGGUAAUUCCUACUUGCACUUUUACAUUUUUAAUUGUAUGUCCUUUUAAGGUCUUGCUAUUACAUUUGUUUGGAUUCAACAUGGAUGAUGGUUAUUUAACUUAUGCUUUGAAUGCAGGUGGACAUGGUUACUCCUUUGUGUUCCCAGUUAACGUAUGAGGGGCUAAUUGACGAGGCAAGUUAAUGCAAAAAUAGCCUACAUCUUUGGAAUGAAUAUUAUUGUAUAAUUUUUUUUAUCACUGUUAUUUUAUUAGGCUUUUCUCUUGAUAAUAUUCCCUAACAAGUUUUUUCAACUUAAUAAACUCUUCCCCUUUGUUCCUUUUUGAUAUUGUAAGUUUGAAUAAGGAAAAUUUUCUAACGGUGUUCGGUCAAGGAGUUUUAAAGUUGUACAUUGGGUUGAUGGAUUAUUGUACUGCCAUGAGUUGGUCAUGAGAAAAAUGUUACUAUACUACGUGCAAAUAGGUUUGAAAACACGACUGUUUUACUUCUAAUUACUGAAUUUGUAUCGUUGCAGUUUCUGCACAUCAACAAUGGUUCUGUUGAGAUUGAUGCAUCUGUUUUGGGUCUUCAACAAGAAGGAAAGAAAACUAAAGUCCCACUUAAUUCAAGGUAGGUUACUUUUAUUCGCUUGCUCAUCUAGUUUGCGAUGUAAUGCAUUUUUUCAAUGACAUAAGGGGUCUAUAUCAUUUUUUUGUUACUCUUCCAAUCCUCAAGAGAGUCAUAAUUUCAGAACCUCGUUUGUUAUGAAAUGAUUCUGAUUACAAUUACAAAUGGUGCCAAUAGUUAUAUAUAGCUGGCCUUAUCAUUCACUAACAAUGACUUAAUCUACAGCAACUCUGCGAGUUAGUUACAGCGAAGUUGGUUGUCACCUUACUAACUACAACUUCUAUAUUCUCACACUUAACGCUUAGGUGUGUGAUUGGGGUAACCCUAGAAGUGCACAUUCCUAUGACUGCCUUACACAAACGACACUCAGAGGGGCUGCAGAAUAGACAUGCAAAAACAAAAAAACACUAGUUUGCUUUGUCAAAUGUUGAAUCCCUCUAGACGCCUGCUGAUACCUAUAUUAUGACUAAUUUCAGAAUGAUUUUCUGCUUAACUAUUUCACGUACCAAAACUCAUGCAUAUACAAUGUUUCAGAAGCUAACUCAAGCAAACAAAGGGAUUACAACUAUAUGUUGCAUUCUUUUUUAGUGCCCAAUGACAUUAAUUAAUCUAUGUUGAACAACCCCACUUAUGGGAUAAGGUCUGGUUUUGGGUAAAUGUUAUUGCUGUAGUAAAAAUGAGUUAACUUUAAGAAGCUUUCGCUUCUAUCAUCCUUUACAUUUUUACUCUUAUUAAAGGAAAUCCAUAUUCACUCCAUAUCAUGAUAUUUAGUAAAAAAGGAUUUUAACCUUUAAUUGUGCUUUCAUUACUAUUAUUCUUUGUUAUGUUAUGGUAUAUGUAUAUUAAAAAGAAAUAUGUGUCUCUAGAUGUGCCCCUUUUCUCUUCUCUGAGACCUCUUUCAAACGAUAGCUCAAAAUCCUCUUUAUUUCUUUACACCUUUUAUUUUUCAUUUUCUUGUAAUAUUCAUUAAAAUAAAAUUUAUUUGCACGGUCUGUGUUAUUAUUAGGGAAAGUAAAGGAAAUGUUUUGAUAUUGAUUGAUAUGAAAAUCUUGAUUUGGAGAUCAAGUUAUGGAGUGUUUAUAAAGAUGCUUAUCCUUCGCCACAGUGAAACUAAUCCUACACCACUGAUAACUAACUUUGAGGCAGUUACAAGCAAUAUGCUGAUGUGGCAUUUGUUCUAUUUUGGCGCUUGUAUAUUUACAGGACACACCUCCAAUGGUGAGGUCUUCAUCAUUUAAGACCCGGUACCUAAUAGGUACCCCCAUUGGAGAAAUUUUUCUUGGGGGUCUUCUAAGACCCAGGGUCUCACUUAAGACCCUUAUUCUUAAGUGGACCCCACACUACUUUUUAUUAAAAUAAUCAUUGUAUUGUUGGAAUGUAAAUGAUGAAGAGUUCGUGGUGGGACCGAUUUAGACCUUUUGUCAGAGGGUCUCCAUUGGAGUGACUGAGUGCUUAUUAGGUACUGUUAUUAAAAAAUUAUAAAAGAGUGAUGUGUACACAUGGGAUCCGUUUAAGAACUCCAAAUUGAGAGUCUCCAUUGUGGAUGCUCAGCUCGCACUGCAAGCUUUGACAGCUAAGCUAGAAAUAGAUCUUUAGUCAGACAUCCAUUUUCUGUUUCUUUACACGUUUUUUUUUUUCAUUUACCUUUUGCUGAUAUUAUUUCUUAAACUAAUAUUUACUUGCAUGUCUGUGUUAGUGACAAGCUUUUUAAGGAGAUACGGGAUCUCAACUUUGAAGUUGUUGUCCAGGUUGAUUCAUUUUUACCUCAUAUAUAUCAUAGUUUUGUCUUAAUCUCUCUCUCCCCAUCUCUCUUUCAAACACACACACACACACACACGUGCUGUAUCUUUGGUUCCCUUGUAGAUCUAUUUUCUUAGUUGCUGUCUGCAGUAUUGCAGAUUUUGCGUCAAAAAGCAACAUCCAUGAAGCAAGACUAUACAGAUAUGACAACAACAGUGAGUAGAUGAUCUUACACUUGAGCCUUGAUUUUACUGUUGAUUUUGUCAAAAUAAAGAAGAAUGUUUUGAGACCCACUUUUCAUGUAAAUUAAUCCCAAUGAAUCCACUCAAGUCUGGUAUUUCCUUUUCUUUCUCUGGAGAUCUUAGACAUCAAGUACUCUUAAUAGUUUUACUGCUAUACUUUAUACAGUUGUAUGCUUGUUUGGUAGAAGCAAUAUUUAAUCAGUGAAACAAAUUGCUGUUUGAGAUUUGAAUAUGGUGUUUGUUCUUUAAAAUUCAGCAAUAUUUAAAUAAGUUCCUUCCUUAAAAAAAAAAAAAAAGUUCUUAUAAACUUUUGAAAACUAAAAUCAAUUUGUAAGUAGUUUCUGAUAUAUUUCUUUUCAUGAUAUCCAGACGCAGUCAGUUUCAGAGUUGAAGGACUUUGUAAAAAAGCUAAACUCAUUGCCAGAGAUGACAGUAAGAAAAAAUAUCAUUAUAAUAUUGAAAUUUCUUUAGCAGGAUCCUCAUAAUAAGAAUCAGAUCAUAAUAUUGUUUACAUUUUUUGCCAGAGGCACAUAAAUCUCGCUCAGCACCUAUCAACGUUCACGUCAAAGCCUUCUUUUCUUGGCCAGCUUGAUAUGGAGCAUACAAUUAUUGAGUCCCAGAGUUAUGACAUGUGAGUUAGUUUUGUAUAGUAUUAUAUUUUAAUUUGAUAGAAUUUAAAUACCUAUAUAUGAUUCGAGCGGGCUAUGGCAAUUUGUUAUCCUGUUUUGGAGGUCCUGAUGCUAAAGUUUAUGAUGGGUUAAUAAACUUAGAGGUGUUCGUGCUUCAUAGUAUUUUAGGAUAUACAUCAUUAAGUAGAGUGAAAGUAAGGUAUAUUUACUUAUAUUUUAAACCAAAAGAUAUGAGCACCCUUUUGCUUAUAUUCUAGACCGGAGGGAGUAUGCAUCAGUGUCUGUGUCCUAUGUUUUUUACUUCUAACUGCUAAUUAGAGUAGUUUAUAUAAAUUAAGUUUUAAAAUUGGAUAUGGCUCUACUCUGUAGUCUAUUUGGCAUGACUAUAAGCUUGUUUAACUAAAUGCUACUUCUCAAGUAGCAUUUGAGCUGUAACUUAUGGCUAUAUUUUUCUCACUUUUACCAUUUUUAUUUUGAUUUUAGUUCUCUUCACCCUCUUUUAAACUAAAAAUAAAAAUAAACUCUACCACUCUC